RNAcentral lists this long non-coding RNA (135980 nucleotides) under Capsella rubella. Its description in RNAcentral is "long non-coding RNA (CRUB_LNC004259)". The record is from RNAcentral. Lineage: Eukaryota; Viridiplantae; Streptophyta; Magnoliopsida; Brassicales; Brassicaceae.
GCAGUUUUCGUCAAGCUAGAAUUUAUGAUGACAUACCAAUAUGGUUAGGUAACUUAGCUAUAAUAAUGAGAUACUGCAAGAAUGGGACCUGAAAAGUCUAAAACCACAAAAUGAUGUAUACCUGUCUCUUAGAACGUAGAGAACGAUUGGAUGUUUGGCUGCUUGUGGUACGCGGAAGGGGUUUUAUGUCCUUUUUCUUUAUACGUACUCUUAUCUUACCAUGCUGGACUAACACUGUCUCAUCAUCUCCAGGUUCUUCAACCACAGUACCUAACUUAUCUCCAAGUCCAGUUACAAGAACUUUUUCACCUGCUUGAGGUGAGUAGUCACUGUACGCUUCUUCCGUAGUUACAAGAUCAUUAGGACAGCAAGCUUCAAUAAUGUCUGCAACUGCCUCUUCGGUUUUCAGAAUUAAGGAAUUGUAUUGAUCAGCUUGAGCGAUUUCUAGUUGACUUUCAAAUUCAGACACCAAUUUCUGCAUCUUUAGUUUAGCAGAGGUUAGAUCUUCUUGUACCUUUUGGGUUUCUUUCUUCAGAAGAGCCCUCUCACGUUUUUCAAGAUCAUUCGACUCAUGCUCAAGCUUCAGGAUAAGAAAGUGGAGAAUGAUCAGGAACAAAAACAUACAUUACAAGAGUUUAACAAUAGCAACAAAACAAAGUUAAUAAAUUUCAUUUUUACUGUGGAGAUAUAUUAAGUGAAACCAUCUAAUGUGUCCUCUAAAAGGACCCUUGAAGGGAAAUCUCAACCACCUUAAAAUUUAAUUUUUCAACCACAAAUAUGUUCCAGACUAGACAACUGAUAUUCGACUACACAACAGAAAAAUAUCCUCAUAAUUAUUUCACUCAUUACUUCGACACCGGUAUCAAGGAUCGUUUUCAGUUCCUCAAGUAAACAUAAUGUUCUGUAAGACCCUUUUUUAUAAUUACUACAUGGUAUAAUCACACAUGUUAAAGCAAAAGAAAAAAGCAGUACCUCACGGUAAAGGUUCAUCAAGUCUCUGUGAAAUGCUGCAGUCUUGGUUAUCUGAAGCUUUAGCUUAUUCCUUUCUUCCACAAGGGACUGAAAGAGUGAGCCUUUCCGUUCUACUUCCUGCUUUGGAUCUAAUUUCUCUGUCCAUUUAUGUGCAUUCUCUAAAAUUCUUCUAUUAAAUCCAAUGGACUUAGCUACUCUCAAUGCAUUUGAUAAACCGGUACUUCCCCAGAGUACUCGGAAUGUAGGCUGAAAAGUUUCCAUGGAGAACUCCAUAGCAGCAUUUUGGAAUUGAGAGUCGUUAUCCUUCAAGCGACUUAAGUCCUCGUAAUGUGUGGACACAACAGCCACAUUUACACGAUCUUUCAUAUACCGUAGGAUACUGGUAGCAAGUGCAACCCCUUCUGAAGGAUCAGUUCCACUACAGAUUUCGUCUAGUAGGACAAGCGAAUUUUCUGAAAUAAUUUCAAGUAUCAGACGUAUUCGUGAGAUGUGGCCGCUGAAGGUUGAGAGACUCUGCUCCAAAGACUGCAAAUAAAAGUUUGAAACAUAAAAAAUUUGAACAGAGAAUCUUUGCAAGAGAUCAAGCAGGACUUAGAAAAGAGAAACACACAGGGAUUUUGAAAUAUAUGUGACUCAAACUAAAAAUUAAUAUUAGGUCUUUUAGAAUUGCUCUCAACAAAGUUAGUAGCAUGUAAACCUAGACACAGAGAUAAAUCAACACGUUAGUAGCUUGUGCUACUUUGCAAGAAAUUUGUAACAUAAUACCUGGGGAUCCCCGAUGUCAGCCAGAAUAAGAUCAAACCAAGGUAACCUAGGGCAAUUCUUAGCAGGCAGAUACAUCCCCGACUUCGACAUAAGAGAUAUUAAUCCCAAUGUCUUUAAUAACGCAGUCUUUCCUCCUGUGUUUGGACCCGAGAUGACGACUACUUUGGCACUGCUUUCAACUUUAAUGUCUACUGGCACAGGGAAAAUGUUUCCAUCAUUUGGGCUGCCUAAUACUGAACCAAGAAGUAGCGGGUGCUGUGCAGAUUCAAUGUCUACAGCUAAAGAUUUAUGGUCUCCAUCUGAGUCCAGUGUUUUACUGUGUUCUGAAGUUAGGUUGGGAUAUACACCAUUCAUCCAUUUUGCAUGUGAUGCUCUUGCAAACGCAAUGUCAAGUUCUAGUAUUCUAUCCAACAAAUGCAAUAUAUCACUCUGCGCAUUAGACACUUCAGAUGUUAAAAUGCUCAAAAUUGCCAUUUCCUCAGCUUUCUCGGCGUUCGCAUACCUCACUUCCAUGUUAUUAAGCUCAACUGCUUCUUUUGGUUCAAUAAAGCAUGUUGCCCUUGAGCUACUAACACUUAAAACAACACCACCUGGAAGUAAACUUUUGCGCGUAGCUCUAAUAGCUACGCACAUCCUUGAUCUGCGCUGCGUUAUCAAAGGCUUGUCAAUCCCACCAGCCUGAAAAAUCAUAGUUGAUACUUCCUUCAGCAGAGAAUCCAAAUUCUCCAUGUUCCUCCUCCUUUCAGAUCUUAUAAUCUCCAAAUCUUCACUAGCUCUGUCAAGAACCAUAGACAUGUUGCAGUCUAUACAAAAACCAAUCUUCUGCUUCAAUGUAUCCUUGAAAUCACAAGCCUGAAGUAUUUCUACAAGAGGAGUAACCCUACAAGAUGACAAGAACAUUACAUAACUUCAUAUGAGCAAACCACAAAUCAUGAAAUUAGAGGAUAAGACUGCUUAUACCGAUUAUCACUAUUGGCUGCUUCUCGAAGUUUCUGAAACGUUGAUGUAGCCGCCAUUAAAGUGCUGCGAACAGUGCAAAGCUCUCUAACAGUAAGCAAUUGACCCGCCACAGCACGCUCGACGAUACCAGACAAGUCCUGGAUCUCAGUAAGACCUAAUCGCCGCGAUUCCAUCAUCUCCAUAGCCGCCAACGCAGCAGCCGUCUCGUCAAGGAGAUUCCUACUCUCUUCCGGCGAAUUUCCCACCGGAAUCUCCGCGUUUUUGGUGGCGGAGAGACCCAUGGAUGUGGAGGCGAAGGGAGAGAGCUGAUUGCAGAGAGCUCGCCAUUCGAGGACGUCGAGAGUUUGGGUUUCGAUUGACUGUGACUCGUCGGAAGAAGCGGCGCGUGGAUUUAACGUAGAGACGAAGCGGAGAGAUGAAGGUACGGUGGCGCGUGAAAUGAAUUGUGAGGCGGCGCGUGGGGAUUUGAGGAGGAUAGGGUUCGGUAUGAGUAAAUGGAGGGAAAGAGUAUUCAUGAUGCAAUGGUGGGAAUAAAAGAUGCAACGUGUCUAUUAUCCAUUGAAAAAAAAAAAAGUUAAAAAUAUAUAAGUUGCGGCACAAUUGAAACUCCAUAGCCAAUCAAAAUAUAACAAUAUGCCACAUAUCAAAAAUAAAUAAUAAAAUAAAACAAUUUCUUUUGCUCUGGUCUAAGUAUCGGGCUCAACUGAAAAUAAUUUCUAAGCUUUUACAUUUUAUGGGGGAGGUGAAGUUUAGGUUGUCACAUGUGAAAGCCAAUUCUUUAGUCUCUGACAUUGCGAGGAGUGUGACAAGAGAUGGACGCCUCACUUCUUAUGUUGCUUUGGACGGCCCGGCUUGGUUGUUGGAUAGGAUUGAGCAAGAACGUCGUGGUAGCGGUUGAGGCUUGGUGUCUGCAUUUUUAUGUUUCAGCUUUUUACAAGCUCCUCUGUUUUUUUCAAUUCUGGUUUUUACUACCAAGUUAUUAAUAAAGUUGCUGAAGUGUUUUAAAAAAAAAAACAAAUUAAAGAAACAAAAUUGUAGGAUUUUUAUUAGAGAAUUUGUUAGAAAUACCCCUUUUGGAUUACUUAUUUUUAAAAAUACUCCUAUUUUUUGCCAUUUUGAAAUUUACCCUUCUUUAAUCUUUUAAGACUAUUCUACCCUCAUCUCUUACUCAACCUUUCUUCUCAAAACUGGCAAUCACCGAUUUGUUUUUUUUUUCUCAGAUUGCCGUCUCCGUAUGCUUUACCGUCGUCAAAAUUCGGAACUCGCCAUCGUUGUUUCUUUCUCUAUGGAAGAUUGUUGUUCCCGUAUCUGUCAUUCGUCGAUCUCGUCGUUGUUGAAAUUGGAGAACUCUUUGUUGCUAGGAUCUAUCUCGCCUUCGUUUCUCAACUCCAAAUCGCCUCAUCUCAAAAUCAAUCAUCCAUAGAGACAAGAGAUUAUUCACGCUGAAAUCGUUCAAAAUUGUGGUCGAGUCCAGAUUCAGGUAUCAUGCUUUAAUCCUUGUUUUUGCUUCCUCAUGUUCUCUUCUCUGUUUCAUUCGUCAUUUUUGCCCCUAGAUCUAAAUUCGCGAAUAAAAGCUUGAUUUUCAAGCGAUUUAGAACUUGAUUCACCCCUCUUGUAUUGAUUUCUUCUAGCAUGAUUAUUUUCAUGCGAUUUAGAGCUUGAUUCACUCUUUAGUUGGCUUCAUUGAAAUCUGUUAAGGUUUUGAUUUUAUUUAAUGAAAAAAAUUGGCUCAAGGGUUUGAAAAUCAGCUUGAAAUCUGAAGCAAAUAAACAAGAAUUGUUGAUUUGUGGUAUCUGAGUACGUUCUAAUCUAAUUUAGAAGAGCAUCCAUUGAGACAGACAUGUGUUUUCUAAUUCAAUGAUAGCUUGAAAUUGAAUUUUGAUUGUUUGAUUCAAGUUCGAUUUGUGGGGUUGAUGGGGUUUUUGAAGAAGUUAAUGGUAGAUUCUUGGGUUGAAGACUAACAAUGGUGGGCAUGGAUUGGAUUGGAUUUCUCGUUUUCAAAGCUUUGUUGCUUAUAUGAUUUUGUUUGCCGUGAUAUUAUUGAUUGUUACAGUAAAGAACUGCAGCCUGCAGUAACAAGUUAUGAAGAAGGUAGCAAUCUCUUUUGUGAUUUGAAUGAAGGAGUACCACGUGAGGAAGGAGAAGUGAAUACACAGGAUUAGGAGUGAAGAGUUUUUGUAUAUAAUUAUAACAUGUUCGUUGGCUUUCACUUGAAAAACACUUCAAAACUGUAACACUUGUGUCCUCAUCUUCACUCCCGAUUUCCGGUUCUUCGUGAGUUGUCACCACAUUCACUUCACAUGAUGAUGAAUUGGUUUGAUUUUGUACUUGUUUAAUAACAAUCUUUGAAUAUAUAAUAUGUUUAUUAGUAAUAUACAUUAGAAGUUUUGAAAAAAGCGUGCUCACAUGUACAGUAUGUAUGAAACCAAAAAUGAAGGAGUAGCACUAGCACGUUUUAAAAGGUUUUAAAAAUACUUUACAAGGUUUUUCAAAGAUAAUAGAACUUUUAAAAGACUUUUUUUUAAAAAAAUUAUUAUCUUUAAAAGCUUUUUGUAAAGAUUAUAAAACAGUUUAACCUUAUAAAUAUUGUUUUUAACCUUAUAAAUAUUGUUUUUAAAAAUCAUACCAGUUUAUGCGAAUUGUUGUUUGUUAACGAGAAGCAUAUAUAACAAUUUCAUGUAAAAUUUUUUAAGUACUUGUUAAAGCCAUAUAACUAUUUUAUAAAGCCUUUUAAAUACUUUGUAAAAAUUUUUAAAUAAUCUUUAAAACCUUUUAAAAACCUUAUAAAACCCAUAUAAAACCAUUAUAAUUUUUUUUGUAAAACCCUAUAAAAGCCUUGUAAAACCUUUUAAAUAGUUUUAAAAAGCUUCAUAUACAUAACACCUUAUAAAACCUUGUAAAACCUUUUAAAUACUUUGUACUUUGUAAAACGUUUCUUAAAACUCCUUUUGAAAACCUUAUAAAAGCCUUAUAAAAUCUUUAUAAAACCCUUAUAAACCUUAUAAAAUCUUUAUAAAAACCUUAUUAAAGCAUUGUAAUUUUUUUUAAAUAGUUUUAAAGACCUUAAUGUACAUUUAAAUACCUUAUAAAACCGUGUGUAAAACCUUUUCAAUACUUUGUAAAACCUUUUAAAUACUUUUUAAAACCUUAUAAAGACCUUAUAAAGACCUUAUAAAAGUUUUAUAAAAUCUUUAUAAAAGCCAUGUAAUUUUUUUUAAAUAGUUUUUAAAUACCUUAUAAAUACCUUAUAAAAACCUUAUAAAAGCUUUGAUCACCUACUCCUUUUGACCCCGUCAUCCAGGCACACCGGAGGUCCUGAUCCGGCGUGCAUCUGUAGUCUUUGGACGGCGGCUACAUCUGUAGUCUUUGGACGGCGGCUACAUCGUGGUUAUUGUAUGGGCAUACUCCGGAAAUAUGUAAGCCAUUGGGCAUAAGUCUUUAAUUGAAAGCCCUUUUAAAAAAUAACCUUAAAAAACCUUGUAAUUUUUUUUUAAUACUUUUAAAAACUUUAUAAAAGCCUUAUAAAACUUUAUAAAAGCCUUAUAAAAUCUGUAUAAAAGCCUUGUAAAACCUUAUAAAAGCCUUGUAAAACUUUUAAAAUUUAUUUUUUAAACUUAAAUAUACAUUUAAACACCUUAUAAAACCUUUUAAAUACUUUUAAAACCCUUAUAAAAUAUUUAUAAAAACCUUAUAAAAGCCUAAUAAAAUCUGUAUAAAAGCCUUGGAAAACCUUAUAAAAACCUUGUAAAACUUUUAAAAAUUAUUAUUUAAACUUUAAUAUACAUUUAAACACCUUAUAAAACCUUUUAAAUACUUUUAAAAACCCUGUAAAAGCCUUAUAAAAUCUUAAUAAAAGCCUUAUAAAACCUUAUAAAAACUUUUAAAUAGUUUUUAAUACCUUAGUAUUCAUUUCAACACCUUAUAAAACUUUGUAAAACCUUUUUAAUACGUUGUAAAAGAAAUACUUUUCAAAACUUUUUUAAAACCAUAUAAAAGCCUUAUAAAAUCUUCAUAAAAACCUUGCAAAAUUACUAAAUUAAAUUUUACAUGAUUUUAAAAGUUUGUAUACAGAUUAUAAAAGGUUUUAAAAAGAUGUUCUAUAUCCUUAGUUUCUUCUUAUUAAAAUGUUAUAAAUCCAUACACACUUUAAUCAUAAGCCCUUUAACAAACUAAAAAAAAAAGGUCACACACACAUUGUACUUGAAAUACAUAAUCACUAGAUGACAAACAAAGAAGCAUAUUUUCAACUUAAGCACCAAUUUUCUUAUCACAUGAGUUUGUUUCUUAGUCUGAAACUAUCGUUAGAUAUACCGCUUUCUACCAGCACUUCUUACUUCUCCACCAGUGUACUCAAGGCUGGCUCUCACAUGUCUCCACUCCUCUUGGUCGAGUACUAAAAACAGAGCUCGAAGCUUCUUGAAUAAUUCCAAAAUUCUAAUAUCCAACAGUAAUCCUGCAACACAAACCAUGAAUAUAUCUAGAUAUAAUUCAUUCACAGCUUGUAUAGUUGAUUAUACAAUAGGGCCAGGAAAUGAAACCAAUGAAACAUUCACUACCUCAGUACCUUGUUAGUGUCUUGCAGCUGGAGAUUCGUACCCUUGCUAUGAAUAUCUCGGACUGAGAUGGUUCUUCCUAUCUGAAGACGACAACCUUUCGUUUUCUUGCAAAUUCACAAAUUGUUUGCUAUGAACUAAUCAUAUUGGAAAUCACACACAUUCAAUUCCACCACCUUAAUAAUAUCAUAUCCUACAGCUAUUACUAAAAACAUGCCUUAUCUUUUCCAUUUGAUUUCGAGUGCAGAUGCAAAACAUCUUCACUUACAAACAUCCUUCUGUAAAAUCAUAGAAAUAUGCAGCAAACUAACAAAUGCAGACCGUAUUAGAGAUGUUGGCCAUACUGAAGUCGAUCUCUUAAAUAUGAUACCUUCACUAAACCUUACUUGUCUAUAACAUUCAAAUCCAGAUUAUAUCCAAACUAAAAGUAUAUAAAAGUACCAAUUCCAGCAUCUUACUGUAAUAGGAGAAUCUAGGCGAAUACGUGUGCUAAGCUUGACGAGAUGCUGAAAGUGAGUUACCAGACCACGUCGAACUGAGCAGAGCACAUUUCAUCUCGCCAUAGCACACCACGACCAAGCACAAUGAAUCACGACAGAGAACAAUAAAUUCAGGGGCUUGAAGGAACGUAGAGAUAGUCGGCGACGGGAUGAACUGUAAACUAGGAUUCUCAUAAACCAACAUCAAUGAAUCGCCGUCGCCGUCGAGAGAGAGAUGAGUCAGAGUCGGAGUCACCAUCGCCGUCGAGAGAGAGAUGAGUCGGGUUUUUGCCGUCGAGAGAGAGAUUGGUGAAGAAGAGAUUUUUUAGGUUAAAACAAAUGAGGGCAGAAUCGUCUUUUUGCACCAAAACAGGGGUAGUUUUAAAAAUGCUCUCCCUACUGGGGUAUAGUCGGCGACGGGAUGAACUGUAAACUAGGAUUCUCAUAAACCAACAUCAAUGAAUCGCCGUCGCCGUCGAGAGAGAGAUGAGUCAGAGUCGGAGUCACCAUCACCGUCGAGAGAGAGAUGAGUCGGGUUUUUGCCGUCGAGAGAGAGAUUGGUGAAGAAGAGAUUUUUUAGGUUAAAACAAAUGAGGGCAGAUCGUCUUUUUGCACCAAAACAGGGGUAGUUUUAAAAAUGCUCUCCCUACUGGGGUAUUUUUAAAAAUGUGAUCCUCAAAAAGGGUAGUUUUAAAAUUGUCCCUUUUUAUUAAGGAAAUUAUAUAUUUUGGUUUGGCUUUAUAAAAGAGUAGUUAGAGUUUAGAUUUUAUACAUCAACAAAAUUGUAUUUCAGUUCGGAUUGACAAAAUAGUGGUUAGAGUUUAGAUUUUUUGUAAUUAAACAAAAUUAUAUUUCGGUUUGGGUUGACAAAAUAGUGGUUAGGGUUUUGAUUUUGUAAUUAAACGAGAUUAUAUUUCGGUUUGGGUUGACAAAAUAAUGGUUAGGGUUCAGACUUUGUAAUUAAACAAAAUUAUAUUUUGGUUUGGGUUUAGAUUUUUUAACUAAGCGAAAUUCUAUUUCGGUUUAGGUUUAUAAAAGAAUGGUUAUAUUAUACAGAUUUUGUUUAAUCUAUUUUGUUUUAAUGAUUUUAGUUUUGAUUUAUUUUUAUAUAUAAUAUGACGUGGCAAAUUACUUCAUUUUAAUUGGUUAAUCUAAUAGGGGAUGAAUGAGGAGGUUUGCCCCUAGGGGUGAACCCAAGUAUUGCUCAAUUACAUUAUUAUAAUAAUGUAAAAGGUUAAGUUAAGGACUAAAGUUAUAGAGUUGAUUAUUGGUUGAACCUCUAGAAUCUUAAAAAUUAAAUAAUUUAAUAAUGUAAAACAUUUUUAAAAUUUUUAAAAUUAAAAAAAUAACUUUUAAAUUGAAAACAUAAAAAAUAAACAUAAAAUUUAUUUGAAAAUAAAAAGAAACAGAAAAUACAAUUCAAAAUUAUUAAUAACAAAAAAAACAAUGAAGAUAAAAAUGAAAAACACAAAAAGAUGUAAACAUAUUAAUUAAAGCACACAAACAUUUUAUUAGAUUUAUACAAAAUGUAUAAACCUUGUUAAUCAUUUGAAAGAUGUCUAAAUUUAGUCCAUAUAUUCUCAAUCAAAUUCUCCUUCAAUUGAUGAUGUGCUUGUUUAUCACGAAUUCUUCUGCGAUGAUCACCUAAACCCUCGAGAUUUGUAGCCAUAUCGUCUGAAAACGUAAGAUCCGGGGCACCUUCUUGGAAUUCUUCUUCGUCAAAGAGAGUGUAUGAAUGGCGUUCAUCUUUAACAAUCAUAUUAUGGAGUAUGAGACAUGCUCUUUCAUAAUAUAUGCUAUUUUGCCUUUUUCCCAUAAAAAUAUGGAUUUUUUAUCAUGGCGAAUCUAGUUUUAAGGACUCCAAAUGCACGCUCAACAUCAUUUUGUGCAGAUUCUUGACGUUUUGCAAACAAAGUAUGUUUCGGGCAUUGUGGUAGUCGAAUGGAUUGAAUAAAUGUCCCCCAAUCGGGAAAAAUACCAUCCGUAAGAUAGUAAGUCAAAUUAUACUCCCUUCCGUUGACAUAUUAGUUCAUUUGGGGAGCUUGACCUUGUAUAAUUUCAUUAAAUACUGGUGACUGAUCAAGAACAUUUAAAUCGUUACAAGUACCUAGCGCUCCAAAAAACGCGUGCCAUAUCCAGAGAUCUUGUGAAGCAAGCGCCUCCAAAACAAUUGUUGGUUUUCCGAUUCCUCGUGAAUACAUUCCUUACCAAGCGGUUUGUGGGUGCUAAAAACCUCUCACAAUAUUAAGAAAGUAAAUGAGAAGAUCAAAAUGGGAUUUUGGGCUAGACUCGCAAAAGUGGAUCAAUUGAAUAUCGGGAUCGCGUAGAAAGUGGACUUAGAAUUCUGUAUUAGGUCUGUUAAAGUACAUGUGUCCUUGCCAAUCUACUCACUCUUCUAUUUAUACUAUUACAUCGUAUCUAUUAAUCGAACUAACAUCCUACAUCUUCUGAUCCUUUUCCUGAAACCACCUCGAUCUCCGCUCGAUCUCCCUGCUUUCUCGAAUAAUCAUUAACUCCACGGCCCUUUAGCACAAACUUGCCCGUUCGGAUUGGGCCUGUCAUUAAUGGGCUUUAAUCGCCGAACCCCAUCACCAACACGGUUGGACAAUUCUUCCACCUCAAAUGCAUACAACCGAUGCUUCCAUCCAUUCCUAGAAAACCCCGCUGUUCUCCAAUAUAGAGUAGCCUUUGGAGAUCCUCUGGUGUAGGGCGUCUUACGUAUUCAUCGCCAAACAAGUCAACAAUUCCCACGAUAAAAUGUUCCAAACAUUUACGAGCUGUCGUUUCACCAAGACGUAUAUAUUCGUCAACCGUGUCCGUUCCACCCCCAUAUGGUAAUAGUAGAAUUGUUACAGUACAUUUUUAGAGCGGUGAUAUACCAUUUCAGUAUGUUGCAUCUUUUUUUGGUUGAAAAUAUGGAACUUCUGUAGAGAUAUGAUUCACAAUACGCAUGAACAAUGAUUUGUACAUUCGAAACCGUCUUCGAAAAAGCUUCUCGGGGUAAGUCGGAUUUUCACUAAAAUAAUCGUUCCACAAACGUGCAUGGCCCUUUUCCCGAUUUCUUUCCAUAUAUGUACGUUUUUUCCUUUCGGCCGGAAUAUCCUCUGUUGUAGCAUCUAAUUGAUUAUCAAAUAGCUCUUGGUAAUAUUCGUCAAAACUAUCAUCAUUACUAGAGUUAUGAUGAUAGUAAAAAUGGUUGGAAGAAGAUGCCAUAAAAAAUGAGAGAUAGAAAGUUGAGGAUUUAAAAGGUGAAUAUAGAAACGAUUAGGAGAAAAUGAGAGAGAUGAUAGCUUUUGUAAUGAAAACGAUUGUGUUUUUAAGAAAAUUUGGUUGUGAGAAGAGAGACAAAGCUUACCAUGGUUUAUAUACAAAUCUUUGUUCACAAACUAACAAAGUCAUGUGAAGAAUAACAACAAAACAUAGCAGUCACAAAUAAUCACAUCAAAUGCAUGUGAUUGAUUCACUUUCCACUUUCACAUAACACCAAAAACAUGUGAAUCACAAUAAUCCAAAAGCAAGCAUACAAUAAUCGAAAGUAUCAUAUCUUGUUUAUAAUCUCUAUUACACUUAACAUAACUAGCGACACAAAUAAGACCAAUAGAGUUAAGCCGAGACCAACUACCAACUCAUUUCUUAAUGUAAACUACUCUUCUGCAACUCAUCAACAAUCUUCUCAAGGCUCACAACCUUCUCAUCAGUUUUAGUAUCUUGUUCUCUCACCUGGUUAAGGUCCAACUCAUGCGAGAAUGUUAAGUAAUCUAACUUCUCAGUCAACACUUCAUAUAAUAUGGCCCUUUCUCUUAUCUCCUCCAUAACAGCCACAUCCCACCACUUGUGAACAUGCAUCUCUCCAUCAUCAACAUUCUCACAGGUGAAGAACCUUCAAUAACAAUUAGAAGAUCACAUAUAUAAGUUCAGAAAUCACAAGAAGUAAGUUGAUACAUAAAAGGUAAAUCAGAGAAAUAUCACUUACCUUCUCCCUGGAUCUUUUGUAGUGUAACAUGUAUUUAGGAGAGGUUGAGCAUUGUUGAAGCUACUCUAAGCUUCAUCGAGAAAAAUGUUUGCUUCUCUUUCCAUGUCUGCAGUGUCCUCUGUGUAACUAUCAAACUGAUAUGAAGAAGAAGGCUGAGAGUAGCUAUAAUCUUGUCCCAUCUGAUACUUAACUUGAAAACAAACAGGAAGAGAGUUAAGAGAUUUCACAGAAACUGAUACACAAUCAUAUAAAAAACAGGAAGAAAGUUGAUAUAAUAAGAGAUAAUACAGAAUCCAUAGCAAUUUCAUAUAGCAAACAAGAGAGUUGAUAUUAAUAAGCAACCAUACAGAGACUGAUACAAUAAGAGAUAAUACUUAGACAAAUAAGCUUCAAAGCUAGUUAGAGAUAAUACUUAGACAGAAACUGAUACAAUAAAAGGUAAUACUUAGACAUAAAUUAAACUUCAAAGCUAGUUAGAACAAUAAACUUCAAAGCUAGUUAGAACAGUUCAACCAUCAGCUUCUUAUUAAGAGCUACUUCUUCUUAAGAGCUACUUCCUCUUCAUCAAGUGGUUGUGUCUUGGCAAUGAGAGUGUCAAGAAUGGAAAUCUUUUGGAGUUCUUUCUUGGCCUCAUUAUCCUUUUUUUUUGUUUUCCCAGAUGAUUGGGUACUCUACAGAUGGUGCAAUCUUCUCUUUACCUCUGCACCUUUUGGACUUCAUUGCCUUUAUACCAGGAGGUCUGCUCUCUUGUUCACCAACAACAUAUCCAGAAGAUGAUGCAGCAUCCUCACAUUUUAUUUUCUUGCUUGAUGUAUUGCUAGUAGGGUUCAUCAAUCCAAGGCUGCACCAUUUAUGUUUAUUUUUCAACUCAGUCCAUGCAUGCUCUAGGGUAAACUUCUUCUUGUAAAGGUUGAAGUAGAAUUGAUGAGCAUUCUUCAGAAUGUCUACAUCAUUCAUUCCACUAGCUUUUUCAGCCUCUAUAGAUGCAUAUGCUCCACAGAAAUGGCUCACGUCCUAGCUAAUUCUUCCCCACCUUUGCUUGCAAUGGUCAGCCAUCCUUGCUUCACCACCAUUGAUAACAUGAUCACUUGAUGCAUAGUAGUCUGCAAUCCUUUUCCAUAAGGUCCUUGGCCUUUGUUCAUUGCCAACAAUGACAUCCUUGUAUGUGUUUAACCAGCCGUUGAUCAAGACUAAGUCAUCUGCGCUGUUCCGUUGCCUUCUCUCAUCUGCGCUGUUCCAUUGCCUUCUCUCCCUACGGUCACUUGGUGUGGCUUGAGAUUGAGUUGGAGCAUGACUAUGUUGCUGGCUAAAAGGGAUUUGUGAUGACCCAAUGUUAACAUUGGGAGAGAAACUGUCAUAAGGAAAGUUAUGAUGGCUAAAGUAUUCGGGAGACUGACUAUAUGGAUUAUUAUUUGAAUCCAUAGCAAACAGAUUGGUUGAAAGGAAGAAGGAAAGAAGAGAACCAGCAGAAGAGAAAUUAGAGAUAGGUAAAAAGAAGAAGUAGAUAAUUAAAAGAUAGGAGUUAAAGAGGCUUUGGUUUGAGGUUUAUAGAGUUAAGUCUUAGCUAAGAAUUACAUACCUCAGUCAAAUCACUAGUAAUAACACUCUAAAACCAAAAAACCUAUCAACUCUCAUUAACUACAUAGUAAUAUUCUUAAAAUAAGGAAAUUUUUGUAGUUCUUAGAUUCUUAAUAUUCUUCAAUUUACACCAAGACAAUACAAUUCAUUAAACAGUACAAUUUACAGCUUGAAUUUACAACAAACUAUGACUAACCAUUAGACAAUACAUUUUACACCAAGAACCACGCAAUUCAGGAAAAUCUGUUGUAUUAACUAUUUAGCUUCGAUUAACUAUAUAGAAAGUGUGACAUAGAUGUAAGUUUGGAGAUAAUGCUGCUAUGUGGUUGAUUAUACGAAUGAGUAUUCCCUGGUUUCCUCACCUUCAAUCCUCAGAAACAAAGGAAAAAGCGUAUGUUAAGGAUUCUGUUUACAGUAAAAUCAAAUGCAUCAUGUUUAGAGUAAAAUCUAAUGCAUCAUGUUUAUAGUAAAAUCUAAUGCAUCAUGUUUCGAGUAAAAUCUAAUGCAUCAUGUUUACUGUAAAAUCAAAUGCAUCAUGUUUAGUUGUUUACAGUAAAAUCAAAUGCAUCAUGUUUACAGAUAAAUCAAAUGCAUCAUGUUAAGAGAUCAAAUCAGAUGUUUAUGUUCAUGUUUACAGUAAAUUCAGUUUCCAUUCCAUAUGAAAACAAUGAAUAUCAUCAGAAAAUCAUUUGUAAACCUAAAUUUCUUUUAACAUAAGUCACUAAACCUACAUCGACUUCCAAAAGAAAUUCCUACUAAGACUCCCAAACCAAAUAUCAAACUGACAACAUAUCGAAAUCCCCUUUCAAAAUAGUUUAAAGCAAUAUAUCUAACUAAACCCUAGAAAUGAAAACUUCUUCUUAUUCGAUUCGAUUCAGUUCGGCUUGUCAGAGACAAAUGAGACGGUGGGACAGAAGAGACGAUGACAUAGAGGAGACGGUGAGAAGACAUACCUAUCGGAGACAGUGGAAACGGUGAGGAGUCGGUGAGACAGAGCAGACGGUAUUUGUGACGGUUAGACAGAGGACACAAUUAGGAGACAGUGAGACGGAGCAGACGGUGAGGAGCGAGUAAUUAAAAAAAAAAAGUCUAAAGUAUUUCUCAUCAAUAACAAGAUGAUAUAAAAAAAAAUGGAAACUUAAAUUCAAUUUCAACUUUCAUAUAUCAAAUGACGGAUAUGAUAUAAGAAUAUGAAAUUUAAAUAGCAAAAGUAAGUUUCAAAUUACUUAAAUAUUUCAAAUAUCAAGAUAAGAAAUAACGAAUAUGGGAAGAGAACGGGGUAUUUAGAAAACAAAAAUUAUAAUCUUAACUAUUUCUAAUAAAAUACAGAAGGAAAUUAUGGGUAACGGACAAGCAGAAAACAUAUUAUUUAUUCAUGUGGGUGGGCCCAAAUAUUUAAUUUGGUUGCAGAACGUGCAUAGUGAACGAGUUUGACUCUCUUGACAUCUAUAUUUCGGUCAUUUUAUUCAAAAUUUUUAAUAUUUUUCAUUUUUUAUAUGGUGUGAUAGUUCACGAAUUUAAUUAAUUUCUAAAUUAUCACUAAUCCGGUUCACACUCGAUAUGGGUCUCAUAUCAUGUCGAUCCGAAUAUAUAUUGAAAAUUUUAUAAUAAAUUUUAGGUUUUGAAAUCAACCCUGCACGUACGUGCAGGUCCAUCCCUACUAUCAUAUAAAGUGAGUAAGCUACAUAUAUUUAAACAUAUUUGAAUGAUAACAACAUAGUUAAAGAAAAAACAUUAAAUAAAUUAGAAUAUUAUGUUUGCAUCUACUGUUGAGAGAAAACUACCGUUCAUAAAUCAAAUUUAAAUUUUAGUUUUUCAAGACAUUUUUAUUAUUGAUUUAUAUAAUAAAUAUUUAUCAAAUUGACAACAAACGAUUGUCAAAGUUAUUUUUGGUACCCAAAAAAAAUCUUCCUAUGAAUCACAGAUUAAAUCGUAUGUAGUUCAUAUAUAUAAAAAAUAUUUAUUAAUUAUCAUAGAAGAUAAUAAAUAAUGUUUUUUCUUGGUAAGAAAUAAGACAAAUGGUUUUCUGUCAUAUAGAAAGUAUAUCGGUGACUGAAAAAGAAAAAUAGAAAUAAAUAAAAUAGCAAACAUAUAAGGGAGAAAAUCUUCAUAAAUAUAAAACAAAUCUGGUCAUAAAAUGAAUAUAUCAAUCAUGGUAUCCAUUCUAUUAAAUCUAUGAAAAAUUACACAACACAAAGGCCAACGAGAUUGAUACAAUUCUCCUAGUCCUUCUUAAGAAUGCAAAGCAUAAAUCAUAGAACAUAAAUGUCAACACCAUUAAUCCAAACAUCUUAAUCUGAAAACAAUUUUAAAAACGAUGAGAUUAAAUUAGAUAAUAAGAUAAUAAAUUUUUGAUAAGAUCACUCUCUCAUCAUGAUGAUGGGGGCUCCUGCUUCCACAGCCUUGAUUCUCUCUUGGAUAAGUUUGAGCUUCUUGUCAACCACCUCGGCUGCUUUAAGCAGUUCCUCUGAACAAUCUGAUUCGGUGGUUAUAUCAUUGGUUGAAGCCAUUAUCCCAAGAUUCAUAGCACGAGUAUGCCUCUUCUCCCUCUCCAACUUCUUCUCUGCGUCCUGAAUCAUCUUCUCCAUGAGAUCCUUUUGGUCCAUCAUGUAUUUGAUUUGUUUCUCAACUGGAAGCUCGCUUAACCUUUGAAGAAGAGAACGAACCUCACUUAUGUUUGGCCAGAGCUCAGGACCAUCCUUGUACUCGCUGUAAAUGAUAGCACAAGCGGGUAAACCACAAAGGAUGGUUAAUUCACUGAUCUUUUUCAGUAAACCAUCUUUGCGUUUUCGAAAUGUAACUCGGCGAGUGGCGUUGUCGGUGAUCAACUGGUGUGUAACUUUUCUCCUACCCAUCGUGAAAAAAAAAGUUUGAAGAAGAAGGAGAGGAGGAUUUGUGUGGUUUCAGAUACUAAUGGGUAAAAUGUUAUAUAGAUGACUUCUAACGUUGACCUUUUUCUACUAGGUCCACAGAAGAUAUUUCAACACAUUGAAAUAGGUAUGUUUUAAUAUUAAAACAAAUUAUAGAAAGGUUGUUACAGAAAAAUACAAAUUAAAAUUAAGAAAAAUAAUAGCUAUAUAUGAAAGCUUUCUAUAUAAGAAGACGUAUAUCAAAAGAAGUUUAUUUUAUUUUAUUAUGUGUCUUUUAUUGGUUAGUCUAGUCAACCUCAAAAGAAGGGAGGUAAUAUUUUCCUAUUAUUGUCCCCAUAUACACAUGUAAAAAGGUUUGAACUAUUUUUUGGUUUCUUACACUAGACCAAUUAGAAAGUUGAUUUGACAAGUUGUAGUGAUGAGUUGUAAAUCAAGUUGUAAUGUUAAUACAAAUUUAUUAUACUAACAACAAAAACAUAAUUUAUCAUACCAGUAGGGUAAAUGGCAUAAGUCAGUAAACAUUUUAAUUGAUAAUCACGAAAGCCUAUGUAUGGACAAACAAAGUAAAGCUUAUCGUUUCUAUGAUUUCACCUAUAUAUUAGGCUGUUGUGACUAUGGAUAUCAAAGGUGUGCAUAUUUGUAAAUCCCUACUUACAAAUCCUGAGGUAUAUGAAUCCUUUCAGGAUUGUUGAGCGGGUUAGUGUCGAUCCCUAAUUGUAACACCCCUGUCUGAAAUUUUGUUAGUGUUGAUCGACACCAACAAAUUUCGGUUUGACCUAUUUGUUUUAAAUUGCAAAAUUGAUUUGGGUUGGUUUCACGAAACCCUAAGGCUCGUUUUAAAAGAGAAAACUUGAAGCCUUGAAGGGUUAUCAACCACUUUAUUCUUUUAGAAGAGUGGAAAAAGUUCCUAAGUUUCUUGUGAAGUUCUGUGGGAUUUUAGAGAUAUUUAGGUGUUGUUCUUGAGAGUUUUGACUAAAGGAAAGGAAGAUUUUGGGGCUGUGCUGUUAAGAGAGUCUUGUGUUGCCUCUAAUUGUGUUGUUUCCUUCAUUGAUAGUUCUAUAUCAAGGUGAGUUCCUGACCAUGGGUUAUCUAAGCAUUAAGAUUGUGUGAUUUUUGUUUAUUUGAUGUGUGGAGUAAUUUUCCGUGAUGUUUUAAGUUUUUCUGGUGUUUGUGUGGCCUUGUGUGGCUGUUCCUUGGUUGUGUCGGAGUGGGAGAUGAUGUGGUUGUGAUUUUAAGGUUCUCUGGUGGAUGAGAUUGUCAUUGGAUGUGUUAUAGGGUGUGGGACACCAGGCUUUUGUUCGCGGUGCAUUACCGUGGUCGUGUCGACCGACACCAGUUGUGUGUGUCGACCGACACUAGUUGGUGUUGUCAAUCGGGUAUCGACCGACACAAGUUUUCUGUGAGCGCAGUUUGUGUUUUUGAUUGAUUGGUUUGGCUGUUUUUCGUAUUAAUAUGUGAUCAUGAUCUUAAUUACUAAUAUGUAUAGCCCAGUAGAUAGGAGGAUCGCUUCACUGAGUAUUUGUGAUAAAGCCCACGUAUCUCAUUGUGUUUGUGAUGCAGGUAAAGUGUGACGUAGAUUCAUGGCAAUGAGGAGGAGGACGAUCUAGGGUCUCGGUUAUUGUGUUUAUGGUUAUGUUAUGUUGUUAGAACCUGGAUUAAAAACAUGCUAGGCGGUUAGUGUAAUUUAUGGUUAUAGAAUGAUUGGUUAAUUAAUAUUUGAUUACUUAGAGUUGGUUUUGUUGUUUCCGAUGUGCAUGAUGGUUUAUUUAGAUAAUUGCUGGAUAUUUGAUGGUUAAAUGAUAUUUGUUUAUUGGAUUGGUUUCCGGUUUAUUUCUUCCGUUGGUUUAGUUGGUUAAAUUGUGAGACCUCGGUUUGCGGAGAGGUUUAAAUGAAUUUAUUUGGCCAUCUAUGUCACCAAAUUGCACUUAUCUUUUCGGUCAAAGGUCCUGAGAGAACUCAAGAGUUAAGCGUGCUUACACUAGAGUAGUCAAAGGAUAGGUAAACAUCCAGGAAGUGGUUAUAGGAACUGUGUGAGUGAGGCCAAACAGAGGGGAAUAUCAAGUGGUGAUUUGUAGGGUCGGUAAAUAAGUUUUCAAGCCUCCCGGACGUAGCAAAACGACCGUCGAGUAUGGAUGGGCUCGCAGGCCUAACGAGAGGAUGUGAGACCCAUUAAGAGGGGUGGGCCCAUGGGCUGAGAGGGAACAUGAGAUCCUUUGAAGAGGUGACGGUCGGGGCGUUAGAAGUGGUAUCGGAGCCGAUCCCAGACGGGUGUGGAGUCAAAUCGGCUCACACCGUCAAGGGUGACGGUCUUGGUGCACAACGAGGACGUUGCGGCAUGUUAGUGGUGGAGAAUUGUGAGUUCCUGAUUUGAUAAGAGGUUUAAAUUAAUUAAUUUGGGCCAUUUGGCCACCUAUGUCACCAAAAUGCACUUAUCUUUUCGGUCAAAGGUCAUGAGAGAACUCCAGAGUUAAGUGUGCUUAUGCUUGAGCAGUCAAAGGAUGUGUGACCUAAAACCGAAUACUCCUUCGUAUUUUACUAUCUUAUUAUUUUGGCCUUUGUGUAAUGGCCUAAGGCCCGUUGGUAUACAUCCAUAAAGAUGACCUUAGAAAAGAGCCACCAAAAAAGUGGGCUUAACCGGACGUUUCAAAACCAGAACAGAAAUGGAUAAAUCAUGAAACUUUAAGAAAUCUAUAAUUGUUAUAAUCAUCUUUUUCAAACUAAACCAUUUCUAAAUUGAGAACCGAAUAGAUUUCCAAAAUACAUAUAAUACAUUUAUAUCUAUAAUAUAGGCAAACAUUAGUUACUUUUUCUUUUGGGGUUAAAAAACAAAAGUUACAUAAAGUUAGUUUCUUUUGUCAGUAAUCUACAUACAUUAAAGAGAAAAUUGUAGGGAAUGACAUGAACAGUGAUAAAAGUUAUUUGGAAUGCCAUUUUCCAAAACUUCUUUCAAAACAUGCCAUAAAAGCCAUGUAAAAAGACUAUGUUAUCCUUCUCCUCAAUGAAAAUCUCAAAACACAAUUGUUUUCUUUUCUUUCAUUAUCUCUCUCUUCUUCUUCAUCUUCAUUUUUUUUUCUUAUUCCAACAACAAACAGUAUCGACGGACCAGAUCCGACGGACGAAUUCCGACGGACCAUAUCCAACAGACGAACUCUAACGGACCAGAUCUGGCGGACCAUAGCCAAUUCCGGUGUACUGUAACCAGUUCCGUAGACCAGUUUCGGCAGACCAUAUUCGACAGACUAGUUCCGACAGACCAUACAGUAGACGAGUUCCGGCAGACCGUAGUCAGUUCUGGUGAACUAUAACCAGUUCUGGCAGACCAGAUUCGGCGAACCAGAUUCGACCAACCAGAAAGACGAGUUACGAUAGACGAGAUCUGGCGGACCAUAGUCAGUUCCGACGAACUUCAACCAGUUCCGGUAGAGCAGAUUCGGUGGAUCAGAUAGACCAGUUCCGACAGACGAGAUUUGAUGGACCAGAUCUGAUGGACCAGAUCUGAUGGACCAGAUCUGAUGGACCCGAAUCGGUACACCAAACUUGUCUAUCCUACAGAUCUCUUGAAACCACAAAUAAUUGAGUAGAAGAUGAAACAAGUGAUACAUCUAUGGAAGAUAUCCAUCAAAGAUCUAUCUAGAUGUACACUUUGGAUCACACAUUUGUGUGUAGAUGGACUAGAUUCGGUGGACUAGAUCCAGUGGACCAAAUCCGAUGUAUGUAAUAUGUUCAUUUUUGUUUCCUAAUUUGUUGUCCAUCAUACGUAUAUAGCUUUGAAAGAUGUUUGUGGCACGUUUUGAAAGAUGUUUGUGUCCAAAACUCACUCAACAAUGUUGAGGGAAAAAUCGUCCAAGCUUCUCCCUUUGUGGCAUGUUUUGAAAGAUGUUUUUCAUAAUGACAUAAUAACAACUUUGAGUUUAAAAAAUGGCAUAGCCUACAAAAUUCCCUACAUUAAAAGCUUAAUAGAGCAAAAACCCAAGAACAUUAUUUAAGAUAAAGACACGGUUCGGAAUACACUUUGCGUGAGUUAUUAUUUUAUUUUUUUUGGUCGACCAUUUAAUUUUAUUAAACAGAAGGUAAGUUACAGAAGGAUUUAAACAUUACACGUAUACAAAAGCUAACAGUGUAGAAACUAAAUUUAGCAAUAGACACGUGUUCUUCUUGGCCACGUCACGUAUCUUGAGGAAGCACACCACCGUAAGCUUUUGCCGAUGUCUUCACGAUUCCGAUCAAGCUUCUUAGAUUGAUAGAUUCAUCCUUUGCUUGAUGGAGAACUUUUUUCCUUCUGUCAAUUUUCUUCUGCUGAUCUCAGAUCCUUCCAAGAGAUAUGUCAAGUUUUUCUGGUUUCUAGAAUAAAACUCUUCAAAUCUUCUCCAAAGAUCAUCAACUCCGGGAAGCUCCACCACCGAAUACAUCAAAAUUUGAUGCAAUUCUUUUCUUUGCUCUUAUGAUAUGAGCAAAAUAAAGCGAUGAAGAUAUUACUCCACAAAUAGUUGAAGAGAUUGAAGAAAAAUUUGGAAGGAUAAUCAGAAAACUUUGACUAAAAGAAAACACAAAUGGAUUAGAGAUCUAGAUCUCGCUAAGAAACCGGACUUAGCCGGUGCAAAAAUCCAGAACUUAGCUGGAAAACUAUUUUAUAAGAUAAACUCCGGUGUACCAGAAUUCUCCUUCUCUCUCUCAAAGAUAGAAAAGCGAUAAGAGAGAGAAGUUUCUCACGUGAGUUAAAAUUAUAUACCUAAAACACAUUAGAAAGAAAUAAAAAAAGUUACAUAAAAUAAUCAAAAAUAACUAAAAGUCAUCUAAAAGUUAUAUAUGUCAAAAUUAAAAUAUAUAUAUUUUUUAAAUUAAACCAGUCCGACCUGGAACCGAACAUGAACCAAUCCGACCGGAUACAUAUACAACCAAUAAUCAUUUCCAAACAUAAACCUUGUCGACGUCUCUUCUGGGUUUUAUAGUUUCAGACAAGAAAAAAGAAUUGGAAAUUGCAAUGUGGAGGAGUUGCUUACGCGCCUCCUCUUCUCGUCACCGUUUCUCUACUCUCUUCUCUUCCCAAACUCUUAAACCCUUCAUCUCCUAUCCUCCUCCUCCCUCGCCGUCACCAUCGCCGCCGUGUUUCCCCUCUCUCCGGCGAUUCAUCUCUACUGGCCCAGAGUUACCAAUUGGGUCUCAAGAUAUCAUCCCCAGCGAUGAUUCUUCUUUACCUGUUCUCGCCGUCGUAAAUUUCCUCGACGGGUUUCAUGAAUUCACAGGAUUGCCUUGGUGGAUGAUUAUUGCAUCUUCUACUGUUGCUGUUAGAUUAGCUUUGUUGCCUUUACUUAUACUUCAACUUAAGAAAUUGAAGACCAUUUCUGAGUUGUUACCUCAAUGUUAGUACCAUUUCUCUAAUUUUUUGGUUUUGUAGUUGUUAGGGAACAUGGAAUUGAGGCUAAAGUUAAUCCCUUUAUGCUAGAUUUAGUUGUUUCAAUGGGACUUGUAUGCAAGUGAUUAUGUCAAGUUAGAUAAGCGUUGCUCUAGAUAGUGGUGAUUGUGAUGCAUACUAUGUGAUUGGUUCUGUAUAUUCUUGAUGAAGUUAAGAAGCCAAUCCUAAUGUUUCAUUUACUUACAGUGCCUAUGCCGAUCCCAGAGACUCCAACAUUAAGAGGGUCUAUUGAUCAGUUUUCUCGUUUUUUAAAAGAGAGUCGAGCUAUUGGUUGCCCUUCGUUUUUGUGGUUCUUCCCAUACUUAUCGGUCCAGGUAAAAAGACCUCUCUUUGUGAUGUUUUCUACACUCUGUGUUGGUAACAAUACCAGAUACUAGCUCGAACGUUAUAUUUGCAGCUCAUCUCUUUUUUUCCCGUAGUAAGCGAAGCUAUUGUGAAAAUCUGAACAAGAACACUCGUGCUUUAUAAAUCUUGGGUCUCGUAUAGUCAUCUUUGUUAGACACUCUGUUGACUACUUCACUUGGAAAUUAUUCUUUUUAGAUAUCAGCUUUCUAUUCGUUUUAGUUCUCUUUGAAUGUUUCCUUGUUGCACUUAUAUGUAUCGAGCUUCCAGUGAGAGUGGUGGAUGAUUUUAAAUUAUACAUCAGUACAUAAAGAGUUUUGAGAUCGAACUAGUAACUAUAUGGAUGUAAUAUGAAAUUCUGUAUGAAAAAGCCAACCUUUGAAUUCUUUGAUCUUGGGUUCUCAUCAUGUGACACAUUUGUCAGUGCGCUAGUUUUUGCCAUUUUCCUUUGGAUUUUCUUCUCUAAAGUAUGUUUUCGCCCCCUUGUGGUUUUAAUUUGCGUGGUUGGUUGGAGUCGUAUGCAGCUUCUUUAUUAGAACUAAUCGCCCCAAUUGAACUUUGAUUCUGCUUUACAAUCACAGUUGAUUUUUUUUGCAGAAAAAUCCAUAUCGUAUAUGUUUUUAUAUCUGUUUGAUAACACCUUCUCAUGUUACUUGAUCUCUGGCUUUCUUUAUAAAUGAUAUGGUGUUUUCUAUGUUGAAACAUUUAAUAAAUAGUUAAUGUGUUUCCAUCAUAUUCAUUCUCACUUACCCAUUUGCUUUCCUCAUCUGCAGCUCCCAUGCUUUUUCUUGUUGAUGGCUAGCAUCCGGAAGAUGUCACUAGAUGGUCAUCCUGGGUUUGAUUCUGUAAGUUGAGACUGCACAAGAAUAAUUUGUAUAGUCACAUAGUUGGUUUAAAAAUCUGCUAGCUUGUGUCAGGUGGUACACUAGCAGUUUCCCUGGUGAUUUUGGUUUCUUUUGUCGAGUUAGAAUAUCUAUCUGGGUCUGUGUUAGCAAGUGGCGAUUGAUGAAUAAUGCCAGUAUAGAUGGCUGCUAUCUGAGUUGACAAGAGUAGGCUAAAUCGGCGUUUUUAAUGUUGACAAGACUUGUUAUAUUGCUUGUAUUUUUCCUUUGUAUUUUAUACCUGAAGUACAGUUUUUUUAGGACAUGUGACAUAUAUGCUCAACAUUAUUUGUGACUUGUUUUCUAUUUGUAUAAUUUUUAGUUUCGUUGUUGUACGUAGACUCUCAUAUGGAAUCUAGAUCUUAGUACUAGGAUUGAGCAUAUCUGAUCUGAAUAUGUCCUUUAAUAUUCCCUGAUGUUGCUUUUGCGACUGACCUGUUAUCUUUUCUUUGCAGGGUGGUGCCUUGUGGUUCCAGAAUUUAAGUGCUCUUCCUGGUGGCUCUUUUGGACCAGUCUUUCCAAUUUUGAUUGCUGGCUUCCAUUACAUUAACAUACAGGUUAUUGUGACUACUUGUUAUUCAAAUAUGUGUCGAUGGAUCAUACUAACCUUCUUACUUUCAGAAUUUAUUUGUUCUGCAUACUGUUACCAUAGAGUAUUCAAAUUAUAGGUUACAUUUUUAUAUAUGUAUACUUCUAACUUUGAAUUUUUCUCCAGAUUUCUUUUGAUUCUCCCACAAUUCGUCAAACUACCGGCUUGACCGGGAUGCUCAUGAGAGUGAGUUGAACAAGUCUUAUUUGCAGCCUUGGUUACUUACGUCUUACGCAAUUUUGUUUUGUGUGCUUGGAGCACUAAUUAUUUCUACCAUGAAAAUUGGUAUUGUUAGUGAUAUUACUAAUGCCAUGUUUCAGUAUGCUAUUAAUAUUAGAUUCAUGCGUCCAGAAUCUCAAAACUGUACUUGUUUUUGUUUUGCAGUAUUACAAGUUAUAUCUGGAGAUCUUGAGUGUUCCUUUGUUUUUUGUUGGCUAUGCUAUACCACAUGUAAGUAAUUUUAUCCAUCUCUCUCCGCAGUAUAAUUUACUCUACAAAUCUGUUGGCCGUCUUAUUCUUGUCUAAAUAUUCAUCUUUCAGACUUUUGGUUAUUUCUCUACCAAUUUCCAUACCUUCUUUCUUGUUUCUUGUCUUUCUCUACCAAUUUCCAUACCUUCUUUCUUGUUUCUUGUCUUUAAACGUGUUCUUACUUCUUUUUAUGGGUCAGUGUGUGCUGUUUAUUUGACUCUACUUCUUUUGUUCAGUUUAUUCUAUAUGUUUUCUUCCAUAAAACGUUUUCCCUAGAGACUCUGAAUUGUCCUUCAUUUUUGCUUCUCAUCUUACUUCGGCAGAGUUUUAUGUAUAUGGAACCAGAACUAAUGCUUCUGUUUUUCUGAGCCAUUUUUUUAUGAGCAUUUUCUUCUUUUUCAGGGAAGUCUUGUCUAUUGGGUAACCAACAGCUCAGUAAAUAUAUUUCAGGUAUGCUCCCUUGUCUCAUUUCAGAAUUCGCAGUAGAAGAUGCGGUUCUUUGUUUUAUCUUCCCAGUAUCGAGGAAUGGGGAAUGAUGGUAGUUAGCAUUAAAAUAAAUCAAAUCGAAGAAAACUUCUCUUGCUUGUAUGUUGUUUCUGCAACUGAAGAUUAAAUACCAAACUAAAGUGUUAAAAUAGACAGAUAGGUUGUUCCUCUGUGUAGACUCAAUGCAAUUAUGUUGAUGAGAUCUAUUUAGUGACUGCACUUGCUAAAAAUAACAGAUUCAAACAUUAAAAGAGAGUUGUCUUAGUGGGUUCACCAGUGAUUUAGUUUUUGAUUUUAAAGAUAGUGAAAAGAAAAACUUGCUAGCAACUGCACUGGGGGCUCAUAUAAAGAAUUGACUCUUUGUCGAGGUUGUUAAUAUGUGUAAAGUCCUCACGAGAAAUCUCAAAUCUGCAGCAAUUAUCUCUCAAGCACCCUAUGGUAGGAGCAAAACUUGGUUUACUGGGUCAGGGAGCCUCUUCAAGCGUUGGGCAUUCCAUGGAGAUCAGCGAGUCUGUGAUCAAGUAUGUGGACUCUAACUCACAAGAGCAGACCCUUUCUCUACAGACUUUAACACCAGAAGAACUUCUUUCUGUAAGUAGUUGGACAAUGUAUUCCUAUUGAUCAUGUAAGCCUGUAUGUUUCAAUUUUUCUUAUGUGGGGAUUUGGUGUCAGCUUUCAGUUCAGGUCUUGUCAAACGGUGAUCAAGAAACAUCCAUUCAGUUGCUUCGGUGUGUAUUUCUAAAGAGUAUCUUCCUGAUCAUCUACUAUUCUUUACCUUCAUGUCUAGCGAUAUUCACUUCAUGUGUAAAUUAUUCUUUUCAGAUUAGCUCUUGAAAAGGAUCCUGGAUAUGUAAGAGGUUUGGUUCUCAUGGGACAGGCUUUAUUGCAGAAGACGCAGUUGGCAGAAGCUACUCAAUAUUUGGAGCUUGCUAUCUCCAAGGUUAGAAUUCUGCUGCUUACUUUUUUGUACGUUUACACUUACCAAUAUUACUUUCUUAUUGACUGUGUAGUAAGAUUAAGAGCUUAAGAAUCUUUCACUAAGCAGCACACUUCUUUUGUUUUUCUCUCAGCUUCUUGAUAGCGAUCCAUCUGAUCCUGAGGAUGUUGAACUUUUAAUGCUUGCAUCUCAGUGGGCUGGUGCUGCAUAUGUGCAACAGGUACGACCGAUAAUCAUUUUUGAAAACGACUGUUAUGAAAGUGUCUCAGGUCCUGAAUCGGAUGUCAAUUGUUAUAACAACUUCUUCGCGUAGUUUCAAUUUGACCAAAAUUUAAGAGACUACCUAUUGUUAUUUUCUUGCUCUGCAAAUUUUCGUCACCUAUAAUGGUGGAUUUGGUUGGAAGUUGAGAUUUGGUGUUUCUGGCAGGGAAAAAUGAAAAGUGGUAUUACACACUUGGAAAGAGUAGCGAAACUGCAAGAACCCGGUGAUCUUAAAAGCAAAGAGCAUUACUUUGAGGCAUUGCUGCUUCUUUCAAGGUACUCUAUGACAGCAGAAUAGAAGUUUCACUAUGGAGAGUUUAGAAAGUAGAUAGAGAAUCAUAUAUAUGACUAAAUCCCGCGCAAUUGAAAACAAAAAGCUUUUGCCAUUGCAGUGCUUUGUACAAAGAAGGGCAGAGUGAUGAAGCUGCAAAGAUUCUACGAGUAGUAGUGGAUCACAAUCCAGCUUACAAGCCUCUGCUUCAACAAUGUGAAGAUGAGAAUGAGCUGGUUAGUGAUCUUGUCAGUCGCAGGAAGGACCAUUACUGAUUCUCUCCACUUUUACUUGUAAGUAUUUGAAUACUAUGUGUAACAUUCAAAAGUUCAUGACCUUGCAGGUUAGUAAUAGUGUAAAUGUGUAAAUCCAUCAAUGGAUAUUAGAAAACAUUCAAAACAAAUAAAACUGAUCAGAACCAAAAGUCGCAAUAAAAGUACAUACAAAGUUGAGGUUUAGUACACAACACUUGUUUAAGACUUUUGAGUCAUGAACCUACUACACAAACACACCAUCAAACUAGAUUAUUCCGAUAGCAGACAUGAGGAAGCGAAGUCUAAGACUAACAUAUGCAAUAUCAUGAGUGUCCAACUGGUUUAAACUUGAGCGACUAGGUUCCACCACGCCAGUGAAGACAUAGAGAGCUUGAAGCUCCUCUGCAUAUGUGGCACUCCUUGCAACACUGUAUCCUACUACCUUCCUCAAUGCCUCCAUCUUCUCCCAUAUCUGAUCUUCACUAUACACCUGCAAAUCCAAAACCAUACAUACUUGGAUUACUUGGACUCUUACCUUUGAAAAUCGAACGUAAUGCAGAACAGUUGAUCGCAAUCAGAGCCAUGUUCUUUGUAGCUCAACUUUAAAAAAUUCAUUUGGAUCCCCCACCACAAUUUUCAGAGAUUAGUUAAAAAUGUUACUACAUACAUGCCUAACUAAACAAUGGACUCUACUAAAAUAGCAUCACAUACGAAAAUACAUCAUAUCAAGAGCAGAUUCAAGACAUCUCUCACCAAAACAUUCUAAACCAUGUCUAGCUAAUGGCACAACACAAUAUUAGCAAUGAACGAACAGAGUCUUCCCUCUAAAUUAAACAUUCCAGAACAUGACAUAUUAGAAACCGGUUACCUGCACGCCCGGUUUUCUUCUUUUUCUUAGUUGUGUUUUUUCGUUUCUCGUCCCCGGUUCCAUGUGCCCCACUAGCUUGGUCUAUCGGCUGAACCAUUAGUCAAGAGAUCAGAGAAUGAUUUUACAAUAAUUCCCAGUCAAUUAUAUAGCACCAUUGGCACUAGUCAAUGAAAAGACUAGUCCAUGACCUUAAUAACUAGAGGACAUAACCACCACAGAAAGAAUUAUAACCACAACAAUAUAGAUGUAACAGUGAAAAUUAAUAGCUAUUGACCAAUAAGAUUAAAAAUGUGUUGCAAGCAACUAGUCAACGACCAUCUCGAAUACAUGCAAAUUACAAACUUAGCAUGGAUUUAUCCAGUACUUAACUAGAGGCAGGGGAUAUUUCUAGAUGUUAUCAUGCAGCUACUAACUCACAAGAUGAUAGGAUUUAGUAUAAACCUCAUUCGAAGAUGUUUCCUCAUCAUCCUUGCCAGUAGAAGUUUCAGUUUUAGUGCUCCCAAGUUCACCUGCCAAAAACCUUAAACAUCAGUAAACUAUUUUACAUAAAAUAAAAUUUCAUACAGUGAUCAUAAUGAAACAACAACCUUCACGUCCAGUUUCAGGCUCUUCCGGCUUUUCAGGCUGAUCUUGAACCUCCUCUGACGACUUGUCAUUUCCGGACUUUUUAUCAUCUUGUAAGUCUUUCUUCUCAGAGGUUUCUCUAUCAUUUCUACCCUCAUCCCUAAUUUUCUCUAGCAAGCUCGUUGACUCUUUCGCCAUAUCCUUAUCUUCCUCAACCCCAAUGGGAACCGGUUCAUCCGAAUCCCUGAAAAGUGCAGCCUCACCAACUCCGGCCGCAUCUUCACGGUGACCAAUCUUGCUGUACUCAUCAAAUCCAGAUUCAUCAUCUUUGUCAACUCCACUCGUUUCUUCAGUAUCAGGAGGAAGAAGACUACUCAUGACCUUUUGAGUACAAGCAUAGUUAGCCAAGAAGAGACAAAAAGGAACAGAGGAGAGGAAGGCUAUGGUAGAGGCAACAACAAGUGAAGGAACAAGAAGUGGAGCUGAAGACACUACAACACCAGCUGUUAGAACCUUCUUCCCAACACUUACUGCCUUACUCCAAAUCCAACCUCCUUUGUUCUCUUCACUCUCAUUAGAUUGAUACUCCUCCAUUGUCCGACUCAUGGUUCUGUCUUCAAUUCUGCCAUGAAGAAUCAUUUGUUUGGACUCAAAACAUACUUAAGAGGAAACAAGAACAUGCAUGCAGACCAAACAAACUUCACGCAAGCACAUUUACAAAACAUCAUCAAACUCCACAAUUUCAUCAACUUUAAAGAAAAACAAACAAAUUGUAAAGAAACCAAACCUUAUCAGUUAACAUAUGAAACUAAGGACAAGAAAGAAACAAACCUGUUUAGGUUGCGGCAAGUUUGAAAGCAAAGAACUCAUGGCAGAUUCAGUAGCAAAGUUGAGGAGAGAAUAAGGACCAGAGACGGAGAGAGAAAGAGAGGCAAAAUUUUGUGUGUGUGUGUGUAGACAAGUUGGAGAAGAACACAAAGAAACAAAGUAACACGCGUCGAGGAAACAGAAACUGAAGGUUGCAUGGUUUUGUGUCGCAACGUGGCUCUUGCUUCCUUUCUCUCUAUCCACUUGUUCUUAGUCCUGUGUGUUUUAUGCAGAGUGAAAAAAGCUUUGGGUUUAUAAUGUAAACUGUUGUGAUUUGAGUAAAUAUUAUGCGCAAACCAACUAUGUUACCUUUAGAACAGGCUGGUUCAAAAUUAUUAUGUUUACUUGUGAUUUACUUUUUUGCCAAAAAUAUAAGGUUCUGUUGAAGUCUUUUUUUUUUUUCUUUUGUAAAUUGUUUUGGCCAAUUUUGUAAUGAUAAAUUAAUGUUUAAAACAUACACAUCAUUUUAAUAUACACAUGUAUCUUAAAAAUAUCGUUUCACUAUAUUAUUUGUUCGACUCGAUUAUAAUGAUUUCAAAUGCUUAACAUUAUUUAUCAGUGGUUUAGUUUGUUUGUUUUCGUCUUUAAUUUUGUAUAAAUUUGAUAUCGUCGUAAAUUGUAUCUCUAUACUGAGUAUUGAAGAUCAAACCAAGUGAAAAAACAAAAAAAGAAUGAGAACUAGAAUCUACAAGAAUAGAGCAAGAGUAGCUAAGUUCAUCUAUUUAUAGUAUUACAUAGUUUAGUGAUUAAGUUUACUAAACUUAGAAACUGAAUCCAUAUGUACUUAAUCUAUAAGAUUGUCCAAAGAUAUGUAUAUCCAAAGGAGAUGUUUUUUUGGUGAAUAAGUAAUAGAUUAAUCAUAUAUUUUAUACAUGUUUCAUAGCAGUCCACUUUAAUUAAUAAUUAAUAUAUAUGUGCAAUAUACUGACUCGUUAAAAUUUUUAUCAUAGAAUAUACCCCGUUUAGGAUAAAAACUAUUAUAUACAGCGUAGCUAAAUGUAACGCUCCGACCGUCACCCCUCCAGUGGGCCUCAUGUUCACUCUCAUCCCAUGUACCCACCUCUCUAAACGGGUCUAACGUCCUCUCACUAGGUCCAUGAGCUCAUCCAUAUCCGACGGUCAGUUUGCUACAAAUCACCAUAUGAUCUUUCCCUGUGUUUUGGCCUCGCUCACACUGUUCCGAUGGCCACUUCCCGGAUAUUUUCCUUUGUUUGGCCUUAUUCACGAAGUUCCGACAACCACUUCCCGGAUGUUUACCCAUCCUUUGACUACUACAAAUCAUCUUGAGUUCUCUCAGGACCUUUGACUGAAAAAUAAGUGCAAUUUGGUGACAUAGAUGGCCAAAUAAAUUAAUUUAAAAUUAACCAACUAAACCAACGGAAGAAAUAAACCGAAAACCAAUCCAAUAAACAAAUAUCGUUAAAUUAGCAAAUAUCCAGCAAUUAUGUAAAUAAACCAUCAUGUACAACGGAAACAACAAAACCAACUCUAAGUAAUCAUAAUAUUAAUUAACCAAUCAUUUCGAUCACCACAAUUUACACCAACCGCCUAGCAUGUUUCUAUCUACAUUCCAACAACAUAACAUAAUCAUAAACAUAAUAACCGAGACCCUAGAUCAUCCUCCUCCUCAUUGCCAUGAUUCUAUGUUACACUUUACAUGCACCACAAACACAAUGAGAUACGUGAGUAUUAUCACAAAUACUCAGUGAAGCGAUUCUCCCAUCUACUGGGCUAUAGAAGUAAGCAAUUAAGAUCAUGAUCACAUAUUAAUAAUACCAAAAACAUCCAAACCAAUCAAUUAAAAACACAAACAGCGCUCACAGAAAACUGUCGAUUAACACCACCAACUAGUGUCGGUCGAUAACCACAACUGGUUUCGGUCGACACCACCACGAUAAUGCACUGCGACACAACCACAUCAUCUCCCACGCCGACACAACCAAGGAACAGCCACAUAAGGCCACAUAAACACCAGAAACACAUAACACAACAAGGAAAAUCACUCCACACAUCAAAUAAACACAAAUCACACAAUCUUAAUGCUUAGAUAAGCCAUGGUCACGAACUCACUUUGAUAUAGAACUAACAAUGAAGAAAGCAACACAAUUAGAGGCAGCACAAGACUCUCUUAACACCACAGCCACAAAAUCUUCCUUCCCUUUAGUCAAAACUCUCAAGAACAUCACCUAAAUCUCUCUAAAAGCCCAUAGAACUUCAUAGGAAAACUUAGAAACUUUUUCCACUCUUCUGAAAGAAUAAAAGCGGUUGAUAACCCUUCAAAGCGUCGAGUUUUCUCUUUUAAAAUGAGCUUUAGGGUUUAGCAAAACCAUCCCAAAUCAAUUUUUCAAUUUAAAACAAACAUGUCAAACCGAAAUUUGUUGGUGUUAAUCGACACUAAUAAAAUUUCAGACAGGGGUGUUACAAUUAGGGAUCGACACUAACCCGCUCAACAAUCCUGAAAAGACCCAUAUACUCGGGCGUUAUAAGUAGGUAUUUACAAAUAUGCAUACUUUUUAUAUCCAUAGUCACUACAGCCUAAUAUAUAGGUGAAAGAAUAGAAACGAUAAGCUUUACUUUGUCCAUACAUAGGCUUUCGUGAUUACCAAUUAAAAUGUUUACUGACUUAUGUCAUUUACCCUACUGUAUGAUAAAUUAUGUUUUUGUUGUUAGUAUAAUAAAUUUGUAUUAACAUUACAACUUGAUUUACAACUCAUCACUACAACUUAUCAAAUCAGCUUUCUAAUUGGUCUAGUGUAAGAAACCAAAAAAGAGUUCAAACCUUUUUACAUGUGGAUAUGGGAACAUUAAUAGGAAAAUAUUACCUUCCUUCUUUUGAGGUUGACUAGACUAACCAACAAAAGACACAUAAUAAAUAAGUAAAACUUCUUUUGAUAUAAGUCUUCUUAUAUAGAAAGCUUUCAUAUAUAGCUAUUAUUUUUCUUAAUUUUAAUUUGUAUUUUUCUGUAACAACCUUUCUAUAAUUUUUUAAUAUUAAAAAGUAUCUAGGUAAAUGUGUUGAAACAUCUUUUGUGGACCUAGUAGAAAAAUAUCAAAGCUAGAAGUCAUCUAUAUAACAUUUUACCCAUUAGUAUCUGAAACCACACAAAUCCUCCUCUCCUUCUUCUUCAAUCUUUUUUUUUCACCAUGGGUAGGAGAAAAGUUACACACCAAUUGAUCAUUGACAACGCCACUCGCCGAGUUACAUUUCGAAAACGCAAAGCUGGUUUACUGAAAAAGAUCAAUGAAUUAACCAUCCUUUGUGGUUUACCAGCUUGCGCUAUCAUUUACAGCGAGUACAAGGAUGGCCCUGAGCUCUGGCCAAACGUUAACGAGGUUCGUUCUCUUCUUGACAGGUUUAGCGAGCUUCCAGUUGAGAAACAAAUCAAAUACAUGAUGGACCAAAAGGAUCUCAUGGAGAAGAUGAUUCAGGACGCAGAGAAGAAGUUGGAGAAGGAGAAGAUGCAUACUCGUGCUAUGAAUCUUGGGAUAAUGGCUUCAACCAAUGAUCUAACCACCGAAUCAGAUUGUUCAGAGGAACUGGUUAAAGCAGCCGAAGUGGUUGAAAAGAAGCUCAAACUCAUCCAAGAGAGAAUCAAGGCUGUGGAAGCAGGAGCCCCCAUCAUCAUGAGAGAUUAGUCUUAUCAAAAUUUUUUUUAUCUUAUUAUCUAAUUUAAUCUCAUCGUUUUUAUAAUUGUUUUCAGAUUACAAUGUUUGGAUUAAUGGUGUUGACAUUUAUGUUCUAUGAUUUAUGCUUUGCAUUCUUAAGAAGGACUAGGAGAAUUGUAUCAAUCUCGUUUGCCUUUGUGUUGUGUAAUUUUUCAUAGAUUUAAUAGAAUGGAUACCAUGAUUGAUAUAUUCGGUUUAUGACCAGAUUUGUUUUAUAUUUAUGAAGAUUCUCUCCCUUAUAUGUUUGCUAUUUUAAUUUAUUUCUACUUUUUUCAGUCAGCGAUUUACUUUCUAUAUGAUAGAAAAUCAUUUAUCUUAUUUCUUAUCAAGAAAAAAAACUUAUUUAUUAUCUUCUACGUUAAUUCAUAAAUAUAUUUUUUAUAUAUGAACUACAUACGAUUUAAUCCGUGAUUUAUAGGAAGAACCUUUUUUGGUACCGAAAAUAUCGUCGACAAUCGUUUGUAGUCAAUUCGAUAAAUAUUUCAUAUAUAAAUCAAUAAAAAUAUGUCUUGAAAAGCCAAUUAAAUUGGAUUCAUGAACGAUAGUUUACUCUUAACGAUAGCUAUUUAUUUUUGUUAUUAUAUAUUAUCUAAACACAAUAUUUAGUCCAACUCUAUAUAUAGGCAGCAAUAAAAUUGAAAAAUUUAAUUUUACAGAAAUUUAUAUAUAUGCGCGGGAAGUUUAUAAUUUUUUUUAUAUUUUUAUUUUUGUAACGUUUGUUUUGUUGGUUUUUUAUUGCUAUAAUUUUUUGUUAUUUUAUUUUUCAUAUGAUUUUUUUUAAGUUUAUAUUAGUUUAAUAUUUGAAAUGUUAUUGUUAUUUGUUUAACUGUAAAUUAGGCUCAAUAGUAGAUGGUACAACCUGGUUUUACAAAAACACAAAGCAUAACUGCUUUUCUCUCGUGGGCGAUAUCAACGAGAAAAACAAGUCGUUCGUUUUCGUCACUCUUGCCAGCCAGCGUCGGCUUCUCUGGCGUCGGCCAUCAUCAUUUCUAUUUUCCAUUGUUUGAAUUUCUCUAAUUCCCUUCUUAAUCUUAGGUUUUGAGUGAAUAUAACGGCAAAUCAUGAGUAUCAACAAUAUGCUCUAUGCUAUGCGAUGAUGUUGUGUAAAGGAUUGAGUGUGUCAUUUCUCCGUAAGAGUCCGAUCUCUCUGUGGGAUCCAUCUCUGGUUUGGUUUUUGGAUCAAAUUGACCAGAGGCUUUCAGUAGAUAUGACAAAAUCAUAUCUUUUACAAUGUAGUUCCUCCCCUAUUACAUUUCAGAAGCCUUAAUUAAAUUCUUGUAACCCUCACAAACUAUUAUGAAUUAUCAAAUUAAAUAGCUCUCUGUAUGUAUGCAUUUAAUAAGUUCAUAUUGUAUAAAAGCAACAUUAUAGACUCACAUAGAUAUAAUUCUUUGCAUUUCUAUUGGCUCUCAUAUAAUAGAUAUAUUAGAGUGUGAAUUGAUUUUGAAGACAUAUCAUAACUAUUUUCUCCUUAAUAAUAGCCCUUUUUAAAAAACGUCUUUUUGUUGUGUGCAGGUGAAAAAAAUUUGUUUUACUCACCCUUGACGCCUUGUCAUUGCCACCCUGUCAUUUGACUCAUGGUCGUUGUUUCGAGAGAUGUUGAACUUGGCUAAUUUCAUAUACUUGAGGUUGACAACUUGUAUUUUUUUGUGAAUUUAGGUUGGUAUGUUCAUAGUAUCAAAGUUUGGGUAUUAAAAAACUGCUAGGAUGAAUGAAUGAAUGAAUUUUCAAUUAGUUUAAAUUAUCAUGUGCAUUAUUAUCUUGAGACAUUCUUACUAAUAACUUUUUUAUGAUACCCUCUUGCAAAACUACCCUUUUUGUUUGUCAUUUUCAUUUUUGCCCUCUCUGAAAUUUUAAUGGCAAAUUUACCCCUAGUUUAAAGAAUAUUCCUUUCUUUGGAUGGAAUAUUCUUUCCAAAAAAUUUUCCGCCAAAAAAAUUUUCCCGCCAAAAAUUUUUUGAUAUAAUUUUCCGCAAAAAUUUUCCCGCAGAAAAUAAAGAUUUUACAAAUUUUUCUGCCAAAAGUUUUUUUUAAGGGUUUACAAGGAGAUUUAAAGGAUCUUUUAAAGGAUUUAUAAGGGUUUUUAAAGGGAUUUACAUGAGUUUUAAAAUGGGGUUUAAGAGAUUUGUAAUAGUUUUUAAAGGAUUUUAGAAGUUUAUAAAGGUUUUUGAAUGGGUUUCAAAGGAAAAUGAUUUUUAAAAGAUUUUAUAAGUUUUAUAACAAUUUUUAAAGGAUUUUACAAGGAUUUUUAAAAGAUAUUCAAAUGGUUUUUAAAAAUUUACAAGGAUUUUUAAAAGGUUUUUAAAAGGAUUAACAAGUGUUUUAAAAAAGGUUUACAAGUGUUUCUAAAGGCAUUUACAAGGAUUUAAGGAUUUAAAAAUGGUUUAAAAAGGAUUUACAAGGAUUUUUAAAGAUAUUUACAAAGAUUUAAAAAUAGUUUAAAGGAUUUAUAAGGGGUUUAAAGGGUUUUAGAAGUUUACGAAUGUUUUUAAAGGGUUUACAAAUGUUUUUAUAGGCAUUACAAGGAGUUUAAAAUGGUUUUUAAGGAUUUACAAGGGUUUUUAAAAGGUUUUAGAAGUUUACAAAAGUUUUUAUUAAAGGAUUUACCACGGUUAUAAGGGGUUUAAAGGGAUUUACAAGUGUUUAUAAAUGUUAUAAAAUGAUUUACAUAGGUUGUAAAAGGUUUACUUAAGUUUCGAAAGGUUUUGGAUGAUUUUUAAAAGAUUUACAAGGAUUUUUAAAGGAUUUUAAAAUUAUUUACCAGGUUUUUUAAGGAAUUGCGGAAAAUUAUGGCUGAAAAAUUUUGACGGGAAAAUUAAUAUCGGAAAUUUUCGGCGGGAAAAUUUUUCGAAAGGAAUAUUCUUUUUGUUGGAAAGAAUAUUCCUUUCUUCAUCAUGGGUUAUACUAAAGGAGGGUAAAGUCAUUUUUUAACAUUAAAGAGGGUAUUUUUGAAAAUGGACAGCGAGAGAGGGUAUUUGUAGAAAAUGAUAUCAUAAAAAGGUUAUUUGUGCAAAUCCCCCAAUUAUCUUUUCAAGUUUUAAUAAUUUAUUUUAAACACGUUUGACUACAAUUAAUUCGUUAUUAUCUACUAUGCGUCUUUUGUUGGUUGAUUUAGUCAACCUAAAAAAAACGGAGGUAAUAUUUGCUUAUUAAUUUCCCCAUAUACACAUGUAAAAAAAACUUGAACUCUUUUUUGGUGAUUUAAAAGUUGUAUUUGAUGAGCUGUAAAUGAUGAUUUGUAAAUCAAGUUGUAAUGUUAAUACAACUUAUAUUUAUUAUACUGACAAAAAAAACAUAAUUUAUCAUACUAAGUAACUGACAUAUAACAGUAAACACUUUAAGUAGUAAUCACAAAUGCCUAUUUAUGGAUGAACAAAGUAAAGCUUAACGUUUCUAUUGUUUCAGAUACAUAUUAGGUUUUUGUGAUUAUUGAUUUUAAUGGUUUUCAUAUUUGUUAAUAAGUGUUUACAUCAAAUCCUCCUUUAAUUGGUAUAAUAUUAAAAGUUAAGGCCAAACUUUUCUACUAUAGUAAAACAUAUAAGGCAAAAAAAAUAUAUAUGUUUCAUUUAAAACAUUUCAUAAGAUCUUAUCCAAAACAUUACAUUUUUCUACCAUUGUAUUUUAAAACCCAGGAUUAUGGUUGGGCUGACAAAAAAUUCAGAUGAGAUUUUGUUAUAACAAAAGUGGGGAAUUUUUGUUUAACCCACUGUAAAAUUGGGAUAGGAAAAGACUAAAAAAUGAUCUUAUAAACAAACAUAGAAAAAUAUGCUAUUAUAACUUUUUUUUGAAAAACGUACUAGUUUGACGAUUUAUUUCAAAAACUUUUACUAAAACAUGAAAAUUAUGUAGUUAUAAAUAAUAAUAAAAUUGCAUUGAGAUACAUGUCUAAUUGCCUACAAAUCGUUUUUUUUCAUUUCUAUGACAAACAAAAAAGAUAUUUCAUUCAAUUCGUUCUAAUAAAAGAUAGUCUUAAUUAAACAGGUUAUCUCAAGUCAUUUCGCAAUAAAUUUUAUAGUUUCAUACAUUUAAUAAUGCCGAAUCCGAGCCCAACAUACAAAGAACAAAAAAGAUACAUAGUUAAAUUAGUGAACGUACCGUCUCACUGAACCAGUCCUUCCAAAUCUGCAAGUUAUCCUGACCGAUUUGAUAGAUUUUUUCUUUCUACUGUCGUGAACAAUGAGAAAACAUAAGAUAAACAUUAGAUCACCUUUUAGUUAGUGUUAGUUUCAAAAGAAAUUGCUAUCAACAAGCUAAUCGCCAACAAUACUUACAAAGAUAUUUUUGGUGCCAUUGUUAUCUUCUAUCUCUGGUGAUGCCCAAAGAAACAUAUCUUAGUUUCCAUAGAGAAGAUAUGGAGAGAUUUGGUGAUAUAAAAUGAAUGGUAGAAAAUUUAUAUGUGUAGUUACAUACCAUUUUAUUCCCGUUACGCUCUUUUUCAUGUAUGACAUGUUGAGUUUUAUUUUCUUAUUUUUUGUUUGCGACACGUGUUGUAAUCUAUUGGUAUGAAUUAAUUUUGCAUAUAAGAUUUUGUAAGAUGAAAAGAUAUACAUAUAUGGUCUAUAAUAAAUUUUUCUAUUUAACAAUUUGGAAGAAGUUAUUUCUCGUAACGCUUUUCAAUGUAUGACAUGUAAUUUCAUUUUACAAUACAUGUUGUGGUCAGUGAUCUGAUUAUAGAUUUUACUUUAUAGAUUUUACUGUCCGGGUACUGAACUUCGCGGAUCAGUCCGGCUUUGAGGAGGCGGUCCACUUCGGCAUUUACCAUGUCAGCUCGUUCUUUUCCCUGUUUCCUACGUUUUUGCCGAAUUGGCUUAAAUGCAGGAUUGACGUUCAGCUCGUGUGAUAUCACCUCGGUGCUGAUACCAGUCAUUUCGCCCAUUUCCCAAGCAAAUGUCGACUUAUUUUCCCGCAAAAAAUUAAUCAGCUCGGUUUUGAUCGUCGGGGACAAUACUGCUCCAAUCUUCACCUUCUGAUCAGGAAACAACUCAUUGAGUUGAACUUCCUCAUAGAGGUAGCUAUCCAGCUUACUUCUCACCGGAUUUUUAGCGACCUCGAACUGUGGUUGCUAUUGAACUAGAAGUUUGUGCCCGGUCAGGUAACAACUCCUGGCCGUGCGUUGGCUCCCAAGGAUCUCGCGAACUCCAUCAGGAAUCGUAAAUUUGACGCACUGGUGAUAAGUAGAGGGGACUGCUUUCAUCUAGUACAACCAAGAAGACCGGGAGAGUUAUGGUUCCUAGAGUCCCUAGUAUGACAUUGUAGGUCGUAGGUCGGUCGAACACAGUGAACUCCACCAUCUUAGAAACCCCUUGCGUAGAGACCGGGAGAGUUAUGGUUCCUAGAGACAUCGAAGUUUUGCUGGUGAAUGACACUAAUUGGGCUGGAGGUUCGGUGAUAUGAUUUUUGCCGAUCCUCAUCCGUGCAAGAGUUUCCAAAAAAGUGAGGUCUACCGAAUUCCCCGUAUCGACCAGUAUCCUACAAUCAUGGUUUGCUACGUCAAGAGUAAUGACCAGUGCAUCAUCGUGGGGAGAAUCCAGGUUCUCUGUUUCCUUUUCCGAGAAGGUUAUGUCGGGGUGAACCUCGCUCGUCUUAUGCUUUUUUGGGAUCGAACCAUUAAGCUUACUCGGGUGGUCCUUGAUGGCCUGGAUAGAAUUACGGAACAUCUGGGAUCCCCCCCCCCCCAUAAUGAUGUCGAUUUGCUUUUUGGCAACUGAGGUAUCUCCUCGAUGAGGAGUGCCUUCGGUUUCUUAGCUGGGGGAAGAUCCUCCUCUUCGGGGGCUGCCUCCGAGACGGGCUGAACUGAGUUUUGAGCUUGGUCAAGCUCAUCGAUCGUUAAGUCCGGCGUUCCGCCGCUCACAAACCUUUCCGCGAGCAAAUGCAUCAAUUUUUUUGCAGUUCCUGGUAGCAUGACCAGCAACUUUGUGAAGCUCGCAAUAGGAAUUGUCCUCCUUCCCUUCUCUGUCCACUUAUUGCUAGGGAGAGCUCCGGCCUACCCGCGAGGUUCGAACGCCGGUUUUGAAUGCGAGCCUUUGGCUCCCCCCUUCUGGUGAUCCAUUGCGAAUGUCGCUGGUUCUGGCCGGUGACCCUGAGGACCUCUCCUAGCACUUUGAUCAAAGUUCACCUUAGGUGCCACUUUGUACUUCUAGGCAAAUGCAGCCUUCUCUUUUUCCGCCACGACCCAGUUCAAAACUUGAUGUAGAGCGUCUUGUAUGCUGGAGGAGCGAUUGACUGUGAGUUCCUCCCUAGAGCGAGAUUCGUGCAAAAGUCCGUUUUUGAGAGCUGAAAAGGCCGCAGAGUCAGCAGUCCCGGGAUCUGGACCAUUAUUUCCUUAAAUUUAGUGACCUAGGACCGGAGUGAAUCAUUAAGUCCUUGACUUAAGUUCCACAGCUGGGCAUUGGUGACCCCGACGCCUAUGAAGCUCGAGUAUUGUUUGAGAAAUGUUGUGGAAAGCUGAGUAAAAUUGUCAAUUGUCCCUUCCUUGAGCAAGGCUAACCUAAGGAAAGCUGGUCCGACGAACGUUUCAGCAAACAGUUUGCAGUACCCCGCAUCUUCUUUGUGGGGCUCAAAGUCCACUCUUCCCACCGUGAGGAGGAAAGUAUGGAGGUGAACUUUCGGGUCCCCCUUCUGACGAGAAUCUCCCUAGGAUUUGACACUCUUAAGUUGAGCAAGGAUAGAUUUGGCUGGAAAGCCGUGGAGCGGAAUAGAAGUUGAAUGGUCGAUGGAUAUCACAAGAAGCUUGCAGAAUAGCUUCACGAUACCGAACUUAAAUCCUUUGGAUAUACGCACCAAAGAAGCUAAGGGUUUUGCUGGAUAUACACACCAACAAGAAGAUCUCCUUAGAGAAACAAAAGGUUUUUGAUAAAAAGAAAAUGUUCAGUUUCAAAGAGAUUACAAGGGAGUUUAUAAAGAAGAGAAAGAACAAGCCUUGGAACAAGUUACAAGGCUGUUCUCGAAAAUACAAAGCAAUAAAUUAAAAACUUGAAAUUUAAAAGAUAGAUUGACCCUCUUCCUCUUCUUGGCCGUGGCUCCUUAAGUGCAUAAAAGGCCUUGGGCUUUUGAUUCAACAAAUGGGCAAUGGUGAAGUGAAACAGCUGCCUCAUUAAAAACCUUGUCAAGAAACCCAGUGGGACAAAACUUGACAAGGGAAAAAGAGUACAACCAUGACACUUUUCCCAUUGUUGAAUCACUUAGCUUGGAUCAAAACUUAAGUGUUUUGACAAGCUUUUCCUUCAUACUUGAUGUCUUGAUCGUGUUGGCUCCGAAUCUGAUUAAAUAAUCCUCCAACAGAUUCGUUAAACAAUUUAGCUAUUGGGCGAGUCAUUGGACCAGUUGGUAUGACAAGAGCAUCAUCGGCUACAAGCUUAUCCUCCUCUCCUAGUUGCUUAUCCUCCUCUCCGAGCUGCUUCUCCUCAGCUACGAGCUUAGCUUUUUCAAGUUCCAACUCCGGUUCAUGCUCCAAUUCCUUAGUGCUAUCCAUGAUCAUAUCACCUUCCCUUCAUAGCUGAGGAACUUGGGCUUCCGCGUAUCUUUAAUCCGCAUUAGCGUGAUCCGCCAAAAUGUGGGAGCUGGAAUCCACAUAAAGAGAACUGAGAUGACUUUGGGUGGGAUCCUAUUCCCUGUACGAACUCGUUAUAUUUGCGAACAUAAGUUUAAAUGAAUAGUGAAAAAUUUAUAGUUUUAUUGCUCAGCGAAAUAUGUCAUUUGUACAAUCGAUCUUAUUAGCUAUUUAUACAAUCGGACAUAGUCAUUAAAUGGAUCGCGAAAUUAACUACGUCAAUCUCGCGAUCCUCAUCAAAGCGGAGUUUGACCACGGAGUGACCAGUUACGAUUUGCUCCUUUAGUUCUCGAGAUUAUGGUUGACUUCUCCUUAGCAGGCUUAGAAGGUUCGAAGUGGGCUUCUUUUUCAUGGGCCCGAGCAAGAUAGGCCCACCGGCCGAGAUGCCGAUUUCGGUAUCCACAGUCGCUUGAACUGAUGUAUUGAAUUUGAACUUCCUUCUUUUCUUCGAGUUCUUGAGUAUAGGAGAUAAAUCUCGGAGGAAUAUGUUUUGUCCUAUAACUCUUAAUAUAACCUUCUUUAACCUGAGCAACACACAUCAUUAUCUUCAAAAAAUAUUUGUUGAUUCCCUUUUGGUGAUUAUUCUGCUUGAUUCUUGUAUGUAAUGAGUCAUUGGUCUAAGCCAAACACAUUCUCUAUUUGCUUCAUGAAGUCCAAUAAUUUCUUGCGUCUGCAAAACAAACUUGGAGAUAAUGUAAGGUAUGCUUUAUCCCAUUCUAACCAAUGUUCGUGCUGAGCUGUAUCUUGUAAUUAGAUUAGUAGCAAAACCUAUAUCUGAUCGAGUAUAAUUUGCAAGAUACAUAAACCCACUAAUGGCGCUCAUAUAUGGUAUUUUAGGACCUAAUAAUUUUCUUAGAUUCUUUCGCCAUCUUUGAUUUUUCUGGGAAGUUUAAUCCUUGAAACGACCCAUCCAAUUUUUCUCAUUUAAUUCAUCAAUAUUAACCUCAUAAUUAAUAUCAAACCGACAAAUUAAACCAACAUGCAGUCAACAGCGGAAACCAAACUAAUCAAUCCAAAAUUAAUUGUUUAACCAAAUAAACCAACAAUCAUCCAAACAUUAUCCAAUAACCAAUUAAACCAGCAAUCCUAAACAUGCUCCUGAUUCCAAGGCUCCAAAACAAUAAAUUUAAAUAACCAACCAACCAAACAACGACCCUAGAUCAUCGCCAUCUUCCUCGCCUUGCAUCACAAAAACAAUGAGAUGCGUGAGUAUUAUCACAAAUACUCAGUGAAACAGUCCUCUCAUCUACUGGGUUAUACACACAUGCAUAAUAAGACCAUCAAACAUGCAUAAGAUCAAUCAAAACAACCAAACCAUGCAUAUACAAACACCGACUACUUGCUGUCCAGAAAAUUGUCCAGAAAUUGGUUUCGACUGACACCAGAAAAUGGUGUUGACCGACAUAUAAACUAGGUUGUUGUCAACCGACUCUCGAACUGAUGUCGAUCGACACUGGCUCCGCAGGAGCCCUGAAAUCGCAUCUCCUCUCCCUAGAGACCGGUUCAAACACUUCCAGGCUCCAAAAUUUAAUCCUAAACCAUCAAUAGACAUAAAACAACAUCCACAACACACAAACAAACCAAAACACAACAAUUCUAGCCACCCAAAUCAAUCCAACACACAUUAUAAGGUCUUAUAUGCCUAGAUCAACCACGGUCACACACUCUCCUUAAUGUGGAUUGAAUGAAGGGACGAAACAGAGAGGAAACAACAAGAACAAGACCCUCCUUGCACCACCAGCCACGAAUCCAGUCCUCUUCUCGCUAAACUCACAAGAACAGCCACAUAAACCUCCAGAACCCCCCUCCUAAGCCUCCUUAAGCCUCAGGAUUAACUCUCAGACUCUCUCUUUCUUUCUCUUAGCUUUCGGAAGCGACAAAACAAAACUUAAGAGAAUGAGAAGAGGCUGGUCGAAUUUCCAAUAAUAUUAAACCGAUCAAUUACAGAGUUAAAUCGUUUAACCGCCCAAAUAACCGGUGUCGACCGACACCCUUCCUUACUCUCGAUCAACACCGUCCAAAACACAGACACAUGCAUUACAAUUCUCCUAUACUAACAAAGAUUCAUCCUCGAAUCUAGCAACACCGUUCAAUUAGUUGAACCACAACCAACCGCUACCAUAGUCCAACAAUCCUUGAUCCAACCCGGCCAAUACACCAAAAUCACGAGAUUGAACUAAUCAACAACCUUCAAGGUCUCCAUCUAGUCUCUAUGCAUGGCCUCCGCGUAAUAUACCUCACAUGCUCACAACUCCUCGCUCUCAGGUCGCAACCUAGAGCCAUACCGCUCUCACACUUAGACCUUAGGCUUUAAGUCAUACCAUCUCACUUUUGGGUCGUCACCCUCAAGCACUCCUAGUAUCCGGGGAACUAAUCAUACCCUAUGAGAACUAAUCAUCUCAUCUGCCACUCUUAUCAAAGGAAUCUUCUUACGCCAAAGUUCCUUAACCCUCCUCUCGAGAACCCUCACUGGUAUCGUCUCCAGGGUCAUGUUGGGCAGAAGAUCUGUAGGAAUCUUCGCCAACACCUCAUCAUCCUUAUGCCACCACUUUUUAAGCAUCAACACAUGGAAAACCUUACGAAAAGCCUGUAUAACCGAUACGCAACCGGCCCAACCCGCUCCACAAUGCUUUAAGUGACCUAUUAGGACUCCGCAGCAUAGCCAUCUUGAGAUACACUCUAUCUCCAACCUCAAACUCAAUCUCUUUACGCCUCUUAUCGGUAUAAUUUUUUUGCAGAUCCUGAGCUUCCUUCAUGUUCAGCUUCAAAACUCGGAUCUUCUCCGACGUUUACUGAACAAAACUCGGAUCUUCUCCUCUCCCUCACUUGGGUCCAGCACAAUGGUUUCCUGCAUGGCCUCCCAUACAAAGCCUCAAAAGGAGCCAUGCAAAUACUCGCCUGGUAGCUAUUGUUGUAAUCAAACUCUACCAAACUCAAGUGGUCCACCGAAUGACCACCCCAAUCCAGUACACACAUCCUAAACAAAUCCUCGAGCGUUUGAAUAGUCCUCUUGGAUUGACCACCAGUCUAAGGAUGAUACGAUGUACAAUCGUUCCUUUUUCUUUUUGAGAAUUAUAUUUAUCUUAUGAACCAAAAUAGCCUUUACAAUCGUUCCUUUUUCUUUUUGAGAAUUAUAUUUAUCUUAUGAACCAAAGUAGCCUACCACGGUUAAUACGUGUCAUAGACUUAGUAUGUCAUUCUUUAGAGACAUAUUUGUACUCGAGCAUUUUAAGCUAGAAUAUGAGAUUGAUUUGAACUUCAAGUUCAACUUCAAGUUCAUAUUCAUUUAUGUGUGGAUCACAAAUUUUAUUAUGAAAUCUCAUCCAUUAGUUUUUUAGAUUUUAUUUGCAAUAUAUUAUGAAUAGUGAUAUGUGGAACUUUUAAAUUUGUAUUCAUUAUAUUCAUUUAUUCAAAUAUCCAAACUAUUCAUCAAUUCUCCCAUAAUAAUGGAGAACUUUAUUAUCAACAUGAUAAUAUGCAAAUCUUUCAAUAUAGGCACAUCUCUUAUAAGAUUGCUCAAUAUUAGUAGAACAGAGACUCAUCUUUCCCCUCUAUAUAUUUCAUCUUUCUUAGAUGAUAUAUUUUAUGCGGUGUGGGGAAGCAUUUACAACAUAUAUCACACACCUAUAUAAUUUCAAACUAGAAAUAUUUUAUCUCCAAUAAUGAAUACAUAACAUGGGAGAAAGAUUUCUUACAAAUUGUUUUCCUCAUGUAUAAUCAUUACUACAUGGAAAAUUUCAUGUUUAAUCACCUAUGAAUCGUUUUCAAUCUCUUGUAUUGCACUAUGAACAAUUCAUUAAAGCUCAUUUUGAGGGUGGACAUCAUGUAUGUUUCACAUUAUCACUACAACAUAUAUAAUCGAUAAAAUAUGGAAUAUGACUUCACCAAAGUUAUUUCGCUCUGGGUGUCAAAUUCACCAAAGUUUAUCGACUUACUGUCAAUGUGAGAUUCUUUAAUUCUCCUCUUCGAGAUGAUAACUCUUGGAUACAUUCAUCUCGGACUGAAUCCCACUUUAGGAUCAACAACAUACCACUUUUGGUCAUGUGUAUUUACAUCUUAAAUCAAAUAUGUGAGACCAGUAUAACUUUCUCUCUAGGUGAUGACUUUUUCGAGUCCAUUCACCUUGGAACGAAUAUAAGUUGUAGAUCGGCUAUACGAGGCUUAAAUUCUUAUCUUAUUAUCUUCCCACAAAGCUAUACAAAGCGUAGCUAAGUGUAACACCCCGACCGUCACCCCUCUAGUGAACCCCAUGUUCACUCUCAUCCCAUGUGCCCACCUCUCUAAAUGGGUCUCACGUCCUCUCACUAGGCCCAUGAGCUCAUCCAUAUCCGACGGUCGGUUUGCUACAAAUCACCACAUGAUCUUUCCAUGUGUUUUGGCCUCGCUCACACUGUUCCGAUGGCCACUUCACGAAUAUUUCCCUUUGUUUGGCCUCAUUCACGAAGUUCCGACAACCACUUCCCGGAUGUUUACCCAUCCUUUGACUAAUACAAAUCAUCUUGAGUUCUCUCAGGACCUUUGACUGAAAAAUAAGUGCAAUUUGGUGACAAAGGUGGCCAAAUAAAUUAAUUUAAAAUUAACCAACUAAACCAACGGAAGAAAUAAACCAAAAACCAAUCCAAUAAACAAAUAUCGUUAAAUUAGCAAAUAUCCAGCAAUUCUUAUCCCUGUAUUAGUAAAAGAGAAGUACAAAAUGGAAUACGGGUCAGAUCAAAAUAAAAAAAAUAACCUGAUUUUAACAAUUGGAUACUUCAAAAUUGGAUAUUAAAUUGGGUUUGGAUACAUACAUCGGAUACUUCCCAUAUCUAAUUUUAGGAUUGUAUUAUUUCCAUAACUAAUUAUAAGAUUUCCUAAUAUUUUUUGGGAAAUUUUCACAACUAACCUUUUUAUGAUAUCAUUUUCUAAAGUACCCACUUUAGGUAUCCAUUUUCAAAAAUACCCUCUUCAAUGUACAAAAUGACUAAAUUACCCUCCUUUAUGAUAACCCAUGAUGAAGAAAAGAAUAUUCUUUCCAACAAAAAGAAUAUUCCUUCCCAAAAAUUUCCCGCCAAAAAUUUUCGACAAAAAUUUACCCCCCAAAAAAAUUCUCCCGCCAAAAAAUUUCCGACAAAAUUUUUCCCGCCAAAACUUUUUCCACAAUUCCUUAAAAACCUUUUUAAAAACCUUGUAAAUAUCUUUAAAUCUUUUAAAAAUCCUUUAAAAACCCUUGUAAAUCUUUUAAAAGUCAUCCAAAACCUUUCAAAAUUUGACUAAACCUUUUAGGCAUUUCGUUUAAGGCAGCACGACGUCGUUUGUACUUGUGAUUCUCAUUUUUCGACUUAACAGAGAUCGAUUAACGAUUCUAAACGACUGUUAACUCCUUUGUUAGACUCUGUUAGAGGAUUUGAUUUGACGACAUGUUCAAUCUAGCUCAGUUAACAGAAGAUGGUGAUUUAAAAAUAACGUCAACGAAAAGUCUAUGAUUUUAAUUGCCACAGUGGAAAUCGAGGAUUAAAAUGGCCAAAAUUUGUAAAUUCGGUAUUUAAAUAACAUUUUCCCCUUUUAAAACCAUUGUUCAUCAUUUUAUAACAUUUAUAAACACUUGUAAAUCCUUUUAAAGCCCUUAUAACCGUGAUAAAUCAUUUAAUAAAAACUCUUGUAAACUUCUAAAACUCUUUAAAAACCCUUGUAAAUCCUUAAAAACCAUUUUAAAGAACUAGUGAUACCUUUAAAAACUUUUGUAAACCCUUUAAAAACCUCUACAAACUUUUAAAACCCCUUGUAAAUCCUUUAAAACUAUUUUUAAAUCCUUGUAUGUCUUUAAAAACACUUGUAAAUCCUUUUAAAAACACUUGUAAAUCCUUUUAAAAAAACCGUUUAAAAUCCUUGUAAAUUUUUAAAAUCUUUUUAAAAUCCUUGUAAAUCCUUUUAAAACUGUUAUAAACUUAUAAAAACUUUUUAAAACCACUGUAAAUCAUUUAAAAAUUAUUCAAAAACCUUUGUAAGCUUCUAAAACCCUUUAAAAACCGUUACAAUAUCUUAAAAACCAUUUUAAAACUCCUGUAAAUCUCUUUAAAAACCCUUGUAAACUCUUAAAAAAAACUUUGGCAGGAAAAUUUAGUAAAACUUUUUUUUUUUCCUAGAAAAAGUUUACGGAAAUUUUUUUUGCGGGAAAUUUUUUCUCGGAAACUUUUUUGGCGGGAAAAAUUUUGUAUAGGAAUAUUCCUUCCUUUGGGAAAGAAUAUUCUUUCAACUAGGGGUAAAGUGGCCAUUAAAAUUUAAGAGAGGGUAAAAAUGAAAAUGACAAAAAAAUGAGGGUAUUUUUAAAAGGGUAUCAUAAAAAGGUUAUUGGUAUCAAUUUCUCAUAUUUCUUUAACUAAUUUAAUAUAAUCUAUUAAAAAAAAUUGUUCUUCUUUUUAUCUUAUGAUAUUAUAUAUAAUAUAAAUAUUUAAUAAAAAUUUAAUUUUUUUUGCAUAUGUUGCAAUUUGAAUUUUUCAAAACGGACAUAUAAUACUCAACUACACUUGGUUAAAUAUUUUGGACAAUGGUUUAAAAUCAUUAUAAGUAUGACCAAUAUUAAAACCAUUAUUACAUUAGCAUAUUUAAAAUUUCAAAUUUUUUCAAAAAGUUUCAAAAUAUCAUAAUUAAAUGGUUCAAAUAUAUAAAUAAUUUAGAAUUUAAAAUAUUGAAAAUAUAUGUGAUUUUGGAGACAUAAUUUUAUUGAUAAAAUAUAUUAUAUACAAACUAUGUAAAUUUUAGAUAGUUUACAGGUAGUUUGUUAAAAUCACAAUUAUAAUGAUAAAGCAAGUUAUGAAUAAUGUUUUUUAUAAAAUGAAUUCUGUUACGGGUUGAUCCAUCAAAAAAUAUAUUGUAAAUAUGUAAUUUUUACGUAUAUUCCUACUUCUACUACAAAAAUGGUCAAAUUGAAUAAUUUAUCGACAAAUAUUAUUUCGUGUUGUUAAAUUUUCAUAGUGUUUUUAAUUGUAUCAAAACUCAAUAUAUGAUUAUUUACUCGCUUUUUUACUUUAUUAUUUUAUUUAAACCUAUUAUACAAAUAUAUGAUUUACUGUAAUCGACUGCACUGCAGUAAAAUUAAAAUGUAACAUAUUAUAAUCCGUUAUAAUCCGUUAUAUGUAAUUAUUUCCUUCGCGCUGUAGCGCGGGUCCGAACCUAGUUAUGUAAAUAAACCAUCAUGCACAACGGAAACAACAAAACCAACUCUAAGUAAUCCUAAUAUUUAUUAACCAAUCAUUCUAUCACCACAAUUUACACCAACCGCCUAGCAUGUUUCUAAUCUACAUUCCAACAACAUAACAUAACCAUAAACAUAAUAACCGAGACCCUAGAUCAUCCUCCUCCUCAUUGCCAUGAUUCUACGUUACACUUUACAUGCACCACAAACACAAUGAGAUACGCGAGUAUUAUCCCAAAUACUCAGUGAUGCAAUUCUCCCAUCUACUGGGCUAUACAAGUAAGCAAUUAAGAUCAUGAUCACAUAUUAAUAGUACCAAAAACAUCCAAUCCAAUCAAUUAAAAACAAACAUUGCGCUCACAGAAAAUUGUCGAUUGGCACCAUCAACUAGUGUCGGUCGACACCCUCAAUUGGUUUCGGUCGACACCACCACGAUAAUGCACUGCGAACAACAGUCUAAUGUCGAUCGACACCCUCCUGGUGUCAAUCAAUACUCACACCCUAGAACACAUCCAAUUUUGAUCUGAUUAACCAGAGGACCUAAAAUCACCACCACAUCAUCUCCCACGCCGACACAACCAAGGAACAGCCACAAAAGGCCACAUAAACACCAGAAACACAUAACACAACAAGGAAAAUCAUUCCACACAUCAAAUAAACACAAAACACACAAUCUUAAUGCUUAGAUAAGCCAUGGUCACGAACUCACUUUGAUAAAGAACUAACAAUGAAGAGAACAACACAAUCAGAGGCAGCACAAGACUCUCUUAACACCACAGCCACAAAAUCUUCCUUCCCUUUAGUCAAAACUCUUAAGAACAUCACCUAAAUCUCUCCAAAAGCCCAUAGAACUUCACAGGAAAACUUAGGAACUUUUUCCACUCUUCUGAAAGAAUAAAAGCGGUUGAUAACCCUUCAAGGCGCCGAGUUUUCUCUUUAAAAUGAGCUUUAGGGUUUAGCGAAACCAUCCCAAAUCGAUUUUUCAAUUUAAAACAAACAUGUCAAACCGAAAUUUGUUGGUGUUGAUAGACACUAACAAAAUUUCAGACAGGGGCGUUACAAUUAGGGAUCGACACUAACCCGCUCAACAAUCCUGAAAAGACACAUAAAAUCGGGCGUUAUAAGUAGGUAUUUACAAAUAGGAAUACCUUUUAUAUCCAUAGUCACUACAGCCUAAUAUAAUUUUGAAAGAAUAGAAACGAUAAGCUUUACUUUGUCCAUUAAUAAGCUUUCGUGAUUACCAAUUAAAAUGUUUACUGACUUAUGUCAUUUUCCCUACUGUAUGAUAAAUUAUGUUUUUGUUGUUAGUAUAAUAAAUUUGUAUUCACAUUACAGCUUGAUUUACAACUCAUCACUACAACUUAUUAAAUCAACUUUCUUAUUGGUCUAGUGUAAGAAAACCUCUUAUGCUACAUCGCAUUGGGGAAUUGAACUCCAAGGGUACAAAAAUACCUUUUUUAAUUUGGCGCCGCUGCCAUUUGGAUGUUAUUUGUUCCAUUUAGGAUCCCAGUUCUAUCUAGAUCAAGUUCUUUUUAUUUCCUUUCUAUUUCAUUACUGAUUUCUAUUUGCUGCUUGUCUGAUUUGCAUUUCAGGUACACGACUACUCGAGCCCGACCACCCAACCCGAUCGAGUUACACCAAACCCGAUCAUGUCUGCUCUCAGCUCGACCGUGUCUCACCUCUGCUUAUGAAUCCGAUGGACCAGUUCAUGAUGAAUUUUCACUACAAGCACCACCCAAUGCAAGUCACUUCACGUUCUUAUCAGUUUCAAGAUGUCUAUCAUCAAUCUUUCGCUCCACAACAUGAUUUUCAACAUCCAGCACCUAGGAUAGCCACUGCUAAAGAUUUUUAGUUGAAGAACAUGUUGCAGCAACUUCUACAGCUGCAAGCUGAUGAUCAAUUGGAAAUGACUAGGAUGUUCGAUGAGCUCUCCAACUAUAUGACUUCCUCAUUCAAUGAUCUGUCCCAAAAGUUUUACGCUUUAAGCAACAGGAUCAUGUAUUUAGAAGCCAAGGAGUUUGCACCUCAACAAGCUAUUCAACCUCAACAACAAUCCCAAGCACGGGACGUCCAGGCAAUUGUCAACAAAAUCCUACAAAGUCAAACCGACAGCGAUCAACAAUACAGCAAACUACUGAUGGAGAUCCGCAAUGACAUGACCCACUCUUUCACCGCGCUAACUGAUAAGUUUACCACCCUCUACCAACGUAUUAUCAAACUAGAGGGGCAAACCACUUCUGCAUCCCGUCCACACACUGUACCAAACCGCAUAAUCCAACACUGAACGAAUUUGCCAAUGUCGUUACCCUCCGUAGUGGCCGUGUUCUACCACCUCGUGAAGGAGUCCAACCAAUCCCUGCAGACAGUGAUGAACAGGAGGGGGAGAAUUUCUAUCAAAAUGAGUUUCAGGCUGCAAAAAUAACACAAGAGAAUAGACCCGACCAACCCACCCGAUCGGACACUAGAGUGACUGACAGCGUCAAGAUCAACAUAGUUGAAAAGCAAGUCUUCUCAAAGCAGAAGGAACCACACUACAUCCCUCCAACCUACAAGUCUCCAUUGCCAUUCCCUGGAAGAUUUAAGAAAGAAAUCAAGGAGGAGUAUAGAGGAAUACUCAAUACAUUAAAAGGGGAUGAGCUAACAAAGGCUUUGUUAGAUGCUUUUGCCAAUAUUCCUUCCUACAACGUGAUCCUGAGAGAGGUACUAAUGGAAAGGAUUCAAGAGAAAAAGGCUGCUCAAGAAAAAGCUAACCUUAAAUUACUUGGCUUGACUUGAUUAGAUCUGCUAUAUCUUGAUUGCUUACAAUACAUCCAUUUGGAUCGAUAACCUCUUAUGCUACAUCGCAUUGGGGAAUUGAAUUCCAAGGGUACAAAAAUACCUGUUUCAGUAAACAAGUAUUUAAGCCUCCCGGGCGUAGCAAACCGGUCGUCAGAUAUUGGUGACUCACGGGCCUAGUGAGAGGACAUGACGCCCAUUAAGAGAGGUGGGCCCAUGGGCUGGUGAUGAACAUGGGGCCCACUAGAGAGGUGGCGGUUGGGGCGUUACACUACGCCACGCAUAUGAGGGUCGAUAACCCAUUUUAGUCUCCAAGAAAAGCAUGUUUGGAUAAUGUACUACUUUAUAAACUCUGGCUAGUAGAGAUGAAGGAGAUUUUAGAAGCCUCCAUGACUGUUUUGCAAGCAAAGCUUGAUUAAACCUACCAAUAUCACGGAAUCCCAAUCCUCAUAUGUCCUUUGAUCUACAAACUUUCUUCCGAGCAACCCAAUGCAUCUUGUUUUUAUCCUCAUGAGCACUCCACCAGAACUACAUCAUGGCACUUGUAAUUUGCUUGCAUUGAUGUUUAGUCAGCUUAAAACAGGACAUUGCAUAAACAGGAAGGGUCAUUGCUAUAGAUUUUAACAAAACUUUCUUCCUGCCCAAAGAGAGUGUCUUCUCAAACCAGCCACUUAUUCUUGACUUCAAUCUAUCUGUGAUAAAAUUAAGGAGGUCGCACUAUGCUCCACUAAAACACUCAUCAGGUACUUGCUAUCACCACCCUCUUGUUCAAUACCAAAAAACAGCCCUAGCAUUUGUCUUAUGUAAGGGUCUAGCUUCUUCCCAAAAGUAAUAGCAGAUUUCUUGAAGUUAAUCUCCAGCCCCAAAGCCUUUCCAUACAGCUCAAGGCAUUUCAAAAAUUCAGUACACUCUUUAAGGCUUGCUUGACAAAGGAAAAGACUAUCAUCCACAAAGAGCAGAUGUUGAAUCGAUGGACAGGAACGUGAAGGUUUCAUUCAUGUUAAUCUUCCGUCAAGCUCAGCUUUAUUCAUGAUGUGUACCAAAGCCUCAACACAAAGAAUGAAGACAAAAGGCGAUAACAGAUUACCCUGCCGUAGUCCUCUUUGUGGUUGAAUAUAUCCAUAUGAAGCUCUAUUAAUAAGAAUAGAAUAUGAGACCAAGGUAAAAAACUCAUUAUCCAUUUCACCCACAUGAUAUCAAAACCUAGCCGACUAAGUAGCUCUUCUAAAAAAGACUACUCAACUCGAUCAUAAGCUUUAGACAUAUCGGCUUUAUAGCCAUGAAAAUCUUCAUCACAACUAGUAUUUGUCUUCAAGGCAUGAACGAGUUCAUGUGCAAGUAAAAUAUUGUCUAAUAUCAACCGGCCGGAAACGAAAGCUCCCCGAUUAUCUGAGACAAUAGAAGGUAAAAUGCAUUUUAAUCGAUAGAACAUAACCUUAGAAACAAUUUUCUAUAGUACCGAACAAAGACUAAUUGGUUGGAGAUCAGUCAUCUUUGAUGGCUUUAAAUUUUUUGGGAUCAAACAAAUAUGUGUGAAGUUCCACUCAGGCGGUAAGGAACCAGAUUCAAAAAACUGUUGUUCCUCAGAUAUAACUUGAGGCCCAACAAUGUCUCAAAAAGAUUGAUAAAAACACCCCGACAUGCCAUCAGCUCUUGGGGUACUGUCACCUCUAAUACUGAAUAUUGCCACCUUAAUCUCCUCGCCUGAAACUGGAUGCGCUAGAGUAUUCUGAUCACCGUCACACAUCCAUUUUUCUUUGCUUUGCUGCUUCCAAAAGAGUUCUUCCUCAUGAUAAGCUUCAACUAAUUUCCACAGUAGAGUCUUCAACAACUAAAAAUCUGGUAUUAGUUUAGCUCCCUCAAUUUCAAGUUCAUAGAACAGCCUCAAAAUAUUCUCCUGAGAGUUCUGGUUAGUAGAUUGAUUCCAGAGAGAUAUACACCUUCUACGAUCCGCAAUACGGCUCAUUAAGGAAUAGUUAUCCAAAGCGAAACCUUUAUUCCAACCCUCUCUCACUACCUCAGAGAAAUCCGGUUUUGAAACCCACCUGUUCUGAAACAUAAACCGGCCUCGUUGUGACAUGUUUUCAUUCACAAACCUUGUGAUGAUAGGGCGAUGAUCAGAGCCAAUCCUUUCCAAAUACUUAGUUUGCACCCUUGGAAAAAGAUGAAACCAAGCUGCAUUACCAAGAGCUCUAUCAAGCUUACAUUGCACCCAAACUUGAUUGCGUUCCCCAGCCCAUGAAAAUUUAUUACUAAUACUAGCAAUUUUCGGUUUACCAGACACCGAAUCAAUGCCAUCGUCAUCAUCAGUCAAAAAUCCAAACAAAGGAUCAUCCUUACUAAUUUUUGGAACCAGACGACUUGGAAUGAUCGAUUCAAUUCCCCCCUGUAGCAACAGUUUGCCGGUUUGAGGGAUUAAAUGGGCAGCGUUCCUUGUCAUGAGUUAGCCUUUGACACUGAUUGCAUCGGCGCUAGAUUCUCUCAUACUCCAUCCCAAUGUUAAUCUUCUCUCCAUAUGGGAUCUAGAGUUCUCUAGAAUUCUUCAAGGGUUUGUUUACAUCAUAUAGAACUCUAACUCUGACAUAUCCCUUGCUUAGUGGUUUCAAGGGAUCAAAAGCAACAAUAACUGUCCAAUAUGCGCUGCAACUUCCUUAAUGGUAUCAGCUGUGUUAAAGUUAUCGGAAUAUUGCGAAGAGGGAUCUAUAUUGGCAGCACUUUCAAGUAAUCAGCUGGCGGUUUCUCCACCCAUCGCUCCAGCGUAAUACUCCAGUCAUUUAAGGUCCAAGCACCGAUUUCUAAGACCGUAGUUAACUCAGACUCUGAACCAAAGAAGAAGUGAAACUGUUCAUUAGAAAGAGCUAUUCCUCUAGCUCUGUUGUACACUCGCCAUAAGUGAGGCAUUUCAUGAAUCAAAUCAGACAUCUUCUAGUUCUCUGGGCACAAAAGACGACCAGUGAUACUACUCUUGUUUCGCAAGAAAGAGCUGAACUGCGGAAGGUUUUGCAGCACAAUCAGCUUAUCAUCUUCAAUCGACAUCUCCUGCAAAGCUUUAUCCAACUCAUACUCUAUGACUGCACGUAAAUAACGUAUCAAACAAGGGUUUUGAGCUUUAACACCAGUAGGUUCGACGACGGCUCUCAAGAACACGACGAAAUAGGUUAAAUAUAUAAAAGAUCUCCAAAGAUUUUGUAACAAAAGUGAUAAAAACAGAAAAUAUUCUCCCAAAUCCGGCGAAAACAGAGAUAUUCCCGGUUUACUUAAGUUCUCUCCCUAGAGAGAAAAAUCGCCUCUCCUUUUACUACGAUUCCUUGUGUCAUGUACUAUUUAUCUAUUUACUCAUUAGUCAUUACCAAUCUAUAUUAACAUUUUUGAAGUACGUUUUGGGUUAUAACCUUUUAUUUUGUAUUAUUUGCAUAAUUAACUCCUUGCCAUUUGAAUAAAUAAAAAAACUUUAAAUUAAAUUUUGUAAUUAAAUCAUAAUAAAAUUGCAAAACUGGAAAUCGAUAGUUAUUACAUUUAACAAAAUUUCCUAAAAUCUCUCUCUAAUAAAUCAAAUAUUUCUCCAAUAUCUUUAUAUGAUCUUAUUUGUUUUGAAAAUUAUAUUAUUACAUAAAACAUAUGUAUAGUAAAAAUAUAAUUUUUCGCAUAUGUUGCAAUUUGAAUUUUUGAAAACGGAUGUAUUUUAAUCAAUCGAUACAAAAAAUGUAUUUACAAAACUAUUAUUGAUAAUUGUGAUAAUUGUGUAGCACGAGUCAUGUGAUGGAACGAGUUAUAAAUUACAUAUAUUUUUUUAGGGGUUGUCUACUAUAGUCAAACUCACAAAAAAUUUUAAUUUAAAAUUAGACUAUUUAAACUAAAGAUGUUGUGCCAACAUCAUUUCAUUAUUUUGAAUAUUAGACUUAUUUAGUUAAGUUGAUCAAAUUACGAUUAUAUACAAACAAAUUAUCAUGUCAUAUUUCACUAGUUAAAUUAUAGAAUUAACAGUCAAAAUACAGUGGUACAAUCUUAUAUACCAAAUAAAAUUUAAAAAAAUAUAUUUUAAAAUAUUGCAGGUUAUAUUCUAGUAAAAUAUUAAAUCAGCACUAUUAUAUUAGGAUUUCACAUAAAUGUGUUCAAUUAACUAAAAUCAUAACGGUAAAUCGAAUAGGUUACUAUGUGCAAAUCUAAAGGUUGUGUUGUCUACAAUAUUACAAAUUUCUUGGUCAUUAACAAAAAGAAAGCUACAAGAUUAAGAAUUUCUUGGGCAUAAUACAAUACUAAAAGUAUUGUAUUUCCAUAUUUCUUGAUCUCAUAUAUUUGUGUAUAUUAUCUAGUUUCCUUAUGCUUAGAUAUAGAACUUGGGUAAUACGUUUUGCAUGUUUGUAUAUAUACUUCACCUAAGCAUUCUAAUAAAACACAGAAAACAUUCUCUAUUGAUCGACUCUAAAUUUAUCAUGGUAUCAGAGCAGUAAUCAAAUUCUGGGAUUCUCUUUGUUUUUUUAAGAUCUGAUUUCAUAUCUUUGUAACGAUGGCUGAAGAACACAGAGCGAUGUUACCUGCGAAACCAAUGGAGAAUCAACGACGAACAAUCUCUCCUUAUGACCUAACCUCGAACGACAACCCCGGAAGCAUCAUCUCAUGCCCUUUGUUGCGUGGAGAUAAUUACGAAGAGUGGGCCGUGAAUUUGGAAACCGUUCUUUACUCUCGAAAUAAAUCAUGUUUUCUUGAUGGCUCUAUCAAGGAACUAGUUGAAAACUUGGAGGACUAUGAAGAUUGGAAACCUAUCAAUGCUCUCAUAGUCUCCUGGAUCAAGAUGACAAUCUAACCGAAGCUCCUGUCGAAUAUCUCUCACAAACCAAUUGCAAAAGACUUGUGGGAUCAUAUUCGAAGCUGGUACCGUGUGACCAACGGUCCAAGGAUUCAACAACUGCAACAAGAUCUAGCCAACUGUCAACAAGUAGCUGUUAGCAUUGAGACAUACUACGGAUGGCUCACAAAACUGUGGGAUGAUGUCAUCUGCUAUCGACCUCCUUUGGUGUGCACAUGUGGUCAUUGCACAUGUGAUCUCAAUGGUGAGGAUGAAAAACGAAUGGAAGAAGACAAGUUUCAUAAUUUUCUGCGUGGUCUUAAUGAAUCGACUUAUGGAAUGUUGAAAUAGAAUUUGAUGGCUCGAUCCUCUACCUACGUUGGAACAAGUAUACUUGAAUGUUACACAUGAUGAAGAUGCUCGCUUGAAGAAGAAAAGCUUUGAAGGAAAAAUUGAAAACAUGGCGUUUGUUGCACAAACACAACGACCUCGCUCUCAUUAUGAUGAUAAAACCACAAGCGUUAUGUGCACAAAUUUUGGUCGAGCUGGGCAUCAAGCGGAUACUUUUUCAAAUCUUGGGAUUUCCUUAAUGGUGGGGUUAUAGACCACGAAAUCGAACCGGUCGUGGAAGAGGAACAACUCCGGCAGCUAGUGGUACACUGGGUCGCGGUGGCCCUGCUCGUGCAAACGUUGCUAAGAUCGUUGCAAAUGUAGCUGUAACAGAUGCUGACCGUGAUGCUAUUUUGGGACUGAUAGAUGAGCAAUGGUUGAGCGUUCGACGAGUAAUGAGUGCAGCAAAAACUGGUACAAGCGAACAAAUGUCUGGUAAGAUACUCUCUCCUUCUUGGAUUUUAGACACAGGUGCUACUCAUCACUUGACUUGUAAGAAAGAGAAUCUUAAGAACAUACGAAAAUCUACACCAACUCAGAUUAUGCUAGCAAAUGGUAGAGUUGUUACAAGUGAAACAGUUGGUACAGUUGUGUUAAAUUUGCAUCAUAGUUUCAUUGAGGUUUUCUACAUUGAGAAUUUGGGCUUUGAUUUGAUCUCGGUAACACAACUAAUGGAAGAAAAUAAUUGUGUGAUGCAAUUGGCUGUUCCAUUUUGUGUUCUUAAGGACCGUAUUACGAGGACGCUGAUUGGAAUAGGUGAGCCGGUUGGGGGUUUGGUCUAUUUUUGGAACACCGAGGUUGUUGCAGCUUCGAAGGGUCUCACGAAUCAGUCCGUGGAGCUGUGGCAUCGUCACUUGGGACAUCCAUCACCAAAAAUAGUGGAGAUGCUUUCUAAUUUCAGUUUUAGUAGUAGUCGUACUUCUAUGAAUAAAGUGUGUGACAUAUGUACUCACGCUAAACAAACUCGUUGUUCUUUUCCGUUGAGCAUUAAUAAGACUUCAGAGAUAUUUGAAAUGAUUCAUUGCGAUAUAUGGUGACCCCGUCUUUCUCUGGGGCUAGAUACUUUCUCACCAUUUUUGGUGAUUUUUCGCGUGGAACUUGGAUAUAUCACAUGAAUGCAAAGAGCAAGACACCGACAAAGCUUCAAUUUUUUUUUCUCUUCUAGAAGGACAGUUUGGAAAGCAAAUUCGAUCGUUACAUAGUGAUAAUGGAAGUGAAUUUUUAUCACUAACGACAUAUUUUUUGGAACACGGCAUACAUCAUGAGACCUCGUGUGUGGGAACACCGCAGCAAAACGGCCGCGUUGAACGUAAACACCGUCAUUUGCUGAAUGUUGCUAGAGCUAUUCGUUUUUAAGGUCAUUUGCCUAUUAAAUUUUGGGGAAAGUGUGCUCUAGCUGCAACGUACCUCAUCAAUCGGACACCAUCUGUGAUUUACAAGGUAAAACUCCUUAAGAAAUUUUGUAUGGAGUUAAGCCUUCUUAUGAUCAUGUUUGUGUUGUGGGUUGUGUAUGUUAUAUUCAUAAUCAAGACCAUCAUGGGGAUAAAUUUGCAAGCAGAAGUCGCAAAUGUGUAUUUGUGGGUUAUCCUCAUGGGAAGAAAGGAUGGAGAGUCUUCGAUUUAGAAAAGGAAUUUAUUGUGUCUCCCAUGACGUUAUUUCCGAGAAGACACUUUUCCAUACAAAAAGAACGAUACACAAGACAUUGGUUUGGUCGAUGAGCAUCCAUCGUUGCAACCACAAACCUGUCUCGGUGAAACUCUAGUCUCUCACCCGUCUCUCGUGGAAGAUACACCGGCAACUGUAAUUCCAGUUGCAGACACGACGACUUUGAGUGCAUCUUCAGCGGACGACAGCUCUAACGAUGAUGAGUGACAAGUAACUCUGAAAAUGGAAAAGAACACGUUGACUUCGAAAUUGAAGUAGACCUUGAUAUGGAUAAUGCUCCAAUUGCUGUUUGCAAAGAAGCUCGCCAACAACGUCCACCGGGGUAUCUCGCUGACUACGAUACUACACUUGUGUGUACUGGAUCUAGCUACUAGUUUAUAUCCUCUAUCUGAUGUGCUGUCUAACGAACGCUUCUCUGCAAGUCACAAAGUGUUCUUGGCUGCUAUCACCAUUGCAAGCGAACCGAAAAAUUUCUCUGAAGCGAUGCAAGAUGCUCACUAGAAAGAUGCAGUUGGAAAUGAAAUUACCUCUCGCGAACUGAAUAAUACGUGGACGCUUGAAGACUUACCUGACGGGAAAAAGGCCAUUGGUUGUCAAUGGGUCUUUCGUAUUAAACACCGUGAUGAUGGCUCCAUCGAACGUUUCAAAGCAAGAUUAGACGUUUUGGGAAAUAGACAAGUUGAGGGUGUUGACUAUGGUGAGACAGUUGCUCCAGUUGUUGAAAUGACAACACUACGUUCUUUUCUUGUCGUGGUCUCCGUACGAAACUAGGAAGUACAUCAGAUGGACGUUCUUUAUUGCUUUUCUACACGGUGAUUUGGAAGAAGAAGUGUACAUAAAGCUUCCUCCGGGUUUCUCUAAGCAAACGGAUGGGAAGGUAUGUCGUUUAAGAAAGUCUUUAUACGGUUUAAGCAAGCGCCAAGAUGUUGGUUUGCUAACCUUUUGACGUCUUUGGAAAAAUAUGGGUUUCAACAAUCUUGGUUUUGUGUUCAAGAAAGCGGCGACUGAAAUAAGAGUUCUUGUUUAUGUGGAUGAUCUGGUUAUUACGAGAAAUAAUGUUGAAGUAAUCGAAGCUUUCAAAUUAUAUCUCAGCACAUGCUUCCACAUGAAAGACCUUGGUGUGUUGAAAUAUUUUUUUGGGAAUUGAGGUAGCUAGAAAUUCAGAAGGUAUAUAUUUGAGUCAUGGUAGGUUCGAGGAUCUUGCGCGGCGGAGCGAACUCCUCGAGAAAAAAUAUACACUUGAUAUCUUAUGAGAAACUAGACUACUAGGCACAACCUGCUGCAUUUCCUCUUGAACAACAUCUUCAACUUGGCUUGGCGAAAGGUUCUCUUCUACCCGAUCCCAAACCAUAUCGACGAUUGGUUGGGAAGUUGAUCUAUAUCAACGUCACUCGACCCGACUUGGCUUACUCCGUGAACGUUUUCUCCCAAUUCAUGAAAGCUCCUUGUGCAGAUCAUUGGACAGCAGCACUACGGGUCGUUCGAUAUUUAAAAGGCACCCCAAGUCAAGGAAUCUUGCUCCGGUCCGAUUCUGAUCUCCAAAUUUUAGCAUGGUGUGACUCCUCAUAUGCUGAUUGUCCAUUGACUCGACGAUCUACGGCCGGCUGGUUAAUACAACUUGGUGCAUCUCCUAUCUCUUGGAAGACAAAGAAACAACAAGUGGUUAGUAUGUCUUCUGCUGAAGCUGAUAUAGAGCAAUGGCUUGGACGAGAAAGGAGUUGAUAUGGCUAAAGGCAUUAUUUCUUGAUCUCGGAGUUAUUUUGAAGCAACCUAUGCGAUUGUUCUGUGAAAACACCGCUGCCUUGCAUAUUAAUGCUAAUCCGAUUUUUCAUGAACGAACCAAACAUAUUGAGAAGGAUUGUCACUUUAUACGCAAUGAGAUUAAAUCCGGGAGCAUUGGGAGAGAUUGAGUUCAGCAUGUUCUGGUCCAAGCUGGGCAUUUUAAAUCUCCAUGCUCCAGCUUCACCUAAGCAUUCUAAUAAAACACAGAAAACAUUNNNNNNNNNNNNNNNNNNNNNNNNNNNNNNNNNNNNNNNNNNNNNNNNNNNNNNNNNNNNNNNNNNNNNNNNNNNNNNNNNNNNNNNNNNNNNNNNNNNNUAGAGGAAAAAGAAGUCGUUAGAACGGUCUCCCUCUAUUAUGUAAGUUGACUGGCCAAGCCCGAGUGCUUCAGAGGAGUUUGUUUUUUACCAGAGACCUGAGUUCAUCAGUAGAUUGCCGCUUCUUGUGUACAUUCAUCCACGGUUGGGUGUUCUGAAUGUUGCAAGCAAGUUGAUUCAGGUCCAAAGAUCCACGUUUCUUGUGGGAACUAUCAAGAACUUGGUCAAGGCGAUUCAGUUACUCAUCUUCACUACAACAUGUGUGAUAUGGUUUACCUGUUAGUGCAUACAUCUGAAGGAAUGGUAGAUGCAACAAAAGAGAGGAAAGCUCUGAACCAAGAUCACAAGUUGGAAUCUUCUCCCACGGACUGUAGCGGAGCUCAAUGGGAUAUCUUCAGGUGUCAAGACAAUGCAAAGCUCGCUAAGUAUCUGAAAAUGAAAACGAGAAUAUUUCAGAACCCUCCUAAGUAUUGUACAGAUGACUUUUUGAGUGUUAUCAUCUAAAAUCAUUCAGUUGCUGCAUCUAAUUAACCGUUGCGUUUCGUUUCUGAGUGUUUUUCUGUGUGUUUUAGGCAUCAUGCUAGUUAUAUGAAGGACAUUACCUAAACGAAUACCACAAGAGAUAACUAAAACAAGAGUUUGGUAAGCAAAUCAAACGUUUUGUGUAUCCCGUGGAAAAGUUGAAAGAACGAGACACUUAAUCUUCUUUAUACGUUUCAGGAGUUGAGCCAUUGUCAUUUGAGCAGCGUCGUGGUGAAGCCAUUUUUAUUCCGGUUGGUUCUACCUUCCAAGUUAAGAAUCUAACGGUUAAAAGGAAAAGAGGGAAACACUUUCUUUUCUCGUUUGUUUACAUAAUAACUGAUUCUUGCACAUAUAUGUAUAAACAUAGUCGAACGUUCAGAUAGCAUUCGACUUCUAGUUUCCUGAAAGCGUUACGGAGGGCGUGAGACUAGCUGAAGAGAUUCGAUGUUUACCUAACCACCAUGAGGCAAAAACAUCAGAUUGUAGAGGUACCAAAACAAAACUAUUCUUGAUUCCUUUUAUAGCAUUAACCCUCAAAUGCCUUAUUGCUAAACUGUUGAAGUUUUUGGGUUUUAGAUUGGAAAGUUGUCGCUAUACGCAGCAAGUUCAGCUAUCAAAGAGGUUCAAAAACUGGUAUUGGAUCCUAAGUAAGUCUUAAAAACUUUAUAAUGGAUAAAGCAAAAUCCAAACCUUUGAGCUCAAAAUAUUUAGUUUUUAUUGUAAUUGUUGCAAGAUUAGGAGCAGAGCUGGGUUUCGAUCGAGUUUCUUAACUUGACCAAAGAAGUCACUGAGAAGUUGGACUAUGCAGUAAAGAGUCCGCAGCUGAUCAGCUGUCAGUAAUCAGAUAGGCCUUGUACAUACAUUGCUAUGAAUUUAAUGCACUCUAGAUAAGUUGUAUCAAUUAGAUAGUCUACACAUGUAUAUGCUUUUUAUGUGAAUCAUUCCCUUGAAAACAUCCCACUGGAUAGUAGACUGGCUGUUGCAAGCUACUUCUUUUUUAAUGAAUAAAAGAAGAAGCAGAGACUACCAAGUGCUAAAGGCAUGGGCAUUGGCAGUCCCUGUCCAGUCCCACACCCAAAAAGAAAAAAAAAUCAAAAAAGAAAAUAUAUAAAAGGGACGUACCUCCAAACGGGACCGUUCUCUGCUUUGUGUUUCACUAUUCGCGGGCCCCACUGACAUGUGGCGGCCCGCGAUUGGUUACAUGUUUUUUUAAAAAAAAAAUCUAUUAAAAAAAAAUAAAAUUCCGAGUCUUACUGAUGCCCAUGCUCUAAUAGCUCAACUGGUAAAGAUAUUUGGCAAAAGCUCAAAAGUCACCGGUUCGAGUAGCGCUUGGGACGAAACCAUAUAACAUGCUAUGGUUUCGGGUCUGGGGAUGUAUGAGUUUCGGCCCAGAAUCUCUUUCAUUAUUAAAAAAAAAAAAAAGAAGCAGAGACUUGCAAGUAAAACAGAAGUGAUCGAAUUGGUUGAUUAAGCAUAGGUUUUAACCAACUGUAAUGAACUGGAAAUUUGGUUAAAUUUCAUUAUACAAGGGGGAUCUUGGAUAAAGCAAGACUUGGUGGUGAAAACUAAUUUUAAAAUUUUAAUUCCCUCAGUAGAUGAUUAUCAUGGUUAGUCAGUAUGAUAUAUGAGGUCCAAUGUUAGAUGCCUAAAGGAUACAACUUAACCGAUGAAUAAAGUAUCUGUGAUCAAGAAAAUACGAUAUGACCAUCAACAACACAAACAAAAAAAAAAGUUUUAAGAAGAAGAAACAACAAUUGCUGAAAUAGAACAAAAACCAAAAACCCAAUGAGCUAUAUUUGAUUUCAAGAAUAUGAUCGAAUAAGGAAGAUAAGUGUAUCAUUUACUCAAACCAGCAAACAUAUAAAAAAGAAACAGUUUUGAUACAAACCACAAGGUUUCAUUAUACAGCAACACACAAGGUUUAGAUAAGUGUAUCAUUCAAUACUCAAACCAGCAAACAUAAAACAUACAACUUUAAAAAAAAAAAAACAGUUUUGAUCCAAACCACAAAGCAUAACAUAGUCUCGUUUAUUAUUCGGUUGAUUCGCUGGUGCCCGAGUUGGUACGAGAUUCAGUUCAGAUCAUGGUCGGCUACAAAAACAUAAGAACCAAAAAGAAAAAGUUAAUGAGAUCCAGAACAAAUGUUUGUUUCUAUUAGAAAAAAUGUGACAUGGUAUAUUUUGCCAACAAACACUUCAUUUCUCCUUCAGAAAAAAAAAAAAAGUUUUAUCAGAGAGGCUAAAGAGUUUCUAGACGUUUCGUCGAAUACCUUCAAGGGCUUCAUCCAGUUGAUGAAACUGAAAACCAUCAUAAUCUGCAACACAUAGUCACAUAGCAUCAAACAAGUUCCAAUGAAAUUCAUUCUUAAAUGGCAAUUGAGGAAUUCAUGUUUUACCUGCUAGUUCCAGAAUUCAUUCAUUGAGUUGGUUAUACAUGUACACAGAAGGGAUGUGUUUGACUUUGUAAUAAUCUGCUCCUCCUUCCGACCAUCUAUUCUUACAAUCCUCUCCCAUAUCAUAAAAACUCAGAUCCUUUAAGGAUCGCAGCACAUCAUCAGGAAUCUCCUUUAGUUUCUUGCAAAACCAAAUCUCAAGAGAAUUGAGAAGGGGCAUGGAGCCUUCUUCUACUAUCCAUUCUUCCCACUCAUCUAAUUCAAAAAAAUGUAGUGACUGCAACUGAGGGAACCCACCCCUAGAGCAAACCAUUCUCCUCACACAGAAAGAAUUUCCAUGCAAACGAACAAUUUUCAAUUUACCAAACUUCUCUAGAAUGGGCAUCGGAUCCUCCUCCAAACGACACCCCUCUAGAAAUAGGGUUGUAAGGCUUGAAGGAAAUUGUAAUUCAUCAGAUAACAAUGGAAUAUUUAUCACCAAAUUCAGCUGUUGGAGAUUAAGGAAUUCGAAUAGACUUCUCCAUUCUUUCGUCCCCUUAGCAGCCCCGCUAAGUCUUAUAUCAAGAGUUUCCAGGUGUCUAGCUCCACCUAUCGAUGCAGAUAGGGUUACUAAACUGCUCUCACCAGUUAAUCUGAUUUGAAGAAUCCUCAACAUGGUCAUACCACAAAGAUCCUCUAAACUGCAAUUCUCUGUUGAGAUAUUAGUCAAGAUCUCCAAGUUUACUAGAUGGCUCAAUUCCAACUUUGUCUUCAUAUGCAUAGCAUAUGGUAAUCUAAGGUAUCUCAAUUCUUUCAUCCCCUUCAAGACAUUAGGCACAAAUAUAGGACUUCUAAACACAUCUAAAUUUAGAUAGAUCAGCAACUUUAGAUUUCCUAUAGAAGAGGGUAGAUAAGAUAUGUCCGCACCUUCUAAGCUCAGAUAUCUUAAGUGGAUGAGCUUUCCAAUGCCAGAAGGUAACUUCCUUCCUUUGAAAGUGACUCUAGGGAGAUGUAAUACUCUCAGCACUUGUAACCUUGUAAAGCUUACACAGGAAACUUUACAACCGUAUUUCGUCAAAUACUUCUUGAGAACAAUGAGAGAUCGAACCUUUGAAUUAUUUCUCUCUCUCUCAACAUGUAAUGCAGACGGUUCAUGUGAGACAAAUCUCCGAGAUGUACUAACAGACGGGGAGCUGUUACCGACAAUUUGUAGGAAGUUCUCUUCUUUUGCUUUUGACAAACAAAGAUCUCUCAUCAAGUCAUGCAAACGGCAUUCUUCAAAUCUCCAAGUGGUACUGACUCUUUCAGAUAUAACCAUAUUUCUCUUUACCAAUUCUUCUAUGUAGCUAUCUCCAACAUCUCUAAUGCUCUCUCCAUUGGUAUACUUGAUUAUUCCUUCUGCAGCCCAGUAAUAGUGCAAUUUUUCGAUACUUAUUUCGUAAUCUUCUGGAAAAUGGGCCAAGUAGAGGAAGCAAUACUUUAAAUGACUAGGCAGCUCUUCAAAGCUCAGAGACAAUACACGGUUCAAUAAAUUGUUGUUGCCGUCAUUGGCUCUUCCAACGAGAUGAGAUUCAAUAUUCUUAGAUACUCGUUCCCAGUAGAGUUCUGUGUAAUUUUCAGCCAACAAUCCUCCUAACACCCUGACAGCCAAAGGCAAUCCCCCACAAUGUUUAAGCAUUCGUCUACCCAUCUCUUCCAUUUCCUUAGCAACUUUCUUCGGUUCUACACAACAUCAUCAAACAAAUAAAAAAUACAUCAUUUAUACCAUGAAAGAAUUUCAGUUCAGUAUGAUAUAAUAAUUAUAUACUACAAUAAGCUAUUUUAAAGCUAUGUCUUCCGAGACAUAGGUGAUCCUCGUUAUGACGAUGGUCUCCGUCUCUGGUUCUCCACCCGCUAAUAUUCACAUAUAACUUUUUAAAUUCUGUUUUAUUUUCCAAAUACUUUCUAAUUUUUCAAACCAACUGAAGCAUUCUUUGUACACAUGGUUUUUGAUUGAAUAAAAUUUUACAUUCAAUUUAAUUCAAAAAAAAAAAAAGCUAUCUCUUGCGAUCAUCCCUUCAUUUGAAUGCUUACCAGAUCCCUUCAUUAUUUAUGUGAUCAAAGUCUAUAAAAUAUAUAUAUAUCCUUCAUUUGAAUGCUUACCGGAUGCAUUUUUCAUUGGCAUCGCUAUUCUUUGGAAAAGUGUCCAACUGUCUUCAUCAGAUAGGCAUUCUGGUUUGAAGUUGAUAAAUGGUUCUUCACGUCCAGCGACUCUUUCAUUUCGUGAAGUAAGUAGCACUUUCCAACCUGUACAACUUAAAAAUUAAUAUAACACAGAGAGCAGAAUGAGUGUGAACUGGAAUAUUAUCUUUCUUUCAUUAAGUAGUAUAAAAGGUCAUCAUCACCUUUUUUGUGUGGAAAUAUUGGCUUGAUUAGGUUCCAAUCUUCUUCUUUCCAUAUGUCAUCAAUGACAAUUAAUGAUUUUGAUGUUUCCAACAAUCUAGAGAGUUCAUCUUGGAGUCUUUCUUCUUUCAUCUGCAUGAUUUCGUUUUCUUCUGCUUUGGUUCUGAAACUUUGCAAGAUAUUUUGCCACACAUUCUUCCGAUCACAAACUUGUGAAACACAUACCCACACAAGUCUAUCAAACUUCUCCCUAACCUUGUCGUGAUGAAAAGCUUGUCUAGCAAGGGUGGUUUUCCCAAGACCACCCAUCCCGGUCACUAGAACAAUUGGAUCAUCAUCUUCCUCCACCAAAUAUCCAACCAACUUCUCUACGUUUUCUUCCAGCCCCACAAGAUUGCUUUUUUCCUGUCUAGCGAAUUCUUUUCUUUCAGGAAGAGGUUCUGGAUCCCUCAUGUCGCCAAUAAUCUGUUGUACUCCUUGAGUUUCCAUAUCACGAAUCACCUUAGAGAUCCUAUUACUUAAGCUUCCAAUUUCUAAUGCGAUUUCCCUGCGUUCAGGAAUGAUGCAAGCAAGUCUUCUCAUACGCUCCUUGAUGCCACCACUUUUUUGGAGUUGGUCUUUUAGGAUAAAAGUUUCAAGUAUAUCUUCCGCGUCAAAAAUGAUUUCCUUGAUCACUUCCACACAGUUCUUCACCCUCGCACUUGUAUGCUUUUUAGCCUCUGCGUCUUGCAUAAAUGACUUUAAUCUGCCUAGAUCAGUUUUUAGUUCAUCAACUUGAUCUUCAACUCCCUGAAAUUGUUUGUGUUCAUGGCUCAGUAGGUUCCAAAGAUUUUGUAUUCCAAAUGACAGAAGCUCCGUAGCCAUAGUGCCUCCUGCUUAAAUAGUAAUGAAAAUAACAACCAAGUUACUUAAUAUUGACGAACAUUUCUAAUCAUAACAUAUUCUGAUAAACUGAUGAGAGUAAAGAACACAAAAGUGUUUAAAGGAAGAAUUGUAUUAGACUCAUCCCAAAAUAAUGUUACAUAAUACAUCGAUAUAUAUAGUAAUAGGAAUAAACCUAAUUUCCUAAACUGAGAUAAUGACUAAUGAAAAUAAUACAUUUCUACAUAAAGGUAAAUAUCCUAAAUAAGAGGAUCUAGAUUCUUUCACAUCUUCAUAAUUUACAUAUUCUUGAGCAAUCAUCUCGACCGUCGAUCUCUCAACCGAUCUCCGGUUCUCCAUCUCCCAAUACCCCCCGGCAAGCUCAUACGUGGUAACACGUGUGAGAUUGGACAAGUCUUCAAAAUAACGGCUUUAUACUCGGCCGUCGAGUCAUCAUCGACGUUUAUACCCGGUCGUGGGGUCAAAGCGGCUGUAAAAUCCGGCCGUCGGAUCAUUAACGACGUUUAUACCCGAUCGUAGGGUUUUUCAAGAAGAAAGGGACAAAACUCGCGUUUGCGAUGUUUAUGAAUAAUUCGCGAUUGCGAAAAUAAGUCACGAGAAUAAGAAGUCAGAAUAUAAAAGGAUGUUAAUCGCGAGGGCGAAGAAAACAUCAAGCUGAACAAAUCAAUAGAUAGAGAAAAAUCAAAACAAAAGAGAGAAAAACCAAUAGAAAAUUAUAGAAAAUAACAACCAAGUUACUUAAUAUUGACGAACAUUUCUAAUCAUAACAUAUUCUGAUAAACUGAUGAGAGUAAAGAACACAAAAGUGUUUAAAGGAAGAAUUGUAUUAGACUCAUCCCAAAAUAAUGUUACAUAAUACAUCGAUAUAUAUAGUAAUAGGAAUAAACCUAAUUUCCUAAACUGAGAUAAUGACUAAUGAAAAUAAUACAUUUCUACAUAAAGGUAAAUAUUCUAAAUAAGAGGAUCUAGAUUCUUUCACAUCUUCAUAAUUUACAUAUUCUUGAGCAAUCAUCUCGACCGUCGAUCUCUCAACCAAUCUCCGGUUCUCCAUCUCCCAAUAUAUUCACUAGAGCGACAUAUCACAAGUUCCGUAAGAGGAUAAGAUUUUCAUAAUUCCAUUAAAGCCUAUAAAAACUAAACCUAAUUAUUCUAGUGAGUAACCUGUAAGAUCCAAUCAAACUGCCAGAAAUUUAUAUGGAUAUAGACAAGGUUUUAGUAUCAAAACUUGAAAGAUAUAUAUAUGGAGAAAAAUAAACAGAGAUUUCAUUCACCGUAAACAAAAUUUUUUGCCAUGAACAAAAGAAAACAGAUUGAUAACAUUAAAAGAAAAAUGACUAACCUUUUGAAGAAGAGAGAUUUUAGCUCUUUAGCUCAUCCUAAGGAAGAACUACCUUUAUGUUUUCAAGACUUAAUUUCCCUUCUUUCUGAUAUUUUGUUUUUCAGACUUUUCAACUAUCGACAACGCAUGGUGUUCUUAACCACAUACUUUUCUUUGUCUAUCAUUCUCUUUAUCUAUUCUUUUUUUUUUUUGCAGAAAUAUUUUUCUUUUGUUAUGAAAUUAUUAUUUUAUAUAUAGGUGUGAGGAAAGUAAUUAUAUAAGUGUUUGUUUUAUACUAGUAUAUAUAUAUAUAUAUAUUUAUCUAUAUUAACAUUUUUGAAGUACCUUUUGUGUUCUACCCUUUUAUUUUGUAAUAUUUGCAUAAUUAAAUCCUUACCAUUUGAUUAAAUAGAAAAAGUUUAAGAUAAAUUUUGUAAUUAAAUCAUAAUAAUUUUGCAAAAUUAGAAAUCAAUAUUUAUUACAUUUAAACAAAAUUUCCUAAAAUCUCUCCCUAAUAAAUCAAAGAUUUCUCCAACAUCUUUACAUGAUCUUAUUUGUUUUUAAAUUUAUAUUAUUACAUAAACAUAUGUAUAAUAAAAAUAUAAUAUUUUUUUUGCAUAUGUUGUAAUUUGAAUUUUUAGAAACGGAUGUAUAUUACUCAAACGAUACAAAAAUCUAUGUACUAAAGUAUUAUUGAUAAUUGUGUAGCACGGGUCAUGUGAUGGAACGGGUUAUAAUUUACAUAAUUAUGAUUAUAGAUAUUUUUACAGGUUUUUUACUAUAGUAUAACUGACAAAAAUAUUUUAAUAUGAAAUUAUAUUAUGUAAACGAAUAUUAUGUCCGUAUCAUUUCAUUAUUUUAAAUAUUAUACUAUUUAAUUAAUUUACUCAAAUUACGAUUACAUAAAAAAUAAAUUAUCAUAUAAUAUUCUACGGGUUAAAUCAUAAACUUAAGAAUCAAAAUAUAGUAGUACACUCUUAUAUACCAAACAAAAAUAAUAAAAAGAAUACAUUUUAAAAUGUCGUUCUGCGGUCUGCGGUGUACCGCGGGUUAAAAUCUAGUAUAUAUAUUAUAUUUGUUAUUGGUUAAAAGGGAGAGAAAGUGACGAAGAGGAAAGAGAGUGAAUUAUUAUUACUCUUGCAUUUUUGUUGCUUUCGUACACACAGUUGUGUAUUAAAAAGAACUAAACCGACCACAAACGACAUAUCUAGGCCUUGAAAGACCAUCCACAUCGUCCCUCCAAAUAGUCUCCAAUACAUCAGGAACAAAAUCAAAAGUAAAUAAACCUAAAAGCAAAGUAAGGCAUAGUUUGUUAAUCUAUCCGCAAGGUGAUUAGCUUUUCUAUACAUGUGAGGAACCCGGACAAUCCAGUUUCUCGAUAAAAAGCCAUAACACAAGUAUACUAGGGAUGAUGAUGGGUAGGACUUGCAGAUACCCUUCUUGAGAAACACCACCACCAUUUUAGAAUCAAUCUCCGGUUCCACUCUUAAAACUUGUUUCUCCCUGGCAAUAACAAGUCUAUAGUAGACAACCCAAAACUCUGCUAGAGGUGCGGAACAUCGACCAAUAUUGAGUACAAAUCCUUCACACCAGUUUCCCUCUCCAUCACGUAGAACACCACCACCAGCUGCCAGCCCUGGAUUGCCACUUGAAGCUCCAUCAGUAUUAAGCUUAUACCAGCCGUUAACUGUUUAUUAUCCUCUAAUGUCUUUAAUCUUUUUUGGUGUGUUUGGGAGAUUGCAAGCUUGAUUUCUAUGGAAUUUUGGGUCUUCUUUCUACAUUAAUUAUAAUUGAAAUAGUUUUAUUUCUGUAUAUUUAAAUUAAUUAUGAAUAUGAAUUUUUAAAAAAAAGAUAAAGUAGUAAAUCUAUUAUUGAGAUAGAAUAUUUUUGGCAACCAAUUCAUAUUUAUAUUUAAUUGAAAAAAUGUUGAUCAAAGAAAAAAUAAUAAUAAAUAGUUCUACAUAUAGAGGUCUCGGGUUCGACGUCCAGAUAAGAUGAUUUAUUAAUUAAUUUGCAGAAGAAUGAGACAAGCUUUCUAGAGAUCUAACACGAUGUACAAUUAGAACUGUUCACCGUGUUUCUAUGCAUGGUGAAUGAAGUGUCGUUCGUGUGAGGAAAAAGAGUAAUUUGUGAUGAAUCUAUUAGGAUCGGGGAGAAUUAUCUAUAGUAGAAUCCUUAUUUUAAUAAUUCUCAUAAUUUUCAAUAAUCAAUAAUUCAAGAGUUUAAAAAAAACUAGAACUAUAUAGAAUGCAAUCUAGGGGUUAAAACGGAGUAAUGCUUAUUUAGAGAAAAAUAAUUCUUAUUUAGAGUCGAAUUUUUUAAGGAAAAAUGAUUCUCAGCUACAUGAAGUAUCCGCCAACACAUUGUUACACAUGUAAAUAAUAUAAUUGUCUCGUUAACUACAUGAAGUAUUACCAUCACAUAAGGACAUGCAUAAAUGAUGCAGCACAUCUUCUUAUCGGGCUUGGUCGUUGCUCUUGUGGGCUUUACACAAUCGACCAAAUGGGAGUUGAUCUUUUAAUUUCAUUUGAUAUUUUGACAUUGUUUUAAUAUAAGGAUGUUAACAUAUCCAUCCCUUCUUAUAUUUGGCUUUAUCUUAUUAGUUGGUGUUUAGGGCUUUAUAAACUUUGUUGCGUCUUUGUUUCGAGUCAGUUUUUGAUAUUUAUAAGAAAAAAACCAAAAAGAGGCAAACCUUUGCCCAAAGAGCUUGUGUCAAGCUAGAGAGGAGGACUCUCAAUAUCCUUCUGUUCAUUUUUACCAUUUCCGCUUACGCCUCUACAUUAUUUGGUAUCAGAUUCAUCUCGUUCUUAGAGAGAAUUUGUGUCAACGUGUAGCCAUGCCUCCAGCCAACAAGAAAGGUGAGGGAGACGACGGCCACCACACGAUGACAACGACUGAUUGGGCUGAGUUUCGUGAUGCUCUGUUGACAUCAAAACACAACCUACAAGCAUAUCUCCUGGAUGCUAUGCGAAAUUUAACAGACACGCUUGUUCACAGUCUCGGAGAUCGCCAUCACCGACGAGGGGGAGAAAAUUUUUGGGCCAUGGACAAUCCGUUUGCUCAUGAGGGAGCACAUCGUGGGGAGUUAGUGAAUUUCCUGCAACAAGACAACCACGCUCAAGAUACACGGUGGAAAGCUAGCUUUCGAGUGGAGAUUCCAGAUUUCCAUGGUGGGAUUCGCUGCGACUCUCUCCUUGAUUGAUUAGUGGUUGUAGAGGAAAUUCUCGAGUUUAAGAAAGUACCAGAGGAUCACAAGGUUGCCUUAGCUACGACACGGUUUCCCGGACACGCCGCAUCAUGGUGGCAACAUACAAAGGCCACACGCAGCCGUACGGUGAAGGAUUAUAUACAUUCAUGGGAAAAACCGAAGAAGAAACUACGAGCCACGUUCCUAAAACACAAUUAUGAUCGCACCAUCUACAACAAGCUACAGAACUUGAAACAGGGGAGUCGAUCCGUAGACGAAUACGUCAAAGAAUUUUAUUUGUUGGUCACUCGCAAUGAUAUUUUCGACAGUCCCAUCCAGUUAGUGUCUCGUUUCAUUGGUGUCUUAAGAGUACAACUACAAAAUGCGAUGUCGCAAUUCGAUCCUACCUCAAUUUCAGAAGCGCACCGUCGAGCUGCAUCCUUUGAGCUCCAAUUUCGCUCACCAUCAUGGUCUACUCCUUCGGCCAAGACACGACCAUACAACCAGAGCACAACCACCACAUCGACCGCGAUAAAAGAACUUGGAACCGCUAAUGAGGUGACAAACAAAGCAGCUCGGGAGGAACAGCCGCUACGCCGUUCCACUCGACCCAAUGCUCUUCGAUGUUACUCUUUUGGUGAGGCGGGACAUCGUCAAACGACAUGUCCAAACCAAACACGUCGUGGACUGCUCAUGGAUGACGGACAAGAUAACUCACCACCAGUUUUCGAUUAGGAAGAAGAUGGAAGAGACGAGGACAACGUGGAAGGUCUUCACACAACUGGCGACACGGGAAGGUUGUUAGUAGCACGGCGGCUCUGUAUAGCACCACCCAGCCGGACAGAUUCUUGGCUGAGACACAACAUCAUUCGCUCAUCGUGUAUAAUCCAAGACCGUGUGUGCACGUUCAUUAUCGAUUUGGGUAGUUCGAGGAAUACUAUGGCGGAGUAUGUUGAGCAGAAUUUGAACAUCCUGGCUGAACCACACCCUACUCCUUACUCGCUUGGUUGGAUGCAAGAUGGCGUCGAUAUUCGCAUCACUCAUCGAGCCUUGGUCGCUUUUACUAUUGGUCAUCACUACAAGGACCGUUUCUAUUUUGAUGUUGCUCCUAUUGAUGUAAGUCACCUAAUUUUGGGUUGACCUCGGGAAUUUGACCGAAAAAUUUUCCAUGACGGAGCAAAGAAUACUUACAGCUUCUACUGGGAGACAUAUCGCAUUGUUUUGCUGCCAACUCUGGAGACUCCUCUACCCGUGACGCCUCCACCACAGGCAGCAUCUUCGACACUGUUCUGUUCUGUAGCUACCUUUGACGAUGAGUUCAAACAAGAGGGGAUCACCUUUGCUCUCUUGCUUCACCGCUGUAGGCGACGUCCGUCCAAACCAUUUCAUCAUAUGACUCCGUGCUGCGCGAGUUCACCGACAUCUUUCCAGAAGAGCUACCGCCGGGUCUCCCUCCCCUCUGGAUAUUCAGCAUCAAAUUGACUUGACUCCAGGUGCAGCUCUACCAAACCGUGCUCACUACAGAAUGAGCCCUCAAGAACACGAGGAGCUCCGACAUCAAGUUGAAGACUUGCUGCGCAAAGGGCACAUUCACGAGAGUCUUAGUCCUUGCACUGUCCCAGCCUUGCUAAUUCCAAAAAGAUGGUUUGUGGCGAAUGUGUGUGGAUAGCCGGGAAAUUAACAAUAUCACAGUCCGCUACCGGUUUCCUAUUCCCCGCCUUGACCACUUGCUGGAUCAAAUUGGAACGGCCUCUAUUUUUUCGAAGAUUGAUCUUAAGAGUGGCUACCUUCAAAUCCGUAUCCACCCCAGGGAUGAAUGGAAAACGGCGUUCAAGACAAGAGAAGGACUUUUCGAAUGGUUGGUCAUGCCGUUCAGGCUUUCCAACGCGCCUAGUACCUUUAUGCGUAUCAUGAAUCAAGCACUACGGCCGUUCAUCGGGAAGUUUGUAGUGGUGCAAGCUAUCAAACAUUGGCGACAUUACUUGGUUCACCGGUAGUUUGUCUUGUUUACGGACCAUGAUGCUCUACGCCAUUUGGAUAGCCAAGCAAAGGUGUCUUCCCGUCAUGGAUUGCAUUUCUUCAGCAACUUACCUUCUCUAUACGAUACCAAUCAGGCAAAACAAACCGUGUAGCUGAUGCAUUAAGUCGUCGCCACACCUUACUCACUACGAUGCACACGUUGGUAAUCGGGUUCUCCAAAUUUGCUGACUUGUAUGGAACUGAUCCGUACUUUGCUCCUCAUCUCGCUGACAUUCGCCAAGGCCUACAUUCUAAAUUCACUAUGCACGACGAUUUUAUCUUCUAUGGUCCUCGGUUGUGUGUUCCAGUUUGUAGCUUGCGGGUCAAGAUUAUUGAAGAAUUAUACAAUGAAGGUUGUCAUGGCAUCAUAUUUUUGGCCUACUCUUCGUAGGGAUGUAGAACGGUUUGUGGAGAGGUGUCGAGUUUGCCAACAAGGAAAGGGUAAGGCGUCGAACUCUGGUUUGUACAUACCGUUGCCCGUUCCCACCCAGCCGUGGACCAAUGUUGUAAUGUCCCUAACCGGGGCCUAAUAUUCAGACGGAAUGGUCAAAGAAUGGAUCAAAGGAAAAUGGAUCAAGGCAAAGGAGAAUUAAUUUUUGGGCUUGAGCCAUAUUUCAUACGACGAUGAAGUUUCUGGCCGAAGGAGUUUUGAGUACGAACGCGAUCACAAGCAUAUCAUUUCGUUUGCAUCCGCAAGCUAGUAGGUUGGUAGGCAAGCUACUGCACUAUUAUGGAUAAGAACAAUAAAUGGAUAAGCAUGAAGUUUAGGAUAAGCAUCACCAUUUGGAUAAGGAUAGAAAUAAAAAUAAGCUAAGUCAAGCCUAUCAAUGCCACCUCGUUGUCACGGACUUGAUCUUUGGUGAUCAAACCGUGCAGCCCUACACCCUCUUUGUCUCGAACAAAUGGACUAGGUAGCCUAACUCUCCCAAUAUUUCCGACCCUUUGUGAGAAAAGAACCCGGAAAGAACGAAAAGAACGAGAAAAGACAAGUGAUUACUGAAUUGCUCUAGUAUUGAUAAAAAUGCUGGAUGAUUACAAAUGAGGGAUCUCACCCCUAUUUAUACAAAACACCUCCUUAGUGGACGGUAGAGAUUAAAGCGUUAUAAUGCCCGAUAUUGAAGACAUCGUCAUAAAUACAAGGAUUUGGUUUGGUGAAAAAGUCUUCCGAGAAUCCUCUCCAAGUCUUUCCUUAAGUGGCUUCGAAGCUCUUCAACGAAAAAGGAUGGAAAAUGCUAAGUGUUUGGUGGGCUUUCUCCAUAGUCCGGCCCGUAUGUGUGUUCAAGUAAAUGGGCUGUGACAUCCUCCCCCACCUAAUUCGGCGACGUCCUCGUCGUUGUGAAUGCCUUGAGUUCCUCUCUGAAUUGCCAUAGCUCUUCUUCUGGUUCCCAUGAAGCCCCCGCUUUUGGUAAACCCUUCCAUUUGAUGAGAAAAUGUGUUCGUCGAGGAACACCACGUUUCCGAACUACCUUUGACGAGAGUACUUCCUCGAUCUCCUUAUCGUAAGACUUCGUCAUAAUGGGUGGUGCUUGAGACGACUCUCCACGAUGUUCGUCCUCAACAUCUCCGUGAUAGGGCUUGAGCAUACUUACAUGGAAAACCGGAUGGAUCUUCAAAAUGUCGGGUAGAUCAAGUUUGUAUGAAACCUUCCCUAUCUUGGCUAUUACUUCAAAUGGUUCCUCAUAUCUCCGGAGAAGCCCCUUGUGCAUGCUCCCGAAAACCUUAAAUUGUUGGCGAAGAAUUUUCACAAAGACUCGAUCGCCUACUUUUUCCAAGCAUACCUGGGCAAAGUCCGCAUGAUCUUCCCAUGUUUUUGCCAUAUUCUGCGCUCCCGGACUUCGUGUCUCGUUGUUCAGUAUGGCCAUGGAAUGGGGAGUCAUCGGUUGCUGCCCGGUCGCCAGUUCGAAGGGACUCUUCCCUGUCGCUUCGCUCCGUUGUAAAUUAUAGGAGAAUUGGGCAAUAUCGAGCAAAUUUGCCCAAUCUUCUUGGUUUGCACUUGCGCAGUGUCGUAGGUAGCACUCCAACAACAAAUUCGCCUGUUUUUUUUGACCGUCGGUUUGGGGAUGAAAGCUUGUUGAAAAACUUAGCUUUGUUCCGAGAUUCUUGAACAACUCCGUCCAAAGCUUCCCGGUAAAUCGAGGAUCACUGAAAACGUAAUCAAUAAUCAAUAAACGUUAUCAAUAAACGUAAUCAAAAUUCCGUCCAACUCUUGUUAUUUGCUUGUUUUGUUUUGCUUUCUUACCAGUAUCAAUAAUCGUUACAUUUUAGCUUAUGCAUGGUAGUCUAUGUUUUACAGCCUUACAUUUAUCGCAUGUUCAACAUGUUCGCUUAGGAUCACUGAAAACGUAAAAUCAUUUAUGCUUGCUUGACUUAAUCAUUUUUGAUAUACCUUGAUUGCUAGCAUCACACCUGAUUGGAUUGAUACGUAUUGUACUGUAAUGACAUGAUAGUACUCUAGGGUAAUUGAUAGAAAAAUCCUAGUAUCAUCGGUUUUCGGACUUGUCUUGUUGGCACACCAAACAAGUCUUCACAUAAAGCUCCACUGUGUCCCUUAAUUGGUUGCCAAUAGUAUACUGCUUCGACCAAGGCCAUCGUACGUUUUUGUCCCGGAUGCCCCGCCCACUGAGUAUCAUGAUACUCUCGAAUGAUCUCUCGUUGUAGGCUCCCCACAUUUGGGACAUAUAAGCGUCGACCCUUGGUGUAGAGUAACCCAUCCUCUACCUAAAAGCGGACAGUCUUCCCCUCCGACGCCAAUCUCAUCAACUCCCUGGCUAUCGGAUCAUGCUCGAGACUCUCCCGAACACGACUCAAGAUUUUCCCCUCGGCUUGACUAAUGUUUGCGAGUUUGGCCUUCUGACUCAACGCAUCAGCCACAACAUUAGCCUUCCCCGGCUUAUACUCCAACGUGAAGUUAAACUCAGCUAGAAAAUCUUGCCAACGAACUUGCUUCAGUGACAACUUCUUCUGAGUCUGAAAGUAAGUUGUUGCCACGUUGUCCAUCUUAAUGGAAAAAUAGGACCCCAAUAGAUAAUGGCGCCAAACACGCAAGCAAUGCACAACGACCGUCAUCUCUUUCUCCUGAACCGUAUACCGUCUCUUGGUGUCAUUCAGCUUGCGGCUCUCAAAGGCUAUUGGGUGUCCUUCCUGCAUAAGAACACCACCGAUGGCAAAAUCAGAAGCAUCGGUUUGUACCUCGAAUGGUUGACUGAAAUCCGGAAGGGCAUGUAUUGGUUCCCGGCUGACCGCCAACUUAAGCUCCUCGAAUGCCUUCUUACACUUAUCGGACCACUCCCAUGACUUUUCAUUUUUGAGGAGAUCGGUCAACGAGGCCGCCCUCAUGGAGUACCCCUCGAUGAAAUGCCGGUAAUAAUUAACAAGACCGAGAAAAGACCGUAGUUCAGGUACCUUAUUUGGAGCUUCCUGACUCGUAAUCGCUGAAACUUUGGCAUUCUCCAUUCUCAGUUUCCCUCUCCCCAUGAUAUGCCCCAAGAACUGCACUUCUUCGGUGGCAAAUGUGCAUUUCUCCCGCUUCACGUAUAACUCGUUCUCUCGUAGUUAUUGGAAUACUAUCUUCACAUGCUCAACGUGCUCCUCCAUGGAGUUGGAGUAAAUGAAGAUAUCAUCGAGAUAUGCUACCACAAACCGAUCCAAAUAGGGCUGAAGGAUCUGGUUCAUGAGUGUGCAGAACGUGGCCGGCGCAUUUGUGAGGCCAAAAGGCAUCACUAACCAUUCGAAUGAACCGUACCGAGUAACACACGCAGUCUUGGGUUCAUCCCCCUCGGCUAUCCGAACUUGGUAGUAACCCUUUUGUAAAUCCAUCUUGGUGUACACCUUCGCACAUCCCAGCCUAUCGAACAAGUCGGCAAUUAACGGAAUCGGGUACCAGUUUUUGAUGGUUACCAUGUUAAGUGCCCGAUAGUGCACGCACAUCCGGAGUGAGCCAUUGUGCUUCUUCUGAAACAACACCGGUGCGCCGUAAGGAGCCUUCGAUGGUCUCAGCAUUCUGGUUGAGAGCAACUCGUCGAGUUGCUUUCGUAGUUCAGCCAAUUCGGAUGGAGCCAUGCGAUACGAUGCCAUGGCCAGUGGUUUCGCUCCAACUUCUAGCUCGAUCCGAUGGUCCACCUCUCUCCUAGGUGGUAAUUUCUCGGGUAACUUAGGCGGCAUGAUGUAUUUGUUCUGCUCCAAGACUUUCUCGAUCACCGGUGGGAUAACAAGCGCUUCUCCAAACUCGUCAUCCAACUUCAACAAAGGGAGAUACGUUGGGUCUUUUUCUUCACUCCCUUCGAGAAUUGCAUCGCCAAAAGUUGCUGAACUUCACCAUCCUUUCGAGCUUCAACGGUAGGCACCAUACAUGGUGAAUUCUCCUCAAGGAUGCACAUUGUACUAAGGGCGGGCAUAGGUAUCGCCGAUACUUGCCUUUGGAAUUCGAGGCCAAGCACGACCUUGAAGUCAUCCAUGGAUACCACCGAGAAAUUCAUGCUCCCCUUCCAAGCCCAAAUACUAAGCUCCACCCCAUGUGCGAUCCCGUGAAGUGGUUGAGCUUUGGCGUUCACUGAUUUCAACCAUCAUUCACCCUUUGUCCAUGUCAGACCGAGCCUUUUCACCUCUCCCUUGGAUACAAAAUUGUGGGUUGCACCUGUGUCCACCAUUGCUUGUGUGGCUCGUCCGUUGACAUGGAUAUCCACGUACAUCAAUCCUCUACUCUUCGCCUUCGACGUAGUCUUGAGGGCGUUGAGUAACUGCAACGACCCGAUUAUUCCAGUCUCUUCUUGACCAUCGGCUUCCAUUUUUUCAAGGAGAGCGGACAAUGACCCCAGUUUUGGGCAAUCCCUCGCAGGAUGUGGCCCUUUUCACACGUAACAACUGCUCCUAGGGACAAAAGAAUGCUUCUUUGCUUCAUACUCUUCUUGUCCUAAACUCUUCCCCGAGUUCCGAGUAUAAGACGAUGCCGGCUGGUCUCGCCUAUCUCCAUUACCCCUAGGCGCUACUUUCUCCUUCUUCUUGUAGGAAUCAGGUUGAUUUUGGGUGACAAAAUUGGAAAGCGACUCAGCUACAACAAUUGCCUCAUCCACGGUGCUUACAUUCCGCCGUUGCAACUCUUGCUUCGCCCAUCCUUGCAGUCCAUCAAUGAAAUGGAACACCAAGUCUUGAUAGGACAAGUUUGGGAUUUGCAACAUGAGGGUAGUGAACUCCUUCACAUAGUCCCGCAUCACACCCCUUUGGCGAAGCUCUCUUAGCUUCCUCCGUGCCUCAUACACCAUAUUUUCAGGGUAGAAUUGGCGCUUGAGCUCCUUCUUAAACUCCUCCCAAGUGUCUACCCGACAUGUUUCCCGCUCAAUGUCCGCAUGACGCCUCUGCCACCAUAACAUUGCCGUAUCGGUAAGGUACAACGUGGCAGCUUUUAUCUUUGCAGUCUCGUCUCCGAGCCCGAGAUUGCCAAAGUACUGCUCUAUUUGCCACAAGAAAUUCUCAACUUCUUUGGCAUCUCGUACCCCAUCAAAUCGGGAUGGUCUCGGGUAAUCCACUAUACCCAAAAUUGCGUUGCUAGUCCCCCCACUGGCAACAGCCUUCUUGCACAAGGUAAGGUCUUCUUGCAUCGCCUCGAUGCUCACCUGCAAUGCUUGAACCGCCCCCAUCAUCUUCUCUUCCAGUCGGACGAAUUGACUCUCCAUUCCCCCCCACGUUCUCCUUGACUCCACUAAGCUCGGAGAACACAAUUUUUUGAGUUCGGAGGCCAAGUACUCGACACGCUCGACCCUCUCCCCCAACUCGUUCACCACAACAACCAGAGACCCGACCUCAUCGCGAACCCUGCUCUUCUUGCGCUUACUCGCCUUCCUCGGAGCAUGGACAUAUGCACUCUCCGUCACUAGGUUGAUGUCCUCUCCGUCAACAACGAUGUUUUCAUUGUGACCCACCAUCUUUCAGUAAGUUUCAUUAAGUGGCUUCGAAGCUCUUCAACGAAAAAGGCUGAAAAAUGCUAAGUGUUCGGUGGGCUUUCUCCAUAGUCCGGCCCGUAUGUGUGUUCAAGUAAAUGGGCCAUGACAUCGUGCUUCCAUAGCUUCCUCCCCAAGUAACCACGUCCUAUAAAUACCCCCUCUCCUUUUCAUUUGUUCGUCACACCAAAAACCAACAAAAACUUUCCCAAGUGAGUAAGUGUCCGAGCUUGUCCGUGGUAGUAUCUGAGUAGGAUCGCCAAGAGUCCCGAAGCGUGUGAGGUAGCACACGACUAGGAUUAUUUAAAGUAUUUAUUUAUUUAUUAAUAUUUAGCAUGAGAUUAGGGAUUAUUAUAUUGGCAUUAUUUGUGGUAAUGGUGAACUGUUCUUGAUUGAUGAUUAUGUGAUAGUAUAACAUCGCGAUAGAUAACUGUUAUGCUAGCAUUUAGGGGCAUAACCAUUAUGCUGUCGGAUUGUUAUAUUAUUUAGUUGUUGGUUAUGCUUUGGUUAGAUAUCUAGCACUAAUCGGAUCGUGCUAUCCUCGUCGUAUAUGAUACGUUAGGUAACGUGAUUAUAUACGGAGGCUCGGGGCUGGGUCGCGACAGAUCAGGCAGCUACAUGACGAUGUAGAGUGAAGGGAUGACAGAUCUUCUAUAAACUUUGUGUCUAGAAGUGUAGGGUGUUGCCUUGAGGAUAUCAUUGAUUCGUAGGGGCCCAAAAUAGGAUCGAGAUGAGAUGUAUUACUUGCAUUUUGGUUUACUGCUUAUGGCUUCUAAGCCAUAAUGCUUAUUGAUCGCCAUUGCUUGUGAUUGGGGGUUGGGUUGGGUUAUUUUAGAGAUCCCGGACUUACUGAGUAAUCUAAGAUUACUCAAGAUUCUACCAAUUUUUUUUGCAGGUAACCAGUAGUGGGAAAACCUUAGGGGAAGCAAAGGACGUUAGGCCAACCGGUGUAGAUUUCCUUGCCUUUGUAAGAUGUAGUUUAGUGUAUAAUACAUAUGACUCUAUUUUCCCGAUAUUAAUAAAGCGAUGCGUUUAUAAACACCAUGUCUCCCAUGAUGUUAUUAGUCUUGUCCAGACUAACACAACUCGUGUUCGCGGUACGGGUUGCAAAGCCAUAGGCCGUGAUCUUGAAGAACGACUCCUGCGGUUGGACGGCCUAGGCGUACGAAUUCGUUUCGGGAGCUUGAGUCGGCCGCCUACGGGCGUCUAACGUGACGCUCUUGGCUCCUUCUUGGCCUAUAACGGGUCGGGGGUGUUACAAGUUUGGUAUCAGAGCAUUGUUCACUGUGCUUACGGGACGCACGUUUUCAAAAAAAAAAAAUUAUCGAGUAAAUAUAGUCACAAAGGAAAUUAGGGAACUGGUACUUCCUUCUGCAAUUAGGUAGAUGGGAUAGGAUUUUACCCUUGAAUGUUGGAUGCAAAUGUCUUGCCAGAAGGUGGAGAAAUGAAUACCAUGGGGUAGAGUACAUUACUUCCCCAUUGGUUAUUCAUCAAGCAAGAAAUUCGGAAGACGUAAGGUGAAUGCCAAUGGAGAAGAUAAACCUUAGGAUUAUAUUACCCUUCUCAUUAGGUAUCAUAACAGGUAAGUAUGGGUUCUAUCUUUGUCCUUUUUAUCGUGUUUUGUGUGUUGAUUGUUUGUUUUAUUUCAGGUAAGUGUUGGUCUAGUUAGGUGUAGUAUAUUAGGGGAAUGACAACCCCAUAUGUGUCCAGAAUUAGGAUUUUAGUCUUUGUGUAACCCCAAAGACUAUGAAUCCUAAGAGUGAGAAAUCUAGAAUUUAGGAAACCAUAGUUUUCUAGUAGAAACCACCCUUUACCUUUUGGUGGUGACUUGUGGUGUGGAAGUAAGGCAUGUGGAGAUAGGUAAGCUGUCAUGUAAUAGUAACAAAAGGAAAAAUGAAGAUUGAUAAAUAGAGGAGUCCCUAGUAUGGUUGUGAUGCCAAUACCCAUGAAGGAAGGAACCUUCACUAGAAAAUGGAAAAGUUGAUAGUAGUAUGAAGGAUUGAGAGGAAGAAGCGAGUGCAGAGUAUUCUGUAAGGACAAGGCGAAGAAAGUUUGCGAGGACAAAGAAGGAGUAUUCAUUCUACUCACAAAAGAAGAAAACUCAGAAGUAGAUUUUAAGGUUCGAAAGAAGUAAAUCAUGAGGAUAUAAUCAAGUGCGAAUGGGAGGUGAUCAAGAGGAUUUUGAAGGGUCAUGACGACCCAAUGAAGCAGCUAUCAAGCAAUGAACUGGUUAGAGAGGACCACUUAUCAUGCUUGAUAGAGGAACGGUUCCACAUAUGGAGUAAUGGUGGCACCAAGCAGAGAGCAGAGAAGAUGGAUUCAUGGAAGGACCCAAGAAGAAUCAUCUAAUGGAAAGGAUAAUUAGAAGAAGAGAGUGAGAAAAUGGAGUCAAGUAUAGUGGAGAAACGAAAAGAGAAAAUUACGGGACAAUAAAAGAAGUGAAAAAGAGGACAGCAAGAUUAACCCCAUGAGAUGGAAAUCGUGAGAUUAAAAAGACUAUAUCUAAAGACAAAGAUAGCUAGAGCAAAGAGAAUGGAGAAGUUUGGUGUACUUGCCGAUGAAGGGUGUUAUUCGAAAGACGUACUUUACAUAUAGUCAAGUUAAGUCGAAGGGUAGAUAUAUUCACAAGGCGCAAGAGGGAACGUAUGUCUAAGAAGAUGAGAAUCAGAACUUAAAAAGAAGUUAAGGAAGAAAGAGAUUACACAAUGGAAUGUAUUAAAAGCCUAGGCCAUAAUUGAAAAAUCAGAGGAAGUGUUGAUUCUAACAAAAUCUUGGAAGUGAGACGAUAAGUUAAUAUCAAGGAAGACAUCAAAAAGGAAGAAAGUUAAAGAUGAAGAUGCAGACAAAAACAAGGAAAUCAAAGAGGAGUGGAAGGUGUGAACCAAAGAAAAUGGUUACACCAUAUUUUAGGAAGAAGAUGAAGACAAGAAUUGAGCCGUACAAUAAGCCAAAGGGGAGGAGAGUUGUACAUCGAAAAAGGCUAGUGAAGAAGUGUAAUGAUAAAGAUAGGUGAACAAGGAAAUCAAGAUGUUGGACUAAGAGCCAAGAAAAGAAGAAGAACUGUUGAAGAGUCCAAAGAGGUUGCAAGAAAAUAAUGGAGUACUAUUGAAAAGACCCGACCCGUUUUUUUUUAUAAAAAAAUUAUUAAUUAAUAGUCUCAUACCUACUAAUUAACCUAACGGAAUUAACCCAACAAUAAAUCAUCAUGCACAGCGGAAACAUAUUAAACCAACAUCAAAUAAUCAUAAUAUUAAUUAACCAAUCAUUCAGUAACCACAAUUUACACCAGCAACCUAGCAUGCCUCUAAACCAGGUUCCAACAAUAAUUAACAUAUUCAUAACAUAACAACCGAGACCCUAAAUCAUCCUCCUCUCCUCGCUAUGAUUCCACGGAUCACACUAUACAUGCACCAAAAACACAAUAAGAUGCGUGAGUAUUAUCACAAAUACUCAGUGAAGCGAUCCUCCCAUCUACUGGGCUAUACACACAAGCAUAUUAAACCAAUCUAACAUGCGUCAAAUUAACCAAAACAAACAAACCAGGCAUAAAAAGACACGAAAUACACGCUGUCCAGAAAAACUGUCCAAAAAUUUGGCGUCGAGCGACACCGAUCCCGCAGAAACUCUGAAAUCGCCUCUCAACUCCCCAGAGAACGAAUCCAACACCUCAAAAGCUCCAGCUAUGAGCCCUAACACUCAAACAUACAAUAACAGCAACCAAAACACACAAACAUGGCCACACAAAACAAAUCCAGCAAUCCAAAUCAAUCAAACACACAUAAGAAAGGUUAAACAUGCUUAGAUCAGCCAUAGUCACGCACUCACCUUGAUAUGGAUUGAAAGAAGGACAAAACAAAGAGGAACAGAAAGAACAAGACCCUCCUUGCACCACCAGCCACGAAUCCAACCCUCUCCUUGCUAGAAGUCACCAGAACUUGCCACAGAAACCUCCAAAAACCCUCACAAGCCUCUUCUUAAUCUUUAGGAACAACCAACUCACAACCCUCUCUCUCUCUUUUGUUUUUAAGAACCGACAAACGCCAUAGGUGAGAAAGAAAAGCUGCUUCCACGAGUUUAAAGUCGUGCCUAGGGUUUUCUAAUCAAUUCCAAUUAAACCGACGGUUUAAAAGCUAAACCGUCUAACCCAAUUUUGUUGGUGUCGAUCGACACCCAACACUGGUGUCGGUCGACACCACCAAAAUUUCAGACACGGGUAUUACAAUUCUCCCCCACUAACAUGGAUUCGACUUCGAAUCCUUCAAAACCAUCCGUCAGCCCACCACUGACUUCCCGAGGCCCCUAUCUAAUCAAUAUACUCACGUUCCAGACCCUAUUUGCUCAUACACACCUACCUCCCCCGUCCAUAGGUCGCAACCUAUGAAUCAUACCGGCUCGUCCUCAGGCCUCAGCCUUAGAAUACGGUAUCUUGGAAGUCUCACCACUCCCUCCGCUCUCAGGUCGCAACCUUCGAGUCAUACCGGCUCACUAUUAGGCCACCAGCCUUCAAGCUACGGUAUCCGGGAAGUCUAACCACUCCCCCCAUCCACAGGUCGCAACCCAUGAAUAAUAACGGCUCACUAUUAGGCCUCUAGCCUUCAAGCUACGGUAUCCGGGAAGUGUCACACUCGCUCUCGGGUCGUCACCCUUAAGCGUUCUCUCGAAUCGUCAUCCGAGACUAUCACAUCUCAUCCGAGACUAUCGCAUCACACCCGAGCAAGUAAGUCUAAACGCCCCCGAGCAUAUCUCUAGAUUAGAUAUAUCUCUCGUGGUUCCCCUAUAGCAUCACAAUGCUAUACUAACCACAAUCCCAAAACUUUCUAAAAAUAGAACUGUCAAACCCGACACUUUCUAAUUUUAGAAACUCACACAUAUUUCUCUUCACAUGACACCAACAAGUCAAAAAUCACCAAAAAAAACACAACUUACCGUGGAAUCUCAUUGAAGGCUCGAGAGGAUGAUCUAGGUCUCCAUGCUCAUAUAAUUGAUUAAACACACAAAUCAAUCAGCAUGCAAUCCACAUCAUCAUUUCUCAUCAACGAAAUUCACAUAUCACAUUAAAAAUCACCAAUUUACUCCCGCCCCAGAACCGUAAGGGCUCUGAUACCAAAUUGAAAAGACCCGACCCGUUUUUUUUAAAAAUUUAUUAAUUAAUAGUCUCAUUUCUACUAAUUAACCUAACCGAAUUAACCCAACAAUAAAUCAUCAUGCACAGCGGAAACAUAUUAAACCAACAUCAAAUAAUCAUAAUAUUAAUUAACCAAUCAUUCAAUAACCACAAUUUACACCAACAACCUAGCAUGACUCUAAACCAGGUUCCAACAACAAUUAACAUAUUCAUAACAUAACAACCAAGACCCAAAAUCAUCCUCCUCUCCUCGCCAUGAUUCCAUGGAUCACACUAUACCUGCACCACAAACAAAAUGAGAUGCGUGAGUAUUAUCACAAAUACUUAGUGAAGCGAUCCUCCCAUCUACUGGGCUAUACACACAAGCAUAUUAAACCAAUCUAACAUGCGUCAAAUUAACCAAAACAAACAAACCAGACAUAAAAAGACACGAAAUACACGAUGUCCAGAAAAACUGUCCAGAAAUUUGGUGUCGAGCGACACCGAUCCCGCAGAAACUCUGAAAUCGCCUCUCAACUUCCCAGAGAACGAAUCCAACACCUCAAAAGCUACAGCCAUGAGCCCUAACACUCAAACAUACAAUAACAGCAACCAAAACACACAAACAUGGCCACACAAAACAAAUCCAGCCAUCCAAAUCAAGAAGACACACAUAAGAAAGGUUAAACAUGCUUAGAUCAGCCAUAGUCACGCACUCACCUUGUUAUGGAUUGAAAGAAGGACAAAACAAAGAGGAACAGAAAGAACAAGACCCUCCUGCACCACCAGCCACGAAUCCAACCCUCUCCUUGCUAGAACUCACCAGAACUUGCCACAAAAAACUUCCAAAAACCCUCACAAGCCUCUUCAUAAGCUUUAGGAACAACCAACUCACAACCCUCUCUCUGUCUUUUGUUUUUAAGAAUCUACAAACGCCAAAAGUGAGAAAGAAAAGCUGCUUCCACGAGUUUAAAGUCGUGCCUAGGGUUUCUCUAAUCAAUUCCAAUUAAACCGAAGGUUUAAAAGCUAAACCGUCUAACCCAAUUUUGUUGGUGUCGGUCGACACAACCAAAAUUUCAGACACGGGUGCUACAACUAUGCUACUUAUGGACAAAGUAUAGUACCUACAACAUGAUCGUAUGCUGGAGAAGUGAUAAUACAGAUCUACCCAGAGUCAAAAUAGAAUCGACUGAAACACGAGAAAGAAGUAUGAAGACUACCUGAGUAGUGCUUUACAAGAGAAGAAUAUUCAAAGUGGUAUCAAGAUCAAGAAGAGUAAAGAGUUGAGAAGAAUGGUAUUAAUAAAAUGUUUAGAAGGGUGUAUCACAAAGGAGAUGGUUCUUAGAAAAGUCGUUCAGUACCACGUAAAAAAGUAGAAGUGUAAGGUCCGAGUCUAUUUGAUAUGAAAGGAAAUUAUCAAAUACUCGAGACAACAACAACGAGAAAAACGAGAGAAUAAGUAAGUUAGACAAAGACAAUAGUGGAGACAGAAUAAAGUAAAGCGUAAGUCGCAGUUCCAGAAAAUUCGAGGACGAAUUUUUAUAAGGGGAGGAGAAUGUAAUGUCCCUCACCCGGGCCAAAUAUUUAGAUGGAAUGGUCGAAGAAUGGCUAUCGAAGGAAAAUGGAUUAAGGUAAAGGAGAAUUAAUUUUUGGGCUUGAGCCAAAGUAUUCUUUGAUGAAUACAAAGCUUUUGACCGAAGAAAAAUGGUAGUCAGACGAUGAAAAUCAUAUUUCAUACGACGAUGAAGUUUCUGGCCGAAGGAGUUUCGAGUACGAACGCGAUCACAAGCAUAUCAUUUUGUUUGCAUCCGCAAGCUAGUAGGUUGGUAGGCAAGUUACUGCACUAUUAUGGAUAAGUACAAGAAAUGGAUAAGCAUGAAGUUUAGGAUAAGCAUCAACAUUUGGAUAAGGAUAGAAAUAAAGAUAAGCUCAAUCAAGUCUAUCAAUGCCACCUCGUGCUUCCAUAGCUUCCUCCCCAAGUAACCACGUCCUAUAAAUACCCCCUCUCCUUUUCAUUUGUUCUUCACACCAAAAACCAACGAAAACUUUCCCAAGUGAGUAAGUGUUCGAGCUGGUCCGUGGUAGUAUCCGAGUAGGAUCGCCGAGAGUCUAGAGUCCUUAGUAGCCAAGCCAAGGUAAGUUCUGAAGCGUGUGAGGUAGCACACGACUAGGAAUAUUUUAAGUAUUUAUUUAAGAUAAUUAAUUCUUUAUUUAUUUAUUUUUUAUUAAUAUUUAGCAUGAGGUUAGGGACUAUUAUAUUGGCAUUAUUUGUGGUAAUGGUGAACUGUUCUUGAUUGAUGAUUGUGUGAUAGUAUAACUUCGCGAUAGAUAACUGUAAUGGUAGCAUUUAUGGGCAUAACCGUUAUGCUGUCGGAUUGUUAUAUUAUUUGGUUGUUGGUUAUGCUUUGAUUAGAUAUCUAGCACUAGUUGGAUUGUGCUAUCCUCGUUGUAUAUGAUACGUUAGGUAAUGUAAUUAUAUACGAAGGCUCGAGGCUGUGUCACGACAGACCGGGCAGCUACAUGACGAUGUAGAGUGAAGGGAUGACAGAUCUUCUAUAGACUUUGUGUCUAGAAGUGUAGGGCAUUGACUUGGGGAUAUCAUGGAUUCGUAGGGGCCCAAAGUAGGAUCGAGAUGAGGUGUAUUACUUGCAUUUUGGUUUUUUGCUUAUGGCUUCUAAGCCAUAAUGCUUAUUGAUCGCCAUUGCUUGUGAUUGGGGGUUGGGUUGGGUUAUUUUAGAGAUCCCAGACUUACUGAGUAAUCUAAGAUUAUUCAAGAUUCUACCAAUUUGUUUUGCAGGUAACCAAUAGUGGGAAAACGUUAAGGGAAAAGGACGUUAGGCUAACCGGUGUAGAUUUCCUUGCCUUUGUAAGAUGUAGUUUUGUGUAUAAUACAUAUGACUCUAUUUUCCCGAUACUAAUAAAGUGAUGCUUUUAUAAACACCGUCUCUCCCAUGAUAUUAUUAGUCUUGUCCAGACUAGCACAACUCGGGUUCGCGGUACGAGUUCAUAGUCAUAGGCCGUGAUCGUGAGGAACGACUCCUGCGGUUGGACGGCCUAGGCGUACGAAUUCGUUUCGGGAGCCUGAUUCAGCCGCAUGCGGGCGUCUAACGUGAUGCUCUCGGCUCCUUCUUGGCCUAGAACGUGUCGGGGGUGUUAUAGAUGUUAUCAUGGACUUUGUUUUGGGCCUUCCUUGGCCCCAACGAGGGCACGAUUCUAUCCUUAUGGUGGUGGACCGAUUCUCAAAAAUGGCCCAUUUCACCCCCUGCAAGAAGACUACCGACGCAGUUAGUGUCUCUAAUUUGUUCUUCCGUGAGAUCUACCGCCUACACGGGCUUCCGUCGUCCAUCGUUUCUGAUCGGGAUUCCCGUUUUCGUAGCCAUUUUUGGAGGUCUCUUUGGAGGUUGUUGCGUAAUAGUCUCGACAUUAACACUGCCUAUCAUCCUCAAACGGAUGGUUAGACGAAAGUUAUUAAUCGUUCUGUGGGUGAUUUACUUCGUUGUUUAAGUUGUGAUAAUAUCAAGAGUUGGGAUGCUAAGUUGUGUCAAAAUGAGUUCGCUUAUAAUCAUGCCGUGAACCGCAUCGUGGGCAUGAGUCCUUUUCAAGUGAUUUAUGGUGUUGUUCCUUGCUAUCCAUUGGACCUUGCUCCUCUACCGGAUGAUAUUCAUUUGCAUGGCCAGGCAGAAGAUUUUGUGGCAAGCUUAAAGGAUGUCCAUACGCAAGCUCAUCACAAUUUGGAGACGUCUGUCGCUAAGUACAAGGCUACUGCUGAUCAUAAGCUGUGUGAGGUAGUUUUUGAAGUUGAUGAUCUUGUGUGGGUUGUUUUGACAAAGGACCGUAUGCCUCUUCGGGAGUAUAAUAAGCUGAAGUCGCGGAAGAUUGGACCGGUCGAAAUUGUCGCCCGCAUAAAUGCUAAUGCUUAUCGAGUAGCUCUUCCUCCUCACCUCAAGACGUCGGAUGUGUUUAACGUCAAGUUCCUGUCUCCUUUCCACGGGGACAACGACGGCUUGGAUUCGUGGUCGAAUCCUUCCCCACCGGGAGGGACCUGAUGCAGCGCAUCUUCUUAUCGGGCUUGCUCGUUGCUCUUGUGGGCUUUACGCAAUCGACCAAAUGGGUGUUGAUCUUUUGGUUUCAUUUGAUAUUUUGACAUUGUUUUAAAAUAAGGAUAUUAACAUAUCCAUCCCUUCUUAGAUUUGACUUUAUCUUAUUAGUUGGUGUUUAGGGCUUUAUAAACUUUGUUGCGUCUUUGUUUCGAGUCAGUUUUUGAUAUUUAUUAGAAAAAAAACCAAAAAGAGGCACACCUUUGCCCAAAGAGCUUGUGUCAAGCUAGAGAGGAGGCCUCUCAAUAUCCUUUUGUUAAUUUGUUACCAUUUCCGCUUACGCCUCUACAUUAAUAAACAAACAUGAUUAUAUGUACAACACCAUAACCAUCCAUUUCCGAUGAAUUUUUCGCCGGAAUCCGGCGUUGACCGAUAUUGACCGACGUUUACCAACAAUAAAAAAGAAAAAUAAUUUUUAUAAAAAAUAAGAAAGAAUAUAUAAUUUUCUAGUAAAAUUAUAAAAUGAAAUAUUUUUAAAAAUAAUAUACUUAACAAAUAUACUUUUUCUUUUUUUUUUCAAUUAUUUUUACUUUGUAUUCAAAUGUAGGGUUUUAAUUAUUUUCUAGAUAUAUACUUUUAUGUAAAUAAUAUUUUAAUUAUAUUUCUUCUUUUUCCCUUAUAAAAUAUAUAUAUUUGGCGAUGCCAUAGAAAUAUUUGAAAUGCCAUAAUCUCAUAAAUUUUAUAUCUAUAUUAACAUUUUUGAAGUACCUUUUGGAAAAUAACCUUUUAUUUUGUAUUAUUUGCAUAAUAAAUCCUUGCCAUUUAAAUAAAUAACAAAUUUAAAGAUAAAAUUUGUAAUUAAAUUACACCAGAAUCGAAAAAUUAGAAACUAAUAUAUAUUACAUUUAACAAAAUUUCCUAAAGUUUUCCCUAAUAAAUUGAAUAUCUCUCCAAUAUCUUUAUAUGAUCUUAUUUGUUUUAAAAUUUACAUUAUUACAUAAAACAUAAGUAUAAUAAAAAUACAAAACAAAUUUUGCAUAUGUAGCAAUUUGAAUUUUUGAAAACAGACGUAUAUUACUCAAUCGAUAAAAGAAAAAAAAAUAUAUGUAUAACGUCCCACAUCGGGUAGAAAAUUUUAGACAAUGGUUCGGAACCAUUAUAAAUAUGACUAAUAUGAAACUUAAAAUCCGAAAUCUUGAAUGGAAGAUUACAACAAAAAAAGUUUUACUAAAUUUUAGGGAAUCCAAAAUUUUAAAAUAUUGAUUGGUUAAAAAUGAGUUUUUGGAAAACAAAAACCAAAAUCUCUCUCGAAAUCUAUAAAUUAUUCAAGUUUUAUAUUUACAUAAAUAUGAUUUAACGGGCUUGAGUUAUAUGUUUUUCUUACGAGUUAUCUUAUGGGUUAACAAAACAAAAGAAAAUAACAAAUAUAACUUAAACAUAAUUUGUUUAGUCCCGCAAGUUAGAAAAAAAUAUCCCGCGAGUUAAGUAAUAAAAAUAACAAUCAAAAAUACAGUUACACAAUCUUAAACACUAAAAUGGUAAUAAAAUUAACAAAUAUAACUUAAAUAUAUAUUUUGUUUAGUCAAAACAAUCGUCUCGCGGUGUACCACGGGUUAAAACCUAGUAUAAAUAAAAACUCAAAACAUAUUUAAAACCCCGACCUACGACUUUACAAAAGAAAAAAAAUGAUUUUUUAAUAUUUCGUUAUAUUACUAUAUAUAUAUAACUAAAUUUACCACGUAAAAAUUUUGUGGUAUACUUUCUUUACUUGGUAUAUUUGUUUUUAUAUUACCAAAAUUGUAUAACAAAAUAUUUCACAAAAUUUAUUGAGAAACUGAUACCAAUAACCUUUUUAUGAUACCCUCUUUUAAAAAUACCCUCUUUUUUGCAAUUUUCAUUUUUGCUCUCUUUUAAAUUUUAAUGGUCAUUUUACCCCUAGUUCAAAGAAUAUUCUUUCCCAAAGGAAGGAAUAUUCCUUUCAAAAAUUUUCCCCCCAAAAAUUUCCCGCCAAAAAAAUUUCCGAGAAAAAAUUUCCGUAAAACUUUUCCCGCAAAAACAAAAUAUUUUUACAAAAUUUUCCCGCCAUAUAUUUUAAAGGGUUUACAAGAUUUUUUAAAGGGUCUUUUAAAGGGUUUACAAGGGUUUUAAAGGGAUUUACAAGAGUUUUUAAAUAGUUUUUAAAAGAUUUGUAAUGGUUUUUAAAUGAUUUUUAAAUGAUUUACAAUGGUUUUUAAAUUUUUUUAUAAGUUUAUAACAGUUUUAAAAGGAUUUACAAGGAUUUUUAAAGGUUUUUAAAAAGGAUUUACAAGUGUUUUUAAAAGGACUUACAAGUGUAUUUAAAGGCAUACAAAGAUUUAAAAAUAGUUUUAAGGGAUUUACAAGGGGUUUUAAAGGGUUUUAGAAGUUUACAAAGGUUUUUAAAGGGUUUACAAAAGUUUUUAAAUGUAUUACAAGUUCUUUAAAAUGGUUUUUAAGGAUUUACAAGGGUUUUUAAAGGGAUUUAGAAGUUUAUAAAAGCUUUUAUUAAAUGAUUUAUCACGGUUAUAAGGGGUUUAAAGGGAUUUACAAGUGUUUAUAAAUGUUAUAAAAAGGGUAAUUUAGUCCUUUGGUACAUAGAAGAGGGUAUUUUUGAAAAUGGACACCUAGAGAGGGUACUUAUAGAAAAGGGUAUCAUAAAAAGGUUAGUUGUGCAAAUCCCCCAAAUUUAUUUGGUAUAUAAGUUUUGACCUUUAAUGUGAGAUAAAAAAAUUUUACUUUUAUAAUAUGUUUUGAUAUUUCUUUUGUAAAAUUAUGUAAUAUAUUUACCUAUUUAUCAAAAAUAGUUAAAAUAAAAAAUAAAAUAAUUAUGGAUUUUUUUUUAUAAUUUUUUGUUGGUCAUCGUCGGUUAGGCAUGACGAUGUUUACGGUUUAUUAACCACCGGUUAUGGUUAUAAAUAUUUUUUAACCAUAACAUUAACUUUUAUAUAUACGGUUACAACGGUUAUGGUUAUAUACAGUUACGGUUAAAUCCGGUUACGGUUAUUUGAUGUUUAUGAUAUAAAUAAUAUUAAAGGCAAAAUUUUAUAUUUUCUUACCAUAUCAAAUAAUGUUUAUUUACAAAUAUGAAAUAUAUGUAAUUAUAUGAUUCAAAUAUUUAUAGUACAUUAGUUAAAGAAAUGAUUUUUGUUUAAUCAAAGACAACUACAAAUAUAUAAACCAAUGGUUAUGAACCUACAAAUAUUUAAAUUAAAUUAUUUUUGAUUUGAUUAAUGGAAAUGAGUAGUGGAAUGGAUUAGGGUUACUAGUUGACAUAUUUAAUCAUUUUGUUUUUUUUCAUGAACAUAUUUAACCAUUUAAAACAUUGUUUUAAUGAGAUAAUUUUUAGAUAAAUUAUCUCUAAUAACCUUUUUAUCAUACCCUUUUGCAAAAUUAUCCUCUUUUUUUGUCAUAAUCAUUUUUGCCCUCUCUUAAAUUUUAGUGACCAUUUUACCUCUAGUUGAAUUCUUUCCUUUGAACGGAAUAUUCUUUCCAAAAUUUUUCCCGCCAAAAUAUUUUCCUACCAAAAUUUAUAAAUGUUAUAAAAUGAUUUACAAAGGUUUUAAAAGGUUUACUAAAGUGUUUGAAGGUUUUGAAUGACUUUUAAAAGAUUUACAAGGGUUUUAAAAAGAGUUUUUAAGGGUUUUAAAAAAAUUUACAAGGUUUUAUAAGGAAAUGCGGAAAAAUUAUGGCUGAAAAUUUGGCAGGAAAAUGUUUUGGCGGAAAAAAAUUUGUCGGAAAUUUUUGUGGGGAAAUUUUCGGAAGGAAUAUUCUUUUUUUGGAAUUUGGAAAUAAUAUUCCUAUUUUCAUGAUGUGUUAUAUUAAAGGAGGGUGAUUUAGUUAUUUUGUACACGGAAGAGGGUAUUUUCUAAAUGAACACCAAAAGAAGGUAUUCUUACAAAAGGGUAACCUAAAAAAGUUAUUUGUGCAAAUCCCCCUAAUUUUUAUUCGAUGUUUAAUUUUACGGUUAACCGUACAGUUAACUAACGGUUUUAUACGGUUACGGUUGAUAACGGUUACGAUUAAUAUUUUUUAUAACUGUGAAAGAUUUAUUUUUACAGUUAACGGUUAUGGUUUUUAACCGUUUUAUACGGUUACGGUUGAAAAACAGUCUGGUUAUAGUUAGAAAUACGAUUAAAAUAAGAUUUUAGUCAUGCUUAACGUUGGUCAAUGCCGAUCAAAAUUGGUCAACGCCAUAUUUCAGCGAUAAAGUCACCAAAAAAAAUGGUUAUGGUAUUGUAUACAUAGCUUAUGCUUGUUUAUUUAUGUCCUUAUGUAAUAACAAUAGUUCAUGUAAUUAACGAAACAAUUAUAUUAUUUACAUGUAUGUAGCUGAGAAUGAUUUUUUCAAUUUUAAAUAAACAAAGCCAGACUGAACUCAUAAACCUUUUUUUAACACCCGAUAACACGGUAUGCUCAUUCUUGAGUUUACAUCUUUUCAUUUAAUUCACGUUUGACUUUAUUUUUUGUUUCUACAAACUCGACCGACUUCAAAUAAACUAGCAUCUUAUUUUCUUUUUUUUUUUUUUUUUCUAAGAAUGUAAAUAUCAUUUCAUGAAAUGAAAGUUUAGGUAUUACAUCAAGUAAUUCCUAAAUACAUGGUUCUAUGCCAAAAAAGUUUUAAAAACAAAGAAGCAUAAACAUUCGAGCUUCAAAUCAACAUCUAAAACCACAAGCGGUAAAACUAAUGGGACGUCGAGAAGAGAACUCGAUAAAAUGACUCCCCUAAGGAAAAGAAGGCAAGAAACAAGAGCAUAAAGGGAAAUAGGUGGACAUCAGACUGUUGUGGAAGCGAAGCGGAAGUCCCUUCAACGUGAGCCCGAAACCAAAAAAAGCAGCGGAGCAUCACGAGCUAAAGGUGGCAGGCAAUGUUGUUCUCUACCGAGACCCCAACAGUAGCGCGAACAAAGCAACAUCAUAUCCUCCAAAAGCCAUACUAACACCUCCAAAAUGCAAAGAACAAUCACAGUAAACCACAACCAAACUGAAGUUUCACUAGCCACUACAAAUACUUAGCUGAUGAAAGAGAGCGAAAGGCAUUGAAGGAGGUGAACUAAGGUAGCAGAAUAAACUCAAACAUCAAGUAGAAAAGCUAACAAGCGCGACAUAGCCGGAGUUGCGUGGACAUGCCAUCGAAUCUGCGACGCAAGGCUAACCUCAAAACCUGUAUCAAGCAAAGACAACUACUCCUUCCGGCUGAAACUCACUAGAAGCCUGAACAAGCAGAAAGAGACUCGGGCAAAUCAAGUCUAAAGCAUUAAGUCUGCAAUGACUUGGGAGAUGGCACGAAUAGCGAUGGAACCCGGUGACCAAAGGAGCAAGAGAAGUCGGCUCUUGAAAGGAGGCAAUACAAAUAACAACAAUCUUCAUGAAUAAUCCAUUCCCUCUGCAGACCUAUGAGCUGAAGAUCGGAACAACCAGGAUUCUGCAACCUAAUCACUAACCACACCAACCUAAACUCCAACAAACAACAGAGCUCACUGUACUCAACGAAGAGACAAUAAGACAGGGAGACCAACGACUCUAAUUCACAGAGCGGCAGCAGCGGCGAACAGCUUGAAGACUAGCAGCAAACGAAGGAAGGAGGAGAGCAGAAGCUUACCAACACAAAGGCGGAGUAACAAAACACCGCCAAACCUCUACCAAAGGAAGAUCCGCCGCACGCCAAAGGGAAGGAGAAGAGUGAUGAAAGAGACCACAAAUCUACAAACCACUUGCCAGAAAAGCCAUAGCACCACUUGAUAAAAAAUCAAGAAGUCGAGCGAAGCUAAACAACACUCAAAAUCACCAAGGUUCACCGCGUGUAGAGACGUCCUAAAAGUCACCGUCUUCAAGCAACCAUAUAAGGAGCGAGCACGCCGUGGCGGUGAAUUUACCGAAAACGCUGAAAGGUCCCCAACAAGUCGACGCCUUUUCAAUCGAAGGAAGAGUUUCCAGAGAACGAAGCCACUUAGAUCUGUCACCAACGCUCGUCAAAUCACAGUUGUGAAGGUGCCCAACCGAUGAACGGAGAACCGAGAAGCCCUCUCACGGCCAUGGCGAGAGGCGCCAAUGACCGGAGAGGCAAGAACUGCGGCAGAUCUAGGUUUUACAAGCAGUGGCUGUGGGGGGAGAAAAAUCGCAUGCGCGUCUCGGACACGCGCCCGACUUCGAGGUUUAGUCUUUAUUUUUUUUUAUAUUUUUUUUUAAGUGUAAUUUUCCAAUCCACAAAAAAAAAGACAAAAUUACAAAAAAAAAUCAUUUUUGCCACAACUAAAUAAACCGGCCGGUACAAAUUUCGAAUUUUGGUGUCAGAUUUUGUAUUUUUCCAAACCACAAAUAAAAUUGAAACAUAAAUAUUUCAAUUUGGCCACAACUAAUUAAACCGGGCCGGUACAAAAGCUGUAUUUUGUUUUUGGAGGUUUCUUGCUUUAUCACCACCGCACAUCUUCGUCUUCCUCGAGCUUCCUCUCCACGGCGAAGAGUCAACCCAAAGCUUCUUCUUCUUCUUCUUCUUCUUCUUCUUCUUCUUCUUCUUCUUCUUCUUCUUCUUCUUCUUCUUCUUCUUCUUCUUCCUACAUAGCUCUUGUGUAAUCUCAUGGUCUUACUAUGAAGGCUUCUAACUUCAUGUGGCCUUCCACAUCACCCAGAUUCACCAUCACCACACCUUAUCCACACCCACACUUACGCCUCCGCACGUAACCUCACGCGCCGCCCCAUUUUUACAGGUAAAAGCUUUCCAGCGCGGUGACUUCGACCGUUUCGCUGAUGAUGUUAAGUCCGGUAAAGCUUGGAGAGAUGCAUGGAGAACCGCUAACGAUGGAUUCGAACAAUUUGUCUUUGAUGCUAAGAAAACCGCCGAGCGAAUUGAUCGUCAGUACGCUGUUUCUCACCGGUUUAGCUCCGCUGCUAGUUCCGCCGGACCGUGCUCGUGAGAUUGAUCGUGAAUUUGGGAUUAGUCCUUGUGUUAGGAGUCUCUCUGCCGAUUUUAGUAGAAAUUUCCCUAAGGUAUACUUAUGAAUUGAGUUUUUGGUUUAGCUUCUCAUGAAGAUGAACUCAAUUUCAUGUCUUGAUUGUAAUUGAUUAAGUUUUUCAUGUGCUAUGCUAUUAAGCCAUUCUCAUGGUAGAUUUUAGAGUCAAAAAUCCGAACCGGAACAGAUCCGAAAUAUUAGACCCGAUCCGAACCCGAAAUUUUAAAUUUACCCUAUUGGGUCCUAAACUCCUCUACCCGAAAAUCCAAAUCCGAACCCGAACCGAACCCGAACCCAAAAAUACCCGAAAUAUAAAUGUAUAAAAAUAAUUUAGGACUUGAAUACCCGAGUUAUCUAUUCAAAUAUCAUAAUAUAUACCCGAAAUUCUGAUUUUUUACCCAAAAAUCCCGGUAUAUAUUAAAAAAAUUUGAAUUUGUAUCCGAAAAUCUGGGUAUUUACCCAAAAAUUCAGUAUUUGUCCGAAAACCCGGAAAUUUUUGGGUAUUCGGGUAAACUUUCGGCUAUUUGUGGACCCGAAAAAUUCUCGGAAUUUUAACGAUUCUGAAAAUUUUUACCCGAACCGAACCAAACCCGAAUGGACCCGAACCGAAACCAAACCGAAUUUUUAUGUUUACCUUAUUGGGUCCUAAACUACUCUACCCGAGAAACCCGAAUGGUUUUUAUCCGAACCCGAUCCAAGUACCCGAAUGCCCAGGGCUAGUCGCUAUUGUCAUUAUUGAUAAUGUUAUAUUAUCAGGUGGAGCAAAAUUGGGUCUAGCCCAUCACCUAGUUAAUUAUAAAACUUUUCAAGAUAAUAUACGAAGAUCAGAUAAGAAUCUUGAAAAAGAUAUUGGGCCUGGUUAAAAAGUUUUUUGUUCUAUUUUUUAAAGUUGAUAAACAAAGUUCUUUUGCAAACAUAUCAAACCCGUGGAAUAUAAAUGUUCUUUAUUGUAUUAAAAGACGAGUAAAUUUUGUAAGUAAUAGCAGAUUUUAGAGUAAUUUGUAAAUAAAAAAACCCCAACAGAUCAAGCCCAAUAAUUAUUUGAAAAAUUGCAAAAUAUAAGAUAAUCAUCCAAUAAGAUUAAUGGAAGCCCAACAAUAAUAAAAAAUGACUAUCCCAAGAAGGACGGGUCCAUCAAUCAUGUGGAUUGAUCAAUUUUUGUGUAAGGCAUAAAUUGAUCACAGUAGAAAGAUGAGAGAUGUAUCUUGAAAAAGGGAUUGACCGAUCUUAAUGAAUAAUUUUGGGAGACCUCUUGUGGUAACCAAUAAGAAGAAGAACGUGCAUGUGCGGAUUGGUAGGAAUAAAUCGAUGUAGUGAGAAGUUUUCUUCUAAGUGUUCCUACCAACACAAAACUUUGAAAGGUUACCACAGCGAUCCCGGAAGGAAUGCUGGAGUAGUCAAAGGAUGGGGGACCUUCCGGGAAGUGGUUGUCGAAACUGUGUGAGUGAGGCCACAACACAAAGAAAGAUCAUGUGGUGAUUUUUAGGGCCGGUAAACAAGUCUUUAAGCCUCCUGGACGUAGCAAACUGGCCGUCGAAUAUUGGUGGGCUCACAGGCCUAGUGAGAGGACGUGAGGCCCACUAAGAGAGGUGGGCCCAUGGGCUGGUGAUGAACAUGGGGCCCACUAGAGAGGUGGUGGUUGGGGCGUUACACUACGCCACACAUAUGAGGGUCGAUAACCCAUUUUAGUCUCCAAGAAAAGCACGUUUGGGUAAUAUACUGCUUUAUAAACUCUGGCCAGUAGAGACGAAGGAGAUUUAGAAGCCUCCAUGACUGUUUUGCAAGCAAAGCUUGAUUAAACCUGCCAUAUCACGAAAUCCCAAUCCUCCUCUGUCCUUUGAUCUACAAACUUUCUCCCAAGCAACCUAAUGCAUCUUGUCUUUAUCCUCAUGAGCACUCCACCAAAACUGCAUCACAACACUUGUAAUUUGCUUUCUUUGAUGCUUAGUCAACUUUAAACAGGACAUUGCAUAAACAGGAAGGGUCAUUGCUAUAGAUUUUAACAAAACUUUCUUCCUGCCGAAAGAGAGUGUCUUCUCAAACCAGCCACUAAGUCUUGACUUCAAUCUAUCCGUGAUAAAGUUAAGGAGGUCGUGCUUUGAUCCACUAAAACACUCAGGAAGUCUCAUGUACUUGCCAUCACCACCUUCUUGUUCAAUACAAAAAAACAGCCCUAGCAUCUGUUGCAUGUAAGGGUCUAACUUCUUCCCAAAAGUAAUCUCCUACCCCAAAGCCUUUCCAUCCAACUCAAGGCAUUUCAAAUAUUCAGUACACUCUAUAAGGCUUGCUUGAAAAAGGAAAAGACUAUCAUCCACAAAGAGCAGAUGUUGAAUCGAUGGACAGGAAGGUGAAGGUUUCAUUCAUGUUAAUCUUCCGUCAAGCUCAGCUUUAUUCAUGAUGUGCACCAAAGCUUCAACACAAAGAAUGAAGAGAAAAGGCGAUAACGGAUCACUCUGCCGUAGUCCUCUUUGGGUUGAAUAUAUCCAUAUGAAGCUCCAUUAAUAAGAAUAGAAUAUGAGACCAAGGUAACACAACUCAUUAUCCAUUUCCCCCACUUGAUAUUAAAACCUAGCCGACUAAGUAGCUCUUCUAAAAAAGACCACUCAACUCGAUCAUAAGCUUUACACAUAUCAGCUUUAUAACCAUGAAAUCUUCAUCACAACUAGUAUUUGUCUUCAAGGCAUGAAUGAGUUCAUGUGCAAGUAAAAUAUUGUCUAAUAUCAACCGGCCGGAAACGAAAGCUCCCUGAGUAUCCGAGACAAUAGAAGGUAAAAUACAUUUUAAUCGAUUGCACAUAACCUUAGAAACAAUCUUGUAUAGUACCGAACAAAGACUAAUUGGUCGGAUAUCAGUCAUCUUUGAUGGAUUUAAAUUCUUUGGGAUCAAACAAAUCUGUGUGAAGUUCCACUCAGGCGGUAAGGAACCAGAUUCAAAAAACUGUUGUACCUCAGAUAUAACUUGAGGCCCAACAAUGUCCCAAAAAGAUUGAUAAAAACACCCCGACAUGCCAUUAGCUCUUGGGGUACUGUCACCUCUACUGAAUACUGCCACCUUAAUCUCCUCGCCUGAUACUGCAUGCACUAGAGCAGCAUUCAUCAGAGAUGAAACGCGCGGAAGCUAACCAUCCAAAGCUUCUGAAAUGAGGCAUGGAGAGGAGCUCGAGAACAUUUUGCGGAAGUAAUCAACAACCACUUCUUCUUUUGAGCUUUCAGAGAACUGCUCAACACCCAUGUCAUUAAAUAUGGAGAUAAUUCUAUUAUGAACUCGGCGUUGUUUAACACUCCCAUAGAAAAACCGAGUGUUCUGAUCACCGUUACGCAUCCAUUUUUCUUUGCUCUGCUGCUUCCAAAAGAGUUCUUCCUCAUAAUAAGCCUCAACUAAUUUCCACUGUAGAGUUUUCAUAAACUAAAAAUCUGGUAUUAGUUUAGCUCCCUCAAUUUAAUGUUCAUAUAACAGCCUCGAAAUAUUCUCCUGAGAGUUCUGGUUAGUAGAUUUCCAGAGAGAUAUAGACCUUCUACAAUCCUCAAGACGGCUCAUUAAGGAAUAGUUAUCCAAAGCUAAACCUUUUUUUCCAACCCUCUCUACCUCAGAGAAAUCCGUUCUCGAAACCCUCCUUUUUUGAAACAUAAACCGGCCUCGUUACAACGUGUUUUCAUUCACAAACCUUGUGAUGAUAAAGCGAUGAUCAGAGCCAAUCCUUUCCAAAUACUUAGUUUGCACCCUUGGAAAAAGAUGAAACCAAGCUACAUUACCAAGAGCUCUAUCAAGCUUACAUUGCAUCCAAACUUGAUUGUGUUCCCCAGCCCAUGAAAAUUUAUUACCAAUACUAGCAAUUUUCGGUUUACCAGACACCGGAUCAAUGCCAACUUCAUCAUCAGUCAAAAAUCCAAACAAACGAUCAUCCUUACUAAUUUUUGGAACAAGACGACUUAGAAUGAUCGAUUUAAUUCUUCCCGUAGCAACAGCUUGUCGGUUUGAGGGAUUAAACGGGCAGCGUUCCUUGUCAUGAGUUAGCCUUUGACACUGAUUGCAUCGGUGGCGGAUUCUCUCAUACUCCAUGCCAAUGUUAACAUCUCUCCAUAUAUGAUCUAGAGUUCUCUAGAAUUAUUCAAGGGUUUGUUUACAUCAAAUAGAACUCUAACUCUGACAUAUCCCUUGCUUAGUGGUUUCAAGGGAUCAAAAGCAGCAAGAGUAACCUGUCCAAUAUGCGCUACAAUUUCCUUAAUGGUAUCAGCUGUGUUAAAGUUCACCGGAAUAUUGCGACGACGGAUCCAUAUUGGCAGCACUUUCAAGUAAUCAGCUGGCUGUUUUUCCACCCAUCGCUCCAGCGUAAUAUCCAGUCAUUGAAGGUCCAAGCACCGGUAUCUAAGACCGUAGUUAACUUAGACUCUGAAUCAAAGAAGAACUUAAACUGUUCAUUAGAAAGAGCUAUUCCUCUAGCUCUGUUGUACACUCGCCAUAAGUGAGGCAUUUCAUGAAUCAAGUCAGACAUCUUCUGGUUCUCUGGGCACAAAAGACGACCAAUGAUACUACUCUUGUUUCGCAAGCAAGAACAGAACUGCGGAAGGUUUUGCAGCACAAUCGGUUUAUCAUCUUCAAUCGACAUCUCAUGCAAAGCUCUAUCCAACUCAUACUCUAAGACUGCACGUAAUUAACUUAUCAAACAAGGGUUUUGAGCUUUAACACCAGUAGGUUCGACGACGGCUCUCAAGAACACGACGAAAUUGGUUAAAUAUAUAAAUGAUCUCGAAAGAUUCUGUAACAAAAGUGAUAGAAACAGAAAAUAUUCUCCCAAAUCCGGCGAAAACAAAGAUAUUCCCGGUUUACUUAAGUUCUCUCCCUAGAGAUAAAAAUCGCCUCUCUUUUUACUAUGAUUCCUUGUGUCAUGUACUAUUUAUCUAUUUACUCAUUAGUCAUUACCAAUCUAUAUUAACAUUUUUGAAGUACGUUUUGGGUUAUAACCUUUUAUUUUGUAUUAUUUGCAUAAUUAACCCCUUGCCAUUUGAAUAAAUGAAAAACUUUCAAUUAAAUUUUGUAAUUAAAUUAUAAUAAAAUUGCAAGAUUGGAAAUCAAUAUUUAUUACAUUUAAUAAAAUUUCCUAAAAUUCCCUAAUAAAUAAAAUAUUUCUCCAAUAUCUUUAUAUGAUCUUAUUUGUUUUGAAAUUAUAUUAUUACAUAAAACAUAUGUAUAGUAAAAAUAUAAUUUUUUGCAUAUGUAGCAAUUUAAAUUUUUGAAAACGAGCGUAUAUUACUCAAUCGAUACAAAAAUGUAUGUACUAAACUAUUAUUGAUAAUUGUGAUAAUUGUGUAGCACGUGUCAUGUGAUAUAACGAGUUAUAAAUUACAUAUAUGUUUUUAUGGGUUGUCUACUAUAGUCAAGCUCACAAAAUAUUUUAAUUCCAAAUUAGACUAUUUGAACUAAAGAUGUUAUGCCAACAUCAUUUCAUUAUUUUGAAUAUUAGACUUAUAUAGUUAAGUUGUCAAAUUACGAUGACAUACAAACAAAUUAUCAUGCCAUAUUUCAUUAGAUAAAUUAUAGAAUUAACAAUCAAAAUACAGUAGUACAAUCUUAUAAACCAACCAAAAUUUUUUUAAAAAUUCUUUUUUAAAAAUAUCGUCCCGCGGUGUACAGCGGGUUAAAUUCUAGUAAAAUAUUAAAUCAGCACUACUAUAUUAGGAUUUAACAUAAUUUUGUUCAAUUAACUAAAAUCAUAACGGAAAAUCGAAUAGGUUACUAUGUGCAAAUCUAAAGGCUGUGUAGUCUACAAUAUUACAAAUUUCUUGGUCAUUAACAAAAAGAAAGCUACAAGAUUAAGAAUUUUUUGGGCAUAAUACUUUAGUAUUGUGUAUUUCCAUAUUUCUUGAUCUCGUAUAUUUGUGUAUAUUAUCUAGUUUCUAUUGCUUAGAUAUAAAACUUGGGCAAUACGUUUUGUAUGUUUGUGUAUAUACUUCACCUAAGCAUUCUAAUAAAACACAUAAAACAUUAUCUAUUGAUCGACUCUAAAUUUAUCAUGGUAUCAGAGCAGUAAUCGAAUUCUGGGAUUCUCUUUGUUUUUUUUAGAUUUGAUUUCGUAUCUUUGUGACGAUGGCUGAAGAACACAGAGCGAUGGUACCUGCGAAACCGACGGAGAAUCAACGACGAACGAUCUCUCCUUAUGACCAAACCUUGAACGACAACCCCGGAAGCAUCAUCUCACGCCCUUUGUUGUAUGAAGAUAAUUACGAAGAGUGGGCCGUGAAUUUGGACACCGCUAUUUACUCUCGAAAGAAAUUUGGUUUUCUUGAUGGCUCUAUCAAGGAACCAGCUGAAAACUCGCAGGACUAUGAAGAUUGGAAACCUAUCAAUGCUCUCAUAGUCUUCUGGAUUAAGAUGACAAUCGAACCGAAGCCCCUGUCGAAUAUCUCUCACAAACCGAUUGCAAAAGACUGGGGGGAUCAUAUUCGAAGCCGGUACCGUGUGACCAACGGUCCAAGGAUUCAGCAACUCCAACAAGAUCUAGCCAACUGUCAACAAGUAGGUCUUAGCAUUGAGACAUACUACGGACUGCUCACAAAACUGUGGGAUGCUCUCAUCUGCUAUCGACCUCCUUUGGUGUGCACAUGUGGUCAUUGCACAUGUGAUCUCAAUGGUGAGGAUGAAAAACGAAGGGAAGGAAACAAGGUUCAUAAUUUUCUGCGUGGUCUUGAUGAAUCGACUUAUGGAAUGGUGAAAUAGAAUUUGAUGGCUCGAGAUCCUCUACCUACGUUGGCAGAAAUAUACUUAAAAGUUACACAUGAUGAAGAUGCUCGCUUGAAGAAGAAAUGCUUUGAAGAAAAAAACUGAAAAUAUGGCGUUUGUUGCACAAACACAACGACCUCGCUCUCAUUAUGAUGAUAAAACCACAAGCGUUAUGUGCACAAAUUGCGGUCGAGCUGGGCAUCAAGCGGACUUGUUUUCAAAUCUUGGGAUUUCCUUAAAAUGGUGGGGUGAUAGACCAUGGAAUCGAACCGGUCGUGGAAGAGGAACAACUCCGGCAGCUAGUGGUACACGGGGUCGCGGUGGUCCUGCUCGUGUAAACGUUGCAAAGAUUGUUGAAGGACCUGGUCUCGGGGUGGCAAAUGUAGCUGUAACAGAUGCUGACCAUGAUGCUGUUUUGGGACUGACCGAUGAGCAAUGGUUGAGCAUUCAACGAGUAAUGAGUGCAGCAAAAACUGGUACAAGCGAACAAAUGUCUGGUAAGAUACUCUCUCCUUCUUGGAUUUUAGACAUAGGUGCUACUCAUCACUUGACUUGUAAGAAAGAGAUUCUUAAGAACAUACAAAAAUCUACACCAACUCAGAUUAUGCUAGUAGAUGGUAGAGUUGUUACAAGUGAAACAGUUGGUACAGCUGUGUUCAAUUCGCACCUUAGUUUGAUUGAGGUUUUCUACUUUGAGAAUUUGGGCUUUGAUUUGAUCUCGGUAACACAACUAAUGGAAGAAAAUAAUUGUGUGAUGCAAUUUGCUGUUUCAUUUUGUGUUCUUCAUGACCGUACUACGACGACGCUGAUUGGCAUAGGUGAGCCGGUUGGGGGUUUGGUAUAUUUUCGGAACACCGAGGUUGUUGCAGCUGCGAAGGGUCUCACGAAUUAGAGUGGAGCUGUGGCAUCGUCGCUUGGGACAUCCAUCACCAAAAAUAGUGGAGAUGCUUUCUGAUUUCAGUUUUAGUAGUAGUCGUACUUCUAUGAAUAAACUAUGUGACAUAUGUACUCACGCUAAACAAACUCGUUGUUCUUUUCCGUUGAGCAUUAAUAAGACUUCAGAGAUAUUUGAAAUGAUUCAUUGCGAUAUAUGGGGACAAUAUAGAGUUCCGUCUUUCUCUGGGGCUAGAUACUUUCUCACCAUUGUUGAUGAUUUUUCGCGUGGAACUUGUAUAUAUCUCAUGAAUGCAAAGAGCGAGGCACCGACAACUUCAAUUUUGUUUUCCUCUCGUAGAACGACAGUUUGGAAAGCAAAUUCGAUCGUUACGUAGUGAUAAUGGAAGUGAAUUUUUAUCACUAAUGACAUUUUUUUGGAACACGACAUACGUCAUGAGACCUCGUGUGUGGGAACACCGCAGCAAAACGGCCGCGUUGAGCGUAAACACCGUCAUUUCCUGAAUGUUGCUAGAGCUAUUUGUUUCGAAGGUCAUUUGCCUAUUGAAUUUUGGGAAGAGUGUGCUCUAGCUGCAGCGUACCUCGUCAAUCGGACACCAUAUGUGAUUCUACAAGGUAAAACUCCUUAUGAAAAUUUGUAUAGAGUUAAGCCUUCUCAUGAUCAUCUUUGUGUUGUGGGUUGUGUAUGUUAUUUUCAUAAUCAAGACCAUCACGGGGAUAAAUUUGCAAGCAGAAGUCGCAAAUGUGUAUUUGUGGGUUGUCCUGAUGGGAAGAAGAAAGGAUGAAGAGUCUUCGAUUUAGAAAAAGGAAUUUUUUGUGUCUCCUGUGACGUUAUUUUCCGAGAAGACACUUUUCCAUACCAAAAGAACGAUACACAAGACAUUGGUUUGGUCGAUGAGCAUCCAUCGUUGCAACCACAAACCUGUCUCGAUGAAACUCUAGUCUCUCACCCGUCUCUCAUGGAAGAUACACUGGCAGUUGUAAUUCCAGCUGCAGACACGUCGAAUUCGAGUGCAUCUUCAGCGGACGACAGCUCUAACGAUGAUGCAGUGACAAGUAACUCUGAAAAUGGAGAAGAACAUGUUGACUCCAAAAUCGAAGUAGAACUUGAUAUGGAUAAUGCUCCAAUUGCUGUUCGCAAAGAAGCUUGCCAACGACGUCCACCGGGGUAUCUCGCUGACUAUGAUACUAAACUUCUGUAACUGGAUCUACUAGUUUAUAUCAUCUAUCCGAUGUGCUGUCUAACGAACGCUUCUCUGCAAGUCACAAAGUGUUCUUGGCUGCUAUCACCAUUGCAAGCGAACCGAAAAUUUUCUCUGAAGCGAUGCAAGAUGCAUGCUGAAUAGAUGUAGUUGGAAAUGAAAUUACCUCUCUCGAACUGAAUAAUACGUGGACGCUUGAAGACUUACCUGACGGGAAAAAGGCCAUUGGUUGUCAAUGGGUCUUUCGUAUUAAACACCGUGCUGAUGGCUCCAUCAAACGUUACAAAGCAAGAUUAGUUGUUUUGGGAAAUAGACAAGUUGAGGGUGUUGACCAUGGUGAGACAAUUGCUCCAGUUGUUAAAAUGGCAAAAGUACGUUCUUUUCUUGCCGUGGUCUCUGCACGAAACAGGGAAGUAAGAUGGACGUCCAUAACGCUUUUCUACACGGUGAUUUGGAAGAAGAAAUGUACAUGAAACUUCCUCCAGGUUUUUCUAAGCAAAAUGAUGGGACCAAGAUGCUGAUUUGCAUCGCUUAAGAAAGUCUUUAUACGGUUUAAAGCAAGGACCAAGAUGCUGAUUUGCUAAACUUUCGACGUCUUUGGAAAAAUAUGGGUUUCAACAAUCUCAGUCCGAUUACUCUUUGUUUGUGUUCAAGAAAACGGCGACUGAAAUAAAAGUUCUUGUUUAUGUGGAUGAUUUGGUUAUUACGGGAAAUAAUGUUGAAGCAAUCGAAGCUUUCAAAUUAUAUCUCAGCACAUGGUUCCACAUGAAAUACCUUGGUGUGUUGAAAUAUUUUUUGGGAAAUGAGGUAGCUUGAAAUUCAGAAGGUAUAUAUUUGAGUCAGAGAAAAUAUACACUUGAUAUCUUAUCAGAAACAUGACUACUAAGCUCACAACCUGCUGCAUUUCCUCUUGAACAACAUCAUCAACUUGGCUUGGCGAAAGGUUCUCUUCUACCCGAUCCCAAACCAUACCGACGAUUGGUUGGGAAGUUGAUCUAUCUCAACGUCACUCGACCCGACUUGUCUUACUUCGUGAACGUGUUUUCACAAUUCAUGAAAGCUCCUCGUGCAGAUCAUUGGACAGCAGCACUACGGGUCGUUCGAUAUUUAAAAGGCACCCCAGGUCAAGGAAUCUUGCUCCAGUCCUAUUCUGAUCUCCAGAUUUUGGCAUGUUGUGACUCCUCAUAUGCUGAUUGUCCAUUGACUCAACGAUAUACGGUCGGCUGGUUUAUACAACUCGGUGCAUCUCCUAUCUCUUGGAAGACAAAGAAACAACAAGUGGUUAGUAUGUCUUCUGUUGAAGCUGAAUAUAGAGCAAUGGCUUGGACGACAAAGGAGCUGAUAUGGCUAAAGGCAUUAUUUCUUGAUCUCGGAGUUAUUUUGAAGUAACCUAUGCGACUGUUCUGUGACAACACCGCUGCCUUGCAUAUUAAUGCUAAUCCGAUUUUUCAUGAACGAACCAAACAUAUUGAGAAGGAUUGUCACUUUAUAUGCAAUGAGAUUAAAUACGGGAACAUCGCAACAGCAUAUGUCUCUACAAAGAUCCAGCUAGCUGCUAUUCUCACGAAAUCUUUGGGAGAGAUUGAGUUCAGCAUGUUUCGGUCCAAGCUGGGCAUUUUGAACCUCCAUGCUCCAGCUUGAGGGGGGGGGGGGUAAUACAAUACUUUAGUAUUGUAUAUUUCCAUAUUUCUUGAUCUCGUAUAUUUGUGUAUAUUAUCUAGUUUCCUAAUGCUUAGAUAUAGAACUUGGCAAUACGUUUUGUAUAUGUACUUCACCUAAGUAUUCUAAUAAAACACAGAAAACAUUCUCUAUUGAUCGACUCUGAAUUUAUCAAGGCAUGAACACAAAAAUAAGCUACAUGGUGACUCCUCACAAGUUUCUAAUCCAUGAACGUAGAUAGAGAAAGAAGAAGUCGUGAGAACGGUCUCCCUCUAUUAUGGAAGUUGAUAGGCCAAGCCCGAGUGCUUCAGAGGAGUUUGUUUUUUACCAGAGACCUUAGUUUAUCAGUAGAUUACCGCUUCUUGAGUACCUUCAUCCAUGGUUAGGUGUUCUGAAUGUUGCAGCCAAGUUGAUUCAGGUCCAAAGAUGCACGUUUCUCGUGGGAACUAUCAAGAACUUGGUCAAGGCGAUUCAGUUACUCAUCUUCACUACAACAUGCGUGACAUGGUUUACAUGUUAGUGCAUACAUCUGAAGGAACGGUAGAUGCAACAAAAGAGAGGAAAGCUCUGAACCAAGAUCACAAGUUGGAAUCUUCUCCCACAGAUUGUAGCGGAGCUCGAUGGGAUAUCUUCAGGCGUCAAGACAAUACAAAGCUCGCUAAGUAUCUGAAAAUGAAAAGGAGAAAAUUUCAGAACUGAGUAUGAAAAUGAAAAUGAAAAUGAAAAUACUUAAAUUAGAGCAUGGGCAUCAGUAGAACUCAGAGAGAAGUCGGUUUCAUUAUACAGCGACACACAAGGUUUAGAUUAGUGUAUCAUUCAAUACUUAAACCAGCAAACAUAAAAUUUAAAAAUAAAAACAGUUUUGAUACAAACCACAAAAGCAUAACACAGUCUCGUUUAUUAUUCGAUUGAUUCGCUGGUGCCCAAGUUGGUAAGAGAUCAGGUUCGGCUACAAAAACAUAAGAACCAAAAAGAAAAAGUCAAUGAGAUUCAGAAGAAAUGUUCGUCUCUAUUAGAAAAAAAGGUGACACGGUAUAUAUAUGGGUAAAUUGGUUUUUAGAAUCUAUUUUGCCAACAAACACUUCAUUUCUCUUUCAGAAAAGAAAAAAAAGUUUUAUCAAAGAGGCUAAAGAGUUUCUAGACGAUUCGUCGAAUACCUUCAAGGGCUUCAUCCAGUUGAUGAACUUGAAAACCAUCAUAAUCUGCAACACAUAGUCACAUAGCAUCAAACAAGUUCCGAUGAAACUAACUAAAAGUGUAGUUUAGACUAUCUCCGAUGUAUUCCACUAUACAUAGAGAAAAAAACACAGUUUCUCUAUAAAUAUAGGAAAAAAUAGAGUUCUCUAUUAUAGAAGAAUACAUUGGAGUAAAAUUUACCUCUAUACUACAUUUCCUCUAUUUUAGAGAUAAAAGUAGGGGAAUAUGCUCUUACGCAACCUAUUCUCCUCCCACACAAAUAGCUGAGAAAAUCAUAAUUUACCUAUUAGUUCCCGAAUUCAUUCAUUAGGUUGGGUUAUCCAUCUAACAGAAGGGAUGUGUUUGACUUUGUAAUAAUCUUCUCCUCCUUCCGACCAUCUAUUCUUCCAUUCCUCUCCCAUAUUAUAAAAACUCAGAUACUUUAAUGAUCGCAGCACAUCAUCAGGAAUCUCCUUUAGUUUCUUGCAAUUCGAAAUAAGAAGAUAAUUGAGAAGUGGCAUGGAGCCUUCUUCUACUAUCCACUCUUCCCACUCAUCUAAUUCAUGAAAAUGUAGUGACUGCAACUGAGGGAACCCACCCCUAGAGCAAACCAUUCUCCUCCCACAUAAAGAAUUUCCAUGCAGACGAACAAUUUUCAAUUGACCAAACUUCUCUAGAAUGGGCAUCGGAUCCUCCUCCAAACGACAGUCACCUAGGACCUGCAGGCUUGUAAGGCUUGAAGGAAAUAGUAAUUCAUCAGAUAACAAUGUAAUACAUAUCACCAAACUCAGCUGUUGGAGAUUAAUGAAUUCGAAUAGACUUCUCCAUUCUUUCGUCCCCUUAGCAGCCCCGUUAAGUGUUAUAUCAAGAGUUUCCACCUAUCGAUGCAGAUAUGGUUUCUAAACUGCUCUCACCAGUUAAUCUGAUUUGAAGAAUCCUCAACAUGGUCAUACCACAAAGAUCCUCUAAACUGCAAUUCUCUGUUGAGAAAUUAGUCAAGGUCUCCAAGUUUACUAGAUGGCUCAAUUCCAACUUUGUCUUCAUAUGCAUAUCAUAUGGUAAUGUAAGGUUUCUCAAUUCUUUCAUCCCCUUCAAGACAUUAGGCACGAAUAUAAACUCUCCAUCCACCUCUAACUUUAGAUAGAUCAGCAACUUUAGAUUUCCUAGAGAAGAGGGUAGAUAAGAUAUGUCCGCACCUUCUAAGCUCAGAUAUCUUAAGUGGGUGAGCUUUCCAAUGCUAGAAGGUAACUUCCUUCCUUUGAAAGUGACUCUAGGGAGAUCUAAUACUCUCAGCACUUGUAACCUUGUAAAGCUUACACAUGAAACUUCACAACCGUUAACAAUGAGAGAUCGAACCUUUGAAUUAUUUAUAUCUCUCUCAACAUGUAAUGCAGACAGUUCAUGUGAGACAAAUCUUCGGGAUGUACUAAUAGACGGGGAGCUGUUACCGACAAUUUGUAGGAAGUUUUCUUCUUUUGCUUUUGACAAACAAAGAUCUCUCAUCAAGUCAUGCAUACGGCAUUUUUCAAAUCUCCAAGUGGUACCGACUCUUUCAGAUAUAACCAUAUUUCUCUUUACCAAUUCUUCUAUGUUGCUAUCUACAACAACUCUAGUGGUUUCUCCAUUGGUACACUUGACUAUUCCUUCUGCAGCCCAGUAAUAGUGCAAUUUUUCGAUACUUAUUUCGUAAUCUUCUGGAAAAUGGGCCAAGUAGAGGAAGCAAUACUUUAAAUGACCAGGCAGCUCUUCAAAGCUCAGAGACAAUACACGGUUCAAUAAAUUGUUGUUGCCAUCAUUGCCUCUUCCAACGAGAUGAGAUUCAAUAUUCUUAGAUACUCGUUCCCAGUAGAGUUCUGUGUAAUUUUCAGCCAACAAUCUUCCUAACACCCUGACAGCCAAAGGCAAUCCCCCACAAUGUUUAAGCAUUCGUCUACCCAUCUCUUCCAUUUCCUUAGCAACUUUCUUCGGUUCUACACAACAUCAUCAAACAAAUAAAAAAUACAUCAUUUAUACCAUGAAAAGAAUUUCAGUUCAGUAUGAUGUAAUAAUGAUAUACUACAAUAAGCUAUUUUAAAGCUAUGUCUACCGAGACAUAGGUGAUCCUCGUUAUGACGAUGGUCUCCGUCUCUGGUUCUCCACCCGCUAAUAUUUUUAAAUUCGGUUUUAUUUUCCAAAUACUUUCUAAUUUUUCAAACCAACUGAAACAUUCUUUGUACACAUGGUUUUUGAUUGAAUAAAAUUUUACAUUCAAUUAAAAAAAAAAGCUAUGUCUUGCGAUCAUCCCUUCUUGAAUGCUUACCAGAUCCAUUCAUCAUUUAUGUGAUCAAAGUCUAUUAAAAACAUAUAUAUCCCUUCAUUUGAAUGCUUACCGGAUGCAUCUUUCAUCGGCAUCGCUAUUCUUUGGAAAAGUGUCCAACUGUUUUCAUCAGAUAGGCAUUCUGGUUUGAAGUUGAUAAAUGGUUCUUCACGUCCAGCGACUCUUUCAUUUCGUGAAGUAAGUAGCACUUUCCAACCUGUACAACUUAAAAAUUAAUAUAACACAGAGAGCAUAAAGAGUGUGAUCUGGAAUUUUAUCUUUCUUUCAUCAUCACCUUUUUUGUGUGGAAAUAUUGGCUUGAUUAGGUUCCAAUCUUCUUCUUUCCAUAUGUCAUCAAUGACAAUUAAUGAUUUUGAUGUUUCCAACAAUCUAGAGAGUUCAUCUUGGAGUCUUUCUUCUUUCAUCUGCAUGAUUUCGUUUUCUUCUGCUUUGGUUCUGAAAUUUUGCAAGAUAUUUUGCCACACAUUCUUCCGAUCACAAACUUGUGAAACACAUACCCACGCAAGUCUAUCAAACUUCUCCGUAACCUUGUCGUGAUGAAAAGCUUGUCUAGCAAGGGUGGUUUUCCCAAGACCACCCAUCCCGGUCAUUAGAACAAUUGGAUCAUUAUCUUCCUCCACCAAAUAUCCAACCAACUUCUCUACGUUUUCUUCCAGCCCCACAAGAUUGCUUUUUUCCUGUCUAGCGAAUUCUUUUCUUUCAGGAAGAGGUUCUGGAUCCCUCAUGUCGCCAAUAAUCUUUUGUACUCCUUGAGUUUCCAUAUCACGAAUCACCUUAGAGAUCCUAUUACUUAAGCUUCCAAUUUCUAAAGCGAUUUCCCUGCGUUCAGGAAUGAUGCAAGCAAGUCUUCUCAUACGUUCCUUGAUGCCACCACUUUUUUGGAGUUGGUCUUUUAGGAUAAAAGUUUCAAGUAUAUCUUCCGCACAGUUCCUCACCCUCGCACUUGUAUGCUUUUUAGCCUCUGCGUCUUGCAUAAAUGACUUUAACAUGCCUAGAUCAGUUUUUAGUUCAUCAACUUGAUCUUUAACUCCCUGAAAUUGUUUGUGUUCAUGGCUCAGUAGGUCCCAAAGCUUUUGUAUUCCAAAUGACAGAAGCUCCGUAGCCAUAGUGCCUUCUGCUUAAAUAGUAUGAAAAUAACAACCAAGUUACUUAGUAUUUGACGAACAUUUAUAAUCACACCAGAUUCACAAGAGCCAAAUAUCACAAGUUCCGUAAGAGGUAUAACAAAGCAAUAUAAGAUUUUCAUAAUUCCAUUAAAGCCUAUAUAAACUAGUGAGUAACCUGUAAGAUCCAAUCAAACUGCCAGAAAUUUAUAUGGAUAUAGACAAGGUUCUUAACCACAUACUUUUUUUUGUCUAUCUUUCUCUUUAUCUAUUCUUUUUUUUUUUGCAGAAAUAUUUUUCUUUUGUUAUGAAAUUAUUAUUUUAUAUAUAGGUGUGAGGAAAGUAAUUAUAUAAGUGUUUGUUUUAUAUUAGUAUAUAUAUAUAUAUAUAUAUAUAUUAUAUUUGUUAUUGGUUAAAAGGGAGAGAAAGUGACGAAGAGGAAAGAGAGUGAAUUAUUAUUACUCUUGCAUUUUGUUGCUUUCGUACACACAUCUUUUUUGGUAGAAGACCCGGGAGUAGACUCCCAAAAGAACUAACCGACCACAAACGAACGUGUCUAGGCCUUGAAAGACCAUCCACAUCGUCCCUCCAAAUAGUCUCCAAUACAUCAUGAACAAAAUCAAAAGUAAAUAAACCUAAAAGCAAAGUAAGGCAUAGUUUGUUAAUCCAGUUUCUCGAUAAAAAGCCAUAACACAAAUAUACUAGGGAUGAUGAUGGGUAGGACUUGCAGAUACCCUUCUUGAAAAACACCACCACCAUUUUGGAAUCAAUCUCCGAUUCCACUCUUAAAACUUGUUUCUCCCUGGCAAUAACAAGUCUAUAGUAGAGAACCCAAACUCUGCUAGAGGUGCAGAACAUCGACCAAUAUUGAGUGCAAAUCCUUCACACCAGUUUCCCUCUCCAUCACGUAGAACACCACCACCAGCUGCCAGCCCUGGAUUGCCACUUGAAGCUCCAUCAGUAUUAAGCUUAUACCAGCCGUUAACAGUUUAUUAUCCUCUAAUGUCUUUAAUUUUUUUUUUCUGUGUUUGGGAGAUUGCAAGCUUGAUUUCUAUGGAAUUUUGGGUGUUCUUUCUACAUUAGUUAUAAUUGAAAUAGUUUUAUUUCUAUAUUUUUAAAUUAAUUAUGAAUAUGAAUUAAAAAAAAAGAUAAAGUAGUAAAUCUAUUAUUGAGAUAGAAUAUUUUUGGCAACCAAUUCAUAUUUAUAUUUAAUUGAAAAAAUGUUGAUCAAAGAAAAAAUAAUAAUAAAUAGUUCUACAUAUAGAGGUCUCGGGUUCGACUUCCAGAUAAUGUGAUUUAUUAAUUAAUUUGCAGAAGAAUGAGAUAAACUUUCUAGAGAUCUAACACGAUGUACAAUUAGAACUGUUCACCGUGAUUCUACGCAUGGUGAAUGAAGUGUCGUUCGUCUAAGGAAAAAGAGUAAUUUGUGAUGAAUCUAUUAGGAUGGGGGAGAAUUAUCUAUAGUAGAAUCCUUAUUUUAAUAAUUCUCAUAAUUUUUAAUAAUCAAUAAUUCAAGAGUUUUAAAAAAACUAGAACUAUAUAGAAUUCAAUCUAGGGGUUAAAACGGAGUAAUGCUUAUUUAGAGAAAAAUAAUUCUUAUUUAGAGUCGAAUUUUCUAAGAAAAAUGAUUCUCAGCUACAUGAAGUAUCCGCCAACACAUUGUUACACAUGUAAACAAUAUAAUUGUCUCGUUAACUACAUGAAGUAUUACUAUCACAUAAGGACAUGCAUAAAUGAUGCAGCGCAUCUUCUUAUUGGGCUUGGUCGUUGCUCUUGUGGGCUUUACGCAAUCGACCAAAUGGGUGUUGAUCUUUUAAUUUCAUUUGAUAUUUUGACAUUGUUUAAAAUAAGGAUGUUAACAUAUCCACCCCUUCUUAGAUUUGGCUUUAUCUUAUUAGUUGGUGUUUAGGGCAUUAUAAACUUUGUUGCGUCUUUGUUUCAACUCAGUUUUUGAUAUUUAUAAGAAAUAAAACCAAAAAGAGGCAAACCUUUGCCCAAAGAGCUUGUGUCAAGCUAGAGAGGAGGACUCUCAAUAUCCUUCUGUUCAUUUGUUACCAUUUCCGCUUACGCCUCUACAUUAUUUGGUAUCAGAUUCAUCUCGUUCUUAGAGAGCAUUUGUGUCAACGUGUAGCCAUGCCUCUAGCCAACAAGAAAGGUGAGGGAGACGACGACCGCCACACGAUGACAACGGCUGAUUGGGCUGAGUUUCGUGAUGCUCUGUUGACAUCAAAAAACAACCUACAAGCAUAUCUCAUGGAUGCUAUGCAAAAUUUAACAGACACGCUUGUUCACAGUCUCGGAGAUCGCCAUCACCGACGAGGGGGAGAAAAUUUUUGGGCCAUGGACAAUCCGUUUGCUCAUGAGGGAGCACAUCGUGGGGAGUUAGUGAAUUUCCGGCAACAAGACAACCAUUCUCAAGAUACACGGUGGAAAGCUAGCUUUCGAGUGGAGAUUCGGGAGUUCCAUGGUGGGAUUCGCGGCGACUCUCUCCUUGAUUGGUUAUUGGUUGUAGAGGAAAUUCUCGAGUUCAAGAAAGUACCAGAGGAUCGCAAGGUUGCCUUAGCUACGACACGGUUUCCCGGACACGCCGCAUCAUGGUGGCAACAUACCAAGGCCACACGCAGCCGUACGGUGAAGGAUUAUAUACAUUCAUGGGAAAAACUGAAGAAGAAACUACGAGCCACGUUCCGACCACACAAUUAUGAUCGCACCAUCUACAACAAGCUACGGAACUUGAAACAGGGGAGUCGAUCCGUAGACGAAUACGUCGAAGAAUUUUAUUUGUUGGUCACUCGCAAUGAUAUUUUUGACAGUCCCAUCCAGUUAGUGUCUCGUUUCAUUGGUGUCUUAAGAGUACAACUACAAAAUGCGAUGUCGCAAUUCGAUCCUACCUCAGUUUCAGAAGCGCACCGUCGCGCUGCAUCCUUUGAGCUCCAAUUUCGUUCACCAUCAUGGUCUAUUCCUUCGGCCAAGACACGACCAUACGACCAGAACACAACCACCACAUCGACCGCGAUAAAAGAAUUUGGAACCGUUAAUGAGGUGACAAACAGAGCAGCUCGGGAGGAACAGCCGCUACGCCGUUCCACUCGACCCAAUGCUCUUCGAUGUUACUCUUGUGGUGAGGCGGGACAUCGUCAAACGACAUGUCUAAACCAAACACGUCGUGGACUGCUCAUGGAUGACGGACAAGAUAACUCACCACCGGUUUUUGAUUAGGAAGAAGAUGGAAGAGACGAGGACAACGUGGAAGGUCUUCACACAGCUGGCGACACGGGAAGGUUGUUAGUAGCACGGCGGCUCUGUAUAGCACCACCCAGUUGGACAGAGUCUUGGCUGAGACACAACAUCAUUUGCUCAUCGUGUAUAAUCCAAGACCGUGUGUGCACGUUCAUUAUCGAUUCGGGUAGUUCGAGGAAUAUUAUGGCGGAGUAUGUUGUGCAGAAGUUGAACAUCCCGGCUGAACCACAUCAUACUCCUUACUCGCUUGGUUGGAUGCAAGAUGGCGUCGAUAUUCACAUCACUCAUCGAGCUUUGGUCGCUUUUACUAUUGGUCAUCACUACAAGGACCGUUUCUGUUUUGAUGUUGCUCCUAUUGAUGUGAGUCACCUAAAUUUUGGUCGACCUUGGGAAUUUGACCGAAAGAUUUUCCAUGACGGAGCCAAGAAUACUUACAGCUUCUACUGGGAGACAUAUCACAUUGUUUUGCUGCCAACUCUAGAGACUCCUCUAUCCGUGACGCCUCCACCACAGGCAGCAUCUUCGACACUGUUCAUUUCCGUAGCUGCCUUUGACAAUGAGUUCAAACAAGAGGGAAGAUCGCCUUUGCUCUUUUGCUUCACCGCUGUGUGCGACGUCCUUCCAAACCAUUUCAUCAUAUGACUCCGUGCUGCGCGAGUUCACUGACAUCUUUCCAGAAGAGCUACCGCCGGGUCUCCCUCCCCUCUGGAUAUUCAGCAUCAAAUCGACUUGACUCCAGGUGUAGCUCUACCGAAUUGUGCUCACUACAGAAUGAGCCCUCAAGAACACGAGGAGCUCCGACGUCAAGUAGAAGAGUUGCUGCGCAAAGGGCACAUUCGCGAGAGUCUUAGUCCUUGCGCCGUCCCAGCGUUGCUAAUUCCAAAAAAAAGAUGGUUUGUGGCGAAUGUGUGUGGAUAGCCGGGAAAUUAACAAUAUCACAGUCCGCUACCAGUUUCCUAUUCCACGCCUUGACGACUUGCUGGAUCAAAUUGGAAUGGCCUCUAUUUUUUUGAAGAUUGAUAUUAAGAGUGGCUACCAUCAAAUCCGUAUCCGCCCCGGGGAUGAAUGGAAAAUGGCGUUCAAAACAAGAGAAGGACUUUUCAAAUGGUUGGUCAUGCCGUUCGGGCUUUCCAACGCGCCUAGUACCUUUAUGCGUAUCAUGAAUCAAGCACUACGGCCGUUCAUCGGGAAGUUUGUAGUGGUAUACUUUGACGAUAUUCUGAUCUUUCGUUCUUCCGCCGCUGCCCAUUCUUCCCAUUUGCGUGAGGUGUUGUGUGUUUUCCGGCGUAAAGAACUCUUUGCGGCUAAACGAAAAUGCGAGUUCGGCGUCAUACGUCUUGUUCUUGGGCUAUGUUGUCUCGGACAAGGGUUUGUCCAUGGAUGAAUCCAAGAUUGAAGCUGUGAGGUCAUGGCCAACACCGCAGACAGUCACCAAAGUCCGGAAUUUCCAUGGGCUUGCGUCUUUUAAUAGACGUUUUGUACCUCAUUUCAGUGCGGUCAUGGCACCUAUCACUAGUUGUAUGAAAGACGGCAAAUUCGAGUGGUCUUCUGACGCGGAUAACGCGUUCAUCAAGAUCAAGGAGCUGCUCACGUCCGCUCCUAUAUUGGUACUGCUGGAUUUUUCUCUUCCAUUUGAGCUGCAUUGUGAUGCAAAGCUGGGUAUUGGCGCGGUUUUGAGCCAACAAGGCCGUCCAAUCACAUAUUUUAGUGAGAAGUUAGCCGGAGCGCGAGGCCGUUACAGUACUUACGAUGCAGAGUUUUAUGCGGUGGUGCAAGCUAUCAAACAUUGGCGACAUUACUUGGUUCACCGGGAGUUUGUCUUGUUUACGGACCAUGAUGCUCUACGCCAUUUGGAUAGCCAAGCAAAGGUGUCUUCCCGUCACGCCUCAUGGAUUGCAUUUCUUCAGCAAUUUACCUUCUCUAUACGAUACCAAUCAGGCAAAACAAACCGUAUAGCUGAUGCAUUAAGUCGUCGCCACACCUUACUCACUACGAUGCACACGUCGGUAACCGGGUUCUCCAAAUUUGCUGACUUGUAUGGAACUGAUCUGUACUUUGCUCCUCAUCUCGUUGACAUUCGCCAAGGCCUACAUUCUAAAUUCACUAUGCACGACGAUUUUAUCUUCUAUGGUGCUCGGUUGUGUGUUCCAGCUUGUAGCUUGCGGGUCAAGAUUAUUGGAGAAUUAUACAAUGAAGGUAGUCAUGGCAUCAUAUUUUUGGCCUACUCUUCGUAGGGAUGUUGAACGGUUUGUGGAGAGGUGUCGAGUUUGCCAACAAGGAAAGGGUAAGGCGUUGAACUCUGGUUUGUACUUACCGUUGCCCGUUCCCACCCAGCCGUGGACCGAUGUUGUAAUGUCCCUAACCGUGGCCUAAUAUUCAGAUGGAAUGGUCAAAGAAUGGCUAUCAAAGGAAAAUGGAUCAAGGGAAUGGAUAAUUAAUUUUUGGGCUUGAGCCAAAGUAUUCUUAGAUGAAUACAAAGCUUUUGAUCGAAGAUAAAUGGAAGUCAGACGAUGAAAAUCAUAUUUCAUACGACAAUGAAGUUUCUGGCCGAAGGAGUUUCGAGUGUGAACGCGAUCACAAGCAUAUCAUUUCGUUUGCAUCCGCAAGCUAGUAGGUUGGUAGGCAAGCUACUGCACUAUUAUGGAUAAGAACAAUAAAUGGAUAACCAUGAAGUUUAGGAUAAGCAUCAACAUUUGGAUAAGGAUAGAAAUAAAAAUAAGCUAAAUCAAGCCUAUCAAUGCCACCUCGUUGUCACGGACUUGAUCUUUGGUGAUCAAACCGUGCAGCCCUAGACCCUCUUUGUCUCGAACAAAUGGACUAGGUAGCCUAACUCUCCCAAAAUUUCCGACCCUUUGUGAUAAAAGAACCCGGAAAGAACGAGAAAAGACAAGUGAUUACUGAAUUGCUCUAGUAUUGAUAAAAAUGCUGGAUGAUUACAAAUGAGGGAUCUCACCGCUAUUUAUACAAAACACCUCCUCAAUGGACGGUAGAGAUUAAAGCGAUAUAAUGGCCGAUAUUGAAGAUAUCGUCAUAAAUACAAGGAUUUGGCUUGGUGACAAAGUCUUCUGAGAAUCCUCUCCAAGUCUUUCCUUAAGUGGCUUCGAAGCUCUUCAACGAAAAAGGCUGAAAAAUGCUAAGUGUUCGGUGGGCUUUCUCCAUAGUCCGGCCCGUAUGUGUGUUCAAGUAAAUGGGACGUCACCUCGUGCUUCCAUAGCUUCCUCCCCAAGUAACCAUGUCCUAUAAAUACCCCCUCUCCUUUUCAUUUGUUCUUCACACCAAAAACCAACAAAAACUUUCCCAAGUGAGUAAGUGUCCGAGCUGGUCCGUGGUAGUAUCCGAGUAGGAUCGCCGAGAGUCUAGAGUCCUUAGUAGUCAAGCCAAGGUAAGUUCCGAAGCGUGUGAGGUAGCACACGACUAGGAUUAUUUUAAGUAUUUAUUUAAGAUAAUUAAUUCUUUAUUUAUUUAUUUAUUAAUUAAUAUUUAGCAUGAGGUUAGGGACUAUUAUAUUGGCAUUAUUUGUGGUAAUGGUGAACUGUUCUUGAUUGAUGAUUGUGUGAUAGUAUAACUUCGCGAUAGAUAACUGUAAUGCUAGCAUUUAUGGGCAUAACCGUUAUGCUGUCAGAUUGUUAUAUUAUUUGGUUGUUGGUUAUGCUUUGAUUAGAUAUCUAGCACUAGUCGGAUCGUGCUAUCCUCGUUGUAUAUGAUACGUUAGGUAAUGUGAUUAUAUACGAAGGCUCGAGGAUGUGUCACGACAGACCGGGCAGCUACAUAACGAUGUAGAGUGAAGGGAUGACAGAUCUUCUAUAGACUUUGUGUCUAGAAGUGUAGGGCAUUGCCUUGGGGAUAUCAUGGAUUCGUAGGGGCCCAAAGUAGGAUCGAGAUGAGGUAUAUUACUUGCAUUUUGGUUUAGUGCUUAUGGCUUCUAAGCCAUAAUGCUUAUUGAUCGCCAUUGCUUGUGAUUGGGGGUUGGGUUGGGUUAUUUUAGAGAUCCCGGACUUACAGAGUAAUCUAAGUUUACUCAAGAUUCUACCAAUUUGUUUUGCAGGUAACCAGUAGUGGGAAAACGUUAAGGGAAAAGGACGUUAGGCUAACCGGUGUAGAUUUCCUUGCCUUUGUAAGAUGUAGUUUUGUGUAUAAUACAUAUGACUCUAUUUUCCCGAUACUAAUAAAGUGAUGCUUUUAUAAACACCGUGUCUCCCAUGAUAUUAUUAGUCUUGUCCAGACUAGCACAACUCGGGUUCGCGGUACGGGUUCAUAGCCAUAGGCCGUGAUUGUGAGGAACGACUCCUGCGGUUGGGCUAGAACGGGUCGGGGGUGUUAUAGAUGUUAGCAUGGACUUUGUUUUGGGCCUUCCCCGGCCCCAACGAGGGCACGAUUCUAUCCUUAUGGUGGUGGACCGAUUCUCAAAAAUGGCCCAUUUCACCCCCUGCAAGAAGACUACCGACGCAGUUAGUGUCUCUAAUUUUUUCUUCCGUGAGAUCUACCGCCUACACGGGCAUCCGUCGUCCAUAGUUUCUGAUCGGGAUUCCCGUUUUCGUAGCCAUUUUUGGAGGUGUCUUUGGAAGUUGUUGCGUACUAGUCUCGCCAUGAACACUGCCUAUCAUCCUCAAACGGAUGGUUAGACGGAAGUUAUUAAUCGUUCUGUGGGCGAUUUACUUUGUUGUUUAGGUUGUGAUAAUAUCAAGAGUUGGGAUGCUAAGUUGUGUCAAGCUAAGUUCGCUUAUAAUCAUGCCGUGAACCGCAGCGUAGGCAUGAGUCCUUUUCAAGUGAUUUGUGGUGUUGUUCCUCGCUAUUUAUUGGACCUUGCUCCUCUACCGGAUGAUAUUCAUUUGCAUGGCCAGGCAGAAGAUUUUGUGGCAAGCUUAAAGGAUGUCCAUACGCAACAAUUUGGAGACGUCUGUCGCUAAGUACAAGGCUGCUGCUGAUCAUAAGCUGUGUGAGGUAGUUUUUGAAGUUGGUGAUCUUGUGUGGGUUGUUUUGACAAAGGACCGUAUGCCUCUUCGGGAGUAUAAUAAGCUGAAGUCGCGGAAGAUUGGACCGGUCGAAAUUGUCGCCCGCAAAAAUGCUAAUGCUUAUCGAGUAACUCUUCCUUCUCACCUCAAGACGUCGGAUGUGUUUAACGUCAAGUUCCAGUCUCCUUUCCACGGGGACAACGACGGCUUGGAUUCGUGGUCGAAUCCUUCCGCACGGGGAGGGACCUGAUGCAGCGCAUCUUCUUAUCAGGCUUGGUCGUUACUCUUGUGGGCUUUACGCAAUCGACCAAAUGGGUGUUGAUCUUUUGAUUUCAUUUGAUAUUUUGACAUUGUUUUAAAAUAAGGAUAUUAACAUAUCCAUCCCUUCUUAGAUUUGGCUUUAUCUUAUUAGUUGGUGUUUAGGGCUUUAUAAACUUUGUUGCGUCUUUGUUUCGAGUCAAUUUUUGAUAUUUAUAAGAAAAAAAAACCAAAAAGAGGCACACCUUUGCCCAAAGAGCUUGUGUCAAGCUAGAGAGGAGGACUCUCAAUAUCCUUUUGUUCAUUUGUUACCAUUUCCGCUUACGCCUCUACAUUAAUAAACAAACAUGAUUAUGUGUACAACACCAUAACCAUCCAUUUCCGAUGAAUUUUUCGCCGGAAUCCGACCGACUGAAACAUGUAUUUUUGUACCCUUGGAGUUCAAUUCCCCAAUGCGAUGUAGCAUAAGAGGUUAUCGAUCCAAAUGGAUGUAUUGCAAGCAAUCAAGAUAUAUCAGAUCUAAUCAAGUCAAGCCAAGUAAUUUAAGGUUUGGUUUAAAGAACUCUAAUGCAUAAAAGAAAACUAAAGAAACCAAUAUUGAAAGCAAUAAGUAAAAGCCGGUAAUCAAUCAGAUAGCAAAGGGUCUUAAGGAUGGGCUAAUGGGGUGAUGAAUCCUCUUAGUAUCUUUGGGAUGCUUAACAUGCUCAGAUAGAUCUAAUCCUAGACAAUGAACCACUUAACCUAAUCUGUCCAAUCUCUUGGCAAAGAUUAUCAGAUCUAUAGCACUUCCUAAUCUCAACUUUCAUUGAUGAAACAUACAUUAAAUAGGCAUAAAGAACAAGCUCAUUAAUGUCAAUCUACUCCUUAACAACCAAUCUCUUGGGUAAGUAAAUAGAUCUCUGGCAUUAGUUGAUCAGACAUUCCAUUUGAACACUUUUUUAGUGCUGGAAUGUCUAAGAUCUAAUCCCACAUGGUUAAUGCUAAGAUAGCAUUAAGAUCUCCUAAUCCAGAAGGUAUCUAUCUAAAUCUAUACUUAAGCAACCCUAGAAACUAAGAUUCCUCAUCACCUAACCCAUCCUCUAAACCCAGAAAAACUACUCAGAUCUGGUGUUCAUCAUGAAGAACACAAACCCAGAAAUCUUUGAAUCUUGCAUAACUAGAUAGAUAAUGAUCUAAGGAGCAAGAUAUUGUAAAGAAACAACUCCAAAUUCUCAAUAGAUCAAAAGAUAUAAAGAUUACAAGUUUCUGAAAAUGUUUGGUGGCUACAGAGAAAAACCCUAAUGAAAACUCGUUUUUGGCUUAAUGACCCAAGAGGUCUAUUUAUACUAAAGGCAGGAAGCCCUAAAACACAAAAAGACAAAUUACAAAGUCGGUUUAAAGAGAGCUCGGUCGGGUGCUUGUUGGGCUCGUUCGGGUCCUCUCUUGGCUCAUCCGUGUUCAGCUUCCUCUUGUGAGUCCGGGUGCUCGAUCGUGCUCGCUUGGUCGGGCUGGACACACUCGAUCGGGUCCAUGCUUUGCAUUGUCCGAGUGUACCUGUUUUUUCUCUAAAAUGCAGAUGAUAUGCAAAUCUCUAUGCUAAAGAUCCUAGAUGCGAAAUAUAAUGCAAAGGGACUAGAAAUCCUGAGAAGUAGAGACCUAGACAUCCAAAUAAUGCACAAAACAUAUGCUUAAGAGUAUAAAAAUAUAGGGUUAUCAACUCCCCAAACUUAUUCUUUGCUUAGCCUCAAGCAAAUUCAAAGUAGGGAGAGAGGUUUGAAGGUGGGGACUCAGAACCAAAACUUGCUGCAAAAGAGUUUAACAUCAAUAUCCUAGUUCGUAAUUCUAGAAUGCAAUUCAAAGGCUGUACUCUGAAGACAUUAGCCAUUCCUAUUUCAACACGAUGUCACCAGCCACAUAACCUAGACAAGCAAUCAAGUCAGCCAUCCUUUUUAACAUUCAUUAAGUAGCAACAGUGAAUCUGGAUGUGAAUUUGAAUUUAAACUCAUUUGGCUAGGCAAGUAAAAGGUUUAAGAGAUAAAGAGAGUCUCUCUUUUGUGAGGGUUUAAUCGUUUAAGUGCUAGGAUCUCUCAAUGAACAAGAUUGAGCUUUUGGGAGAUUGCUAAAGGUAAGGACCAACAAAUGCAUACAAGAAUAACAUCUUGACUACCCAAAGUACCUAAGUGAUAUCCUAAUUAUCUAAACCCAUAUGAUCCUAUUCUACCCUUUAACUCUUUUCAUCCCAAUUUCCCAUUUUGUUCUAAGUCUAAGGAGAGUUUCUUAUGAUAAACUAGUGGAUAGGGGGUUCCUUUAUAAACACUAUGGUUCUCUUUCUUCUUAAUACUUAAGACAUCAAAGCAUUUUGCUAUCUUUACACUUUUCUCUCUUUCUUUUUAAAAAAUCAGAACCAUUUCUUUUAUAUACUUUGCAUUCCCCACUUAUCUUUCACUAGGACCUUGAACUUUUCUGAAACUUUUACUUUCCUAAAGACUCGACUCAUUCCCCUAUUCUUUUCUUUUCUUUUCUUUUCUUUUCACCAAUCCAACAAAUCCCAAAACCCAAGUAGAAUCCAUCCUAGUCCUAUCUGAUCCGAAAGAUGCAAAUCAGAACUACUCAAGACCAUAUUCCUGUCGGCUCAAACCUAACACGUUCUCUUAAAGCUCAAUCCCAAAAGGCCUUCCACUCAGAAUUAAAACAAAGGCUUGAAGGAAUGGUUAAGGUUUUUAGGGUGUGGUUAACUGGUCAAGGUUAUGACCAGCUACUUGGAUCAACAAGAGGGUGGUAAAAAGAGGGAAAGAAGAUCCAAGUAUGUAUAAAAGGUAUCCAUGAGUUUAAAACAAAUCACAACCAGAUAAUUAACAAUUCAAGUUAAGGUUCUUAUAAAUAAAGGAUGGCAUCAUAUCAAAGCAAGCUUCAGUUUAGACUAGAAUUCAAAUCAUGAGAUCAAAGAAUGGUGCAGUCUCAUUUCAAACUCAAAUGAAAGCAUUGAACAACUAUGAACUAGGGCAUUGGUGUUAAAUCUAAUGAAACAGCAAGUUCUUUGGUUAUAAUCAUCAUAAUCCCCUAUGCUAAUGUAAUGAUCCUAAAUGCAACAACCUUAAAGCAAGACUAAUAUGCAAAUGCAACUAUAUGAACACUCUGUUUUUAAAGGAAUUUCUGAAAAAUUUUCAAAAUUUUAGGGGUUUUUGAUGCACAUAGAUGAAUGCAAAACUAGAUGCUAAAAAUUCGAAAUAAGAAAAUAUAAAACAUGUCAAAUGCUAUCCUAAGCUCUCCCCCAAACUUAAAUUACACAGUCCCUUGUGUAAUAAAAAUCUGAAGGAAGGCUUAGGAUCGAAAAGAAAAUAUAAAAAUGCAAGGCUGUAUUUACAAAGUUGAGGGUAAUAGAAUUACCUCUUGGGUGGUCCAAACCACGAGCUCAGGACGUCGGGGUACGCUGCUACAUGCUCGUCCUGGAUAUUUUCGGCGUCGACUGCAAGGUGAUAGGCUGACCCGACCGGGCGUGAAGAACCGGCCCGAUCGGGUGUGCGUUCGGGUGAGGCGCUCGAGUCAGCUCCCGGUUCCCUUCUGGUUCUGAACAGACUUCUCCUCGGAUCAAAUGAGGCUCUAGGCGGGCUAACUGGUAGGUUGGACCUGGUAGGUGUCCUGACUGAUGCAUUCCCCCCCCCCCCAAACCACUAGGCAUGGCUGUAGUGGAGGUUGACCAUCCAACCUUGUUCUGAAGUUCAUUAAUCUGCUCCCCCAUAUCCUAAACUGUUCCGGCAAGAUCCUUCACAGUGUUUUUCAAUGCCUUGAUAGUCUUGCUCUGGAACUUGUUCCACUUCUGAAGGAUGCUAAUCUUUUUGUGAGCUUCUUUUACCCCCCUUGACUGCCUAGAGGACUCUCCACUCAUCAAAAUAGAAGUCCUCCUCCUGCUCUUCCCUAUAAGGUUCUUCUUCUCUGACCUCAGGUGCAUAGGUUUGUUGGGCUGGCUCGAAGCUAGGAAUUGGGUCUUGGACUGAGUUCGGGUCAUAUAAUGCUGAGACGGGUGGCCAAAAGUUGAUAUUAGCACCCAAUCUGAUCUUUGUAAGCUCGGUGUUAGGCAACAUCAUUCUUGCUACUCCAAGUGAAGGGUGAGUGAACUUAUAUAAGUAAAACCCGUUGGGACGCUCGCUAUCAAGGAAGUGCGUCCUUGUUGAAGUCUCAAUGUCGAUCCAGCGAGCGUUGUAAACCUUCCCCCGUAAUUCCACUCACAAGCUACCAAUAACGGGGUGACUAGUCCACCAAUACUGAGCUCUCCUUGCACACCUCUCCUAACAGCCUUUAAUACCCAAUCUUUGCAAUACAUCAGCUGGUCUAAUAGAACCGAGACCAUGCUACCAUCUGUUCUAUCUCCUACUAGUUCUCUACCAUCCCUAGUACUUGGCAAUACACCACUCAAUGCUAUAUCUAUGAGCUGGAUCUCACUCUCAUUCACAUUCCCGGUUUCCUUUUUAGGAAAAAUCGUACUAGCCAAGGACUUAUGGAAAUACCUCACAGCUGGAUUGCUGAUUUGGGCGCUCUUGGAUUUCGAAGAAGUGUAUUCCUUCCCAUCUCCAAUUGUUUUCCAAACAGACUUGAUCUCCUCCUUAAGCACAUCUUGGCUCAUCGCGCUUGCUUGCAAGAACCCAUAGAGCUUCUCAACUUCCUUAAACGUGAGAGAAUAUGUAGUGCCCCUCACGCCGAAGGUGAUGUAUCCAAGGCAGUCAUCUGAGUGAAACUCGGUUUCAUCCUCGUAGAAAUGGAGCUGAAGUGAAGCUAACACGUAGCACGUCUCCUCGUCGUUGGCUUCCAAGUUUCUGGUCAUGAAUGAGCCAAGGCCGCUUCUCUCGAACAGAAACUCAACAUCUCUUGCUAUCCCCAGCUCCUUCAUCGUUUGCCGGUGAGGAUAACGAGUUCCAACAAACUUGUGGCGCCUAAACAUUGCAUAAAGCUCUUCUGGAGGGGGCAAGUUCUUGGUCUUACUUGGAGCCACUACCCUCCUAGGCUCCAUAUCCACCAUCGGUUCAUCAACAUCUUCUUCUGCAGGUCUCUUCCCCAUCGAAACUUCUUCUUUGGAAAUCGGGUGGGUCUGACCUGAUCGACUGGCCCGAUCGGGUGAUCGGGUUCGUGCUCGGGCUUUUCUUCUCCCAGAUAAUAAGAACACAAGGUUCAAUUACACAAACAAACCCCAGAAGAUGUGAAGAAUCAAGGCAAGAUUAACAACAAACCAGAGAAUGAGAUGAACAAGGAGCAAAUGAAAUCAAACCCAGAAAUUUUAUCAACCAAGAAUCUAGAGAGAAGGAAGAGAGAAUUCUAGAGAGAUAACUGAAUUUUUAGCAAAAUGAGAGAGUGAGAGAGGUUUUGGUCUAGUUUAGGUGGUAUAAAGAGGGUAAGAGGGGACAAAAAUCUGAAAGCGGAGCGUUUUUGGUCGGGCUUGGUUCAAAAUUUAAAUUUCAAAUCGAGUUGACUAUUGACCCGACCGUUACCUUUGACGCAAUCGGACGGCUGAGAUGAACCCGAUCGGGUGGCUUAGAUUGACUCGACCGGAUGGUCGAGAUUGACCCGAUCGAAUCGCGUUGACCCGACCGUGUGGGUGUUGACUCGACCAAAUAUACUUUUUCUUUUCAUUUUUUCAAUUAUUUUUACUUUGUAUUCAAAUGUGGGGUUUUAAUUAUUUUCUAGAUAUAUACUUUUAUGUAAAUAAUAUUUUAAUUAUAUUUCUUCUUUUUCCCUUAUAAAAAAUAUAUAUUUGCCGAUGCUAUAAAAAUAUUUGAAAUGCCAUAAUCUCAUAACUAUUGUAUCUAUAUUAACAUUUUUGAAGUACCUUUUGGAAAAUAACCUUUUAUUUUGUAUUAUUUGCAUAAUAAAUCCUUGCCAUUUAAAUAAUUAACAAAAUNNNNNNNNNNNNNNNNNNNNNNNNNNNNNNNNNNNNNNNNNNNNNNNNNNNNNNNNNNNNNNNNNNNNNNNNNNNNNNNNNNNNNNNNNNNNNNNNNNNNCCAUUAUAAAUAUGACUAAUAUGAAACUUAAAAUCCAAAAUCUUGAAUGGAAGAUUACAACAAUAAGUUUACUAAUUUAGGGAAUCCAAUUUAAUAUUGAUUGGUUAAAAUGAGUUUUGGAAACAAAAAUCUCUCUCGAAAUCUAUAAAUUAUUCAAGGUUUAUAUUUACAUAAAUAUGAUUUAACGGGUUUGAGUUAUAUGUUUUUCUUACGAGUUAUCUUAUGGGUUAACAAAACAAAAUAACAAAUAUAACUUAAACAUAAUUUUUUAGUCCCACGAGUUAUAAAAAAAUAUCCCGCGAGUUAAGUAAUAAAAAUAACAAUCAAAAAUACAGUUACACAAUCUUAAACACUAAAAAGGUAAUAAAAUUAACAAAUAUAACUUACAUAUAUAUUUUGUUUAGUCAAAACAAUCGUCUCGCGGUGUACCGUGGGUUAAAACCUAGUAUAAAUAAAAAUUCAAAACAUAUUUAAAACCCCGGCCUACGACUUUACAAAAGAAAAAAAUGAUUUUUUAAUAUUUUGUUAUAUUACUAUAUAUAUAUAACUAAAUUUACCACGUAAAAAUUUUGUGGUAUACUUUCUUUACUUGGUAUAUUUUUUUUUGUAUUACCAAAAUUGUAUAACCAAAUAUUUCACAAAAUUUAUUGAGAAACUGAUAUCAAUAACCUUUUUAUGAUACCCUCUUUUAAAAAUACCCUCUUUUUUGCAAUUUUCAUUUUUGCCUUCUCUUAAAUUUUAAUGGCCAUUUUACCCCUAGUUGAAAGAAUAUUCUUUCCCAAAGGAAGGAAUAUUCCUUUCAAAAAAAUUUCCCCCAAAAAUUUCCCGCCAAAAAAAUUUCCGAGUAAAAAUUUCCCGCCAAAAAAUUUCCGCAAAAAUUUUCCCCCAAAAACAAAAUAUUUUUACAAAAUUUUCCCGCCAUAUAUUUUAAAGGGUUUACAAGUUUUUUAAAGGGUCUUUUAAAGGUUUUAAAGGGAUUUACAAGAGUUUUUAAAUGGUUUUCAUAAGAUUUGUAAUGGUUUUUAAAUGAUUUACAAUGGUUUUUAAAAGUUUUUAUAAGUUUAUAACAGUUUUAAAAGGAUUUAAAGGAUUUUUAAAGGAUUUAAAUAUUUACAAGGAUUUUUAAAGGUUUUUAAAAAGGAUUUACAAGUGUUUUAAAAAGGAUUUACAAGUGUAUUUAAAGGCAUACAAAGAUUUAAAAAUAGUUUUAAAGGACUUACAAGGGAUUUUAAAGAAUUUUAGAAGUUUACAAAGGUUUUUAAAGGGUUUACAAAACUUUUUAAAUGUAUUACAAGUUCUUUAAAAUGGUUUUUAAGGAUUUACAAGGGUUUAGAAAGGGAUCUAGAAGUUUAUAAAAUCUUUUAUUAAAUGAUUUAUCACGGUUAUAAGGGGUUUGAAGGGAUUUACAAGUGUUUAUAAAUGUUAUAAAAAGGGUAAUUUAGUCAUUUUGUACAUAGAAGAGUGUAUUUUUGAAAAUGGACACCUAGAGAGGGUACUUAUAGAAAAGGGUAUCUAUCAUAAAAAUGUUAGUUGUGUGAAUCCCCCAAAUUUAUUUGGUACUAGUCGGUUGCCCGCGCUACGCGCGGGAAUUUAUUAUGUUGUAUAUGAGUAAUUGAUUUGUAUUUUAUUUUCUACUUCUUUUUUCACUAUACCAUACUUUACUUUUUUAAAACUUAGAUUGUGUUUGUAUAGAAAAACUAUUGAGUUUUAGCCUCAUUAGUUGUUGAGAAAUUAAGUGUGUAUAAUAUAAGUCGAAGUGUGGGCGUAAACGGAAAUGCGGUGAAAAAUUAUUGAGAAACGUGUGCUAUUAGGGUUUCUACCAAAUAUAGAUCUAGAUGUUAAUAUUUUGUGCCUUUUAUAUGUUGGCAUGAAAUUUGAACAUGAUUUGUGGGUUUCGGGCGGAUUGUUAUAUUUUUAAUUGUUUACAUUAUCUCUUUAUAUAUUGUCAUAAUUUUAUUUUUUUAUGUUAUUCAUUUUUUGAUUUGUCGUAAUUAUAUCUCGUAAUGAUCAUUUUUAUACUAUUAUAUAUUUGUUUCUGAUUUUAUGUUAUAUAUAUAUAUAUUUUAUUUUUUCAUAUGGAACAAUUUUUAAAUUUAACAUAUCAGUAUAAUUUACUUUAUAUUUAGUUUAUUUCAUUUAAUACUGUCUUUUGUUAAUUUUCAAUUUUUAUGAAAUAUUGUUAAUUUUUUACUCUUUUAUUAGUUUAACAUAUGUGUUGUAUUGGAAAAAAUUAGUUAAAUUCAUAUUGGAAACCUUUAAAAAAUAUUAUUUUUAUUUUCACGUUUUUAUACGUUUAAAAAAAAUGAGAAUUGAUGUUUCGGUCCGACCUAUCUCAUUUAUGUUAGAAAUUUUUGUGAGACAUAAAUUACAUAGAUUUAUAUUCUCAAAAUUUCUUACUUUCUUUACUAUUCUCGUUAAAUCCCAUAAUAUUUGGGUUUACAUUGUGUAAAUAUAAUCAUAUAUAUUUCUUAGUAUAAUCGAUAAUUAGUAAGUUUUUUUAACUUUUAAACAAAUCAUCUUUUUAGUUUUAUAAUGUAUAAUAUAGAAAAAACCUUUGAUAUUCCUUUUUGAAAAACUUAUUUACAUAAGUUUAAAUCUUAAAAUUAAAUGAUAAAAUGGUAUAAUUAAUUUUAAAAAUUAAAUAAUAAAAUGAGGUGGAUGAUGAUGUGGCAUAAGGAGAAGAGAGAAAAAGUUAACUUUAUAUAUAUAGAUAUAAGUUUUGAAUUUUAAUGUGAGAUAAAAAAAAUUACUUUUAUAAUAUGUUUUGAUAUUUGUUUUGUAAAAUUAUGUAGUAUAUUUACCUAUUUAUCAAAAAUAGUUAAAAUAAAAAAUAAAAUAAUUAUGGAUUUUUUUUUUGAAUUUUUUGUUGGUCAUCGUCGGUUAGGCAUGACGAUGGUUACGGUUUAUUAACCACCGGUUAUGGUUAUAAAUAUUUUUUAACCAUAACCUUAACUUUUAUAUAUACGGUUACAACGGUUAUAGUUAAGGAAAACGGGGAAAAUCAACCCAAACUAUUUCUCGAAGGUAUUUUCAUACCCAAACUCGCGUACUCUGAAUUUUACAACCCAAACCAGGUUUCAAUUCAAAUAACCCACCUGAACCACAUCAAAUUUUGUCGAUUUCAACCUCGACGUUAAUAGUAUCCCUGCCCAUCUUGAAGAUUUGGACAAUCAAGCUUAAGCUUCUGUAAAAACCAAGAGAAAUUAAGCUUAAGCUUAAGCUUAAUUGUCCAAAUCUUCAAGAUGGGCAGGGAUACUGUUAACGUCGAGGUUGAAAUUGACAAAAUUUGAUAUAGUUCUAGUUGGUUAUUUGAAUUGAAAGCUAGUUUGGGUUGUAAAAUUCAGAGUACGCGAGUUUGGGUAUGAAAAUACAUUUGGGAAAUAGUUAUGGUUAUAUACAGUUACGGUUAAAUCCGGUUACGGUUAUUUGAUGUUUAUGAUAUAAAUAAUAUUAAAGGCAAAAUUUUAUAUUUUCUUACCAUAUCAAAUAAUGUUUAUUUAUAAAUAUGAAAUAUAUGUAAUUAUAUUAUUCAAAUAUUUAUAGUACAUUAGUUAAAGAAAUGAUUUUUGUUUAAUCAAAUACAACUACAGAUAUAUAAACUAAUGGUUAUGAACCUACAAAUAUUUAAAUUAAAUUAUUUUUGAUUUGAUUAAUGGAAAUGAGUAGUGGAAUGGAUUAGGGUUACUAGUUGACAUAUUUAACCAUUUUGUUUUUUGUCAUCAACAUAUUUAACCAUUUAAAACAUUGUUUUAAUGAGAUAAUUUUUAGAUAAAUUAUCUCUAAUAACCUUUUUAUCAUACCCUUUUGCAAAAUUAUCCUCUUUUUUUGUCAUAAUCAUUUUUGCCCUCUCUUAAAUUUUAGUGACCAUUUUACCUCUAGUUGAAAAAAUAUUCUUUCCUUUGAACGGAAUAUUCUUUCCAAAAAUUUUCCCGCCAAAAUAUUUUCCUACCAAAAUUUAUAAAUGUUAUAAAAUGAUUUACAAAGGUUUUAAAAGGUUUACUAAAGUUUUUGAAGGUUUUGAAUGACUUUUAAAAGAUUUACAAGGGUUUUAAAAAGAGUUUUUAAGGUUUUAAAAAUAUUUACAAGGUUUUUUAAGGAAAUGCGGAAAAAUUAUGGCUGAAAAUUUGGCGGUAAAAUGUUUUGGCGGAAAAAAAUUUGUCGGAAAUUUUUGGGGGGAAAAUUUUCGGAAGGAAUAUUCUUUUUGUUGGAAUUUGGAAAUAAUAUUCCUAUCUUCAUCAUGUGAUAUAUUAAAGGAGGCUGAUUUAGUUAUUUUGUACACGGAAGAAGGUAUUUUCUAAAUGAACACCAAAAGAAGGUAUUCUUACAAAAGGGUAACCUAAAAAAGUUAUUUGUGCAAAUCCCCCUUGUGGGAGCUGAAAUCCACGAACUGAAAACGGAGUGAACUCGAGUGGGCUCCUAAUUCCCUGUCCGAACUCGUGAACAGAAUUGCGAAAUGAUUGAGAGAAAAUUGCUUAGUUUUAUUUAGUAUCUUUUGUCAAAAAUCCGACCCCUUUACACUUUGUUUUUCCUCCUACUUAUACUACUCUGGCAAGCAUUGAACGCGCAGCGAACUCCGCUCCGCGAAUCGCGCCAUUCUCAUUAAGGCGCCGCUUGACCCGCUGAUAGCCCGUUUUAAUUCUCCUUUCAAACCUUCGGCUCCUACUGGACUCCGCUUGACGGGCUGGGCAGUUCCAAUAAUGGGCCUUCGCCAACGGGCCUAAACGGAAUGGGCUGUUAGCCCGGAACGCCAAUUCCGGUACCCACAGUAAGCCCCCAAAGUCUUCCGAAGUGGUUCAGUUUGGGAGACUUUAAUGCCACACAAUUAAAGAAACUUCGAUUCCCGAAUCUGAUAUGAUUGAUUUGUUUUUAUUCAAGGUUGCCUUUUCGGAUUACCGUGCCCCGGUUUUGCUGCUUUGGAAUCCCUAGGUUGCCGGCUAUAAAACGCGACCUUCUAGCUUCCCUAGGUAAUCAUUGGGUUGCAGCCGCCGAGACGCUAUAAAGGUAGAGCCUCCCUCCUUCGUUUUUCUUUUUAAUUUCUCUCUCGCUUCUUCUAUUUUUCUCUGUUUUGCCCGACGCUUCUCCUCGCCGUAUCUUCUGCUACUUCCACUCCGUUCCCAAACUAAGCUUAAGCAUGUCGCCGCCCAAGCAAACUCCAAAAGCCGGAGACGCUUCCCUCUCCAGUCAAUUCGGCCCGCAUCCCAGGUCGACGAUAGGCGAGGAAGAUUUAGUACACGUAAAGUUCCUCUGCGGCCUUACGUCUGAGACGGAGCUCAUCGCUCCUGGGGAUGAUCUGUCGCUGGAGGAUCCUCCUCCCGGGUACUGCUGUGCCUACGAGAUAUUUUUCUCAAAGUGCGGCCUAUAUUUUCUGCUGCCGGAGCUUCUGGUGAAGGCGAUGUUCGCCCUCGGCAUCACCCUCCCCUAGCUAUGUCCGAACUUCGUCCGGACUAUUCUUUGUCUGCAGACCUUAGCCGAAGAGCACGGCUACAUCAUCACCUUCCAGGACAUCCUCCACCUUUACACAAUAAAGAGUGGCCGGACUAGAGGGACCUUCUAUCUCAGCCCGCUGGCCGGGUUCCGAGUCUUUGACGACUUCCCUGAGAAAGACGAACAGUACCGAAGUGGGUAUUUCUUCUUCCCGGUUAACCGGGCCACCUUCGGUGAUUUGCAGGAGCUGCUUGUCCCGCACUGGUCUCAGAAACCUGGUAGAACUGCGAGAAGAUUCGAAAAUUUCUUGCUAUCACCUAUCAGUUCGGGGUACUAACUCGUUUUCUCUUCUCCUUUUUUUUUAGCUUCCCUUGAGCGCGGACCAUUAUCUCAAACCUUCGCGAACUAUUUCGUUACCUUCUGCAGUGCUGAAACUGCGUGGGACUCCUUCACCUGCCCCCAUAUCCGUGAGGCAGGUGCCCGCAUCCGUACUAGGUUUCUUACUAUCUCUUCUCCUCAGUCUGCCCCUCCCAAGAUGAACUACCGCGAAGAGAGGGCUCACAAGAAAAAGAUGGAGCUGAAAGAGAAUGAACUAAAGAAGAAAAUGGUUCGCGAGGUGAUCACUCUGCCCGACAGCGACCUCAGCGCUGAAUCUCCUGCCGCUCGCCCAGCUCCUGAAGAGGGUCAAGCCAGCGGGUCAAAGAAGCGGAAAGCCGCGGAACCCGCUUGUCCGGUACGUUCGAGCUCCAAGCCAUGAGCUGAGGAGAAGCCCGCCGAGACCCCUGCCCCGAAGGGCUCCUUGCCUGCGGCUCCGAGUUCCGCUGAUCCGAAGGCAACUCCGAGGCGCGAACUCCCGGGUAAACUACUUACUGAUAGCUCACUUCUAAUACACGAGCAACCCCGAGCUAACAUAAAAGCUUCAUUUUUAGCUCCUCCAAAAUCCUUGGCUGACAUGAUGCGGAGCUCGGGUCCCCGCCUUCAAGGACAUGUCCGUGAACAACCGGGAGGACUACUUCCGCUUCGCCGAGAAGGUCGGCGAGGUAAGCCUACUCCCUUUUGCUUCGCAAGUGGCUGCACCUUCACCCUUGUAAACACUUUCCUGUCUUUGGCAGAUGCUCUUUGAGUUUAACAGCUCGGAGGUGAAGAAGGUGAAGAAGUACUAGUCCCUGGAGGCCUCCAAGUUCAACAAGAAGCUCAACCUGCAGAUCGCCGAAUCCUACGUGGAGGCUUGUCAAGACAAGCUAAAGCUGGCUGGGGAGCUGUACCUGAAGGCGACCACUGCCGAGACAGAGGCAAAGAAGGAACUCCAGGAGAUCAAACUAAGAAAUCAGCUCCUGGAAGCAGGGAACAACUCCGAGAUGGAGAGGGUGCGAAGAGAGGAGCGGAGGAAAACGUGAGCCGAGCUCCGAGAAACAAUCGACAAAAUUGGGUCGCACCUCGAGGAGCAUGACCGCUUAAUGCCCCAUGCAAGCCGAGCUGCUGAGAUCACCGCCAACCGGAUGUUGGUGGAAGAGAUCGAGAAGGGCGAGAUUGCCGACCUGAAGGAGGAGCUCAAAACCUUGAAAGCUGACAAGAAGGCUGCUCGCCUUGAGGCUGAAAAGGUAAAGGACUUAACGUUUGAUCCUGCAUCGUAUACUGCUAUAUUGGCAGAUACCCCCCCCACCCCCCCCCCCCCGAACUCGGGCCUGACCCCGCUCCUGCUCCCCUUAUGAUCGAGGAGCCUACUUCUGACCGCCUGUUAUACCGAACCAGGAACUGGAGGCAAUCUAGCCGGACCUCAGCAAGGAGGUAAACGCUUUUAUGAACCCCGGGGGUGAUGAAGCUCUUGUUGGCGAGGCGAGUGGCACCCCUUUGGCCUGCCCCGAAGACCUUGCCGCGGGCUCCGUGCUUACUUAACUUCCUAUUCGGGGUUGUAUUGGGCUUAGACCCCCCCUUUUGUUUAUUGCUAUCAUUACUUUUGCUUUCGGUUGCUUUUUGCUUAUUUUACGAACUUCCUAAGAUUCAUGCACGUGUUUUUGACCACGGAGGUCACACUCUUAUAAUUGCUUCAGACUCUACUAAGUUUGCUUUAUAUCGUUUUUAAGAUGUGGCAACACUUUAUUACCAUCUUGCUUAAAAAGAACUUAUAUUAUUAUUAGCUGGACUCGACAAACCGAGCUGCCUACGUACCCAAAAAGGGGAUCAAGCACACCGUAGUUCGAUUACAAGUGUUUAUCACUACUUUUUUUUAAAGGUGUAGAAUCGCUUAAGAUGCAGGGCAUUCCACGACCUGGGGACCUUCUUUCCGGACAGUUCCUCGAGGCGAUAAACCCCGUUACGCACCUCAGCAACAAUUUUGUAACGGCCCUCCCAAUUCACACCAAGUUUUCUGGCGUUAAGCUCUCUUGUAUUUUCGUAAACUUUUCUUAGCACAAGAUCGCCCACGUUGAGAUCGCGACCCCUUACUCUUGAGUUGUAAUACUUCGCGAUCGUGCUCUAGUAAUGCUGCAAACGAACUAAAGCCCGAUCGCGUUUCUCCUCGAUGAAAUCGAGGGCAUCCCGAAGAGAUUCUUCAUUCUCUUCGGGCAUCGUGGGGUUCGUGGUUACCCGGACUCCUGGUACAGCGAGCUCUGCUAGGACUACCGCCUCUGUCCCAUACACCAGCAAAAAAGGGGUUUCAUGCGUUGCCCGCCGAGGCGUCGUUCGGAUUGCCCAUAAUACGCCUUGUAGUUCCUCGGCCCACCGACCCUUAUAUGAAUCCAGCCGCUUCUUUAGGUUAGCCAAAAUUACUUUAUUCAUAGCUUCGGCCUGGUCGUUCCCUUGUGGGUAGUGGGGUGUAAACUUGCUCAACUGAAUCUUCUAGUGGGCACAAAAUGCUUCGAACUGCCUCGAUACGAACUGCGACCCAUUAUCCGUUACUAUCUCGUACGGGAGUCCGUGACGGCAAAUCACAUCAUUCCAUAUGAACUGCUGGACCUGAGAACUCGUUACGACGGAAUACGCGGCCGCCUCUACCCACUUGGAAAAGUAAUCGGUGAGGACUAGCAGGAACCUCACCCCCCUCGUCGAGUUGUGCAAAGGCCCUAUUAUGUCCAUCGACCACCUCAUGAACGCGUAGGGAGCCGAGAUUGACGACAUGAGUUCCGAGGGUUGAUGAAUAGUGGGGGCGUGCCUUUUGCACCUCUCGCAAUUUCUUACAAACUCUUCACAGUCCGCUUUCAUCGUUGGCCAAAAGAAACCGUACCGCUUGAUUUUGAUUACCAGUGUUCGGGCCCCUGCGUGAUCCCCAUUGGGUCUAUCGUGGACCGACCGCAUCACUAUCCUUGGCGACUUCCCGGCGAUGCAAGUUAAAUAAGGACCUCUGACACUGCGACGGAGUAGACCCUCAUUGUGCAGACAGAAUCGGGCCGACACGGUUCUAAUCUUCCGAGCCUGCCAUUUAUCUUGGGGCAGCUCACCUUCCCUUAGGCAGUCUAGGAUGGCGGCUCUCCAGUUCACUCCUUGGUCCUUCUCUGGGAGCCCCGAGGGGUCCUCUGGCCCUUCCUCCCCAGGCUCCUCACGGCAAGGGAAUCAGGCUGCUGGGGUCCCAGCCGGCGCUUCGGAGUUUUCCUCACUUUCAGGAGCAGGGAGAUCCCCCGGCAAUGAAACGUUCCAUCAAGGUCUAACGGCCUUGGUAGGGACGUCGGGUAGUUCAUGGACUAUGGUUCCUGCUACUCGGGAACGCGGUUCAGCUCUUCAGCUACGAGAUGAACCGCGUUCUUUGCUUGAUGGAGCUCAUCGAUUGUUAUAUCCGGCAUUCCCCCGUUCAUGAACCUCUCAGCGAGUAAGUUCAUGAGUUUUUUGCAGUUCCGGGUAGCGUGCCCAGCCACCUUGUGGAGUUCGCAAAAAGAAUCGUCUUCCUUCUCCUCCCGGGUCUACUUAUUGUUUGGUAAGGCCCCGUUUCUGCCUCGUGGUCCGAAUCCUUGUUUCGACGGGGCGCCCUUUGGACCCCCCUUCUGGUGGUCCACCGCGAAAGUGGCUGGUCCCGGCCUUUGUCCCUGCACGCUCCGUCUAGCUCCCUGAUCGAAGCUCGGCUUGGGAGUUACUUUGUACUUCUUGGCGAGUGCGGCUUUCUACUCCUCCGCUACGAUCCAGUUCGAUGCCCGAUGAAGGGCGUCCUGGAUACUAGAAGGGCGGUUAACCGUCAGCUCUUCCCUGAGUCAAGACUCGUGCCACAACCCAUUUUUAAGGGCGGACAAUGCCGCCGAGUCGGAGAGUCCGGGAAUCUGGACCAUUAUUUCUUUAAACUUUGUGAUGUAAGACCGAAGUGAAUCGUUCGGACCCUGGCUCAAAUUCCACAACUGAGCGUCGGUCACACCUACUCCUAUGAAACUCGAAUAUUGCUUCACGAAUGUAGUGGAGAGCUGAGUGAAGCUGUCGAUCGUCCCUUCUUGAAGCGAGGCAAACCACAGGAGGGCUGGUCCGACGAAUUUUUCGGCAAGAGCUUACAAUACCCCGCAUCCUCCUCAUGAGGCUUAAAGUCCACCCUUCCUACCGUAAGGAGGAAAGUGUGGAGGUGAACUUUAGGGUCACCCUUUCCUUCAUAGCUGAGAAAUUUAACCUUUCGCGCAUCCUUAAUGCGCAUUGUCGAGAUUCUAGGCGAGAAAGGAGUCCUCUUCGACUCCUCGAUAACUCGAUCGAUAUCCGAGGCGGAGCUCGUCGCGUGGUGGACCUUUGACUGCAUGGCUCGGAUCUCAUUCUGGAGGAUUGAAAUUUCCGGAUUGGGCAUGACCACCGCCCUGUCCUGGGUCGGAGUACGGAUGCGGCCAGGCGUGGAGCUCCUACUCGCGGGAGGAUGAGUUUCCUGGCCGGGGUACGGAAUGGCCGUCCCUUGCGGAGGUGCUAAUGCCGACAAACCAGCCUCUCUUGGCUGGUUUUCUGCCGAGUUCACAGCGACUGGGGGAACUGGUCGCCCGCUCCCCGGGGACGUCGCUGGUAACCCCCCACCAAAAUCGAGCAUAUGGGACCGGCGGAGCGUGGUACUGACACAUGUCCCUUCCACAAGCGCGUCCACUUGGGCUGCGUAAGCGUUGUGAGCGUUGGACAGCUCGGAGACGGUUUCGGACAAGGCGGCCACCUGAGCGGUGGACCGCUCCUCGAAUCCUCCGAGCUUCUCCGAGAGCGCAGCUGUAGCUAACUGCUGCUGCUCUGUCUUCCCGGAUAAAUCCUGCAAUAACUUCUGAAUAGAAACGAGGGUUACCUGACUAUCAUCGCUCGACAUUUUGCUAGAAUGAGGACGGAAGGUUGGAAACAGGGAAUCGGUGGGUUAGGGAAUAAGAAUCCCCACAAACGGCGCCAAAAUGUGGGAGCUGAAAUCCACGAACUGAAAACGGAGUGAACUCGAGUGGGCUCCUAAUUCCCUGUCCGAACUAGUGAACAGAAUUGCGAAAUGAUUGAGAGAAAAUUGCUUAGUUUUAUUUAGUAUCUUUUGCCAAAAAUACGACCCCUUUACACUUUGUUUUUCCUCCUACUUAUACUACUCUGGCAAGCAUUGAACGCGCAGCGAACUUUGCUCCGCGAAUCGCGCCAUUCUCAUUAAGGCGCCGCUUGACCCGCUGAUAGCCCGUUUUGAUUCUCCUUUCAAACCUUCAGCUCCUACUGGACUCCGCCUGAUGGGCUGGGCAGUUCCAAUAAUGGACCUUCGCCAACGGGCCUAAACGGAAUGGGCUGUUAGCCCGGAACGCCAAUUUCGGUACCCACACCACUAAUUUUUAUUCUAUGUUUAAUUUUAAGGUUAAUCGUACGGUUAACUAACGGUUUUAUACGGUUACGGUUGAUAACGAUUACGAUUAAUAUUUUUUAUAACUGUGACAGAUUUAUUUUUACAGUUAACGGUUAUGGUUUUUAACCGUUUUAUACGGUUAUGGUUGAAAAACGGUCUGGUUAUAGUUAGAAAUACGAUUAAAAUAAGAUUUUAGUCAUUCUUAACGUUGGUCAAUGCCGAUCAAAAUUGGUCAACGCCAUAUUUCAGCGAUAAAGUCACCAAAAAAAUGGUUAUUGUAUUGUAUACAUAGCUUAUGCUUGUUUAUUUAUGUCCUUAUGUAAUAACAAUAGUUCAUGUAAUUAACGAACAAUUAUACCAUUUACAUGUAUGUUGCUGAGAAUGAUUUUUUCAAUUUUAAAUAAACAAAGCCGGACUGAACUCAUAAACCUUUUUUAACACCCGAUAACACAUUAUGCUCAUUCUUGAGUUUACAUCUUUUCAUUUUAUUCACGUUUGACUUUAUUUUUUGUUUCUAUAAACUCGACCGACUUCAAAUAAACUAGCAUCUUAUUUUUAUUUUUUUAUUUUUUUUGCUAAGAAUGUAAAUAUCAUUUCAUGAAAUGAAAGUUUAAGUAUUACAUCAAGUAAUUCCUAAAUACAUGGUUCUAUGCCAAAAAAGUUUAAAAAACAUAGAAGCAUAAACAUUCGAGCUUCAAAUCAACAUCUAAAACCACAAGCAGUAAAACUAAUUGGACGUCGAGAAGAGAACUCGAUAAAAUGACUCCCCUAAGGAAAAGAAGGCAAGAAACAAGAGCAGAAAGGGAAAUAGGUGGACAUCAGACUGUUGUGGAAGCGAAGCGGAAGUCCCUUCAACGUGAGCCCGAAACCAAAAAAAGCUGCGGAGCAUCACGAGCUAAAGGUGGCACGCAAUGCUGUUCUCUACCGAGACCCCAACAGUAGCGCGAACAAAGCAACAUCAUAUCCUCCAAAAGCCACAUACUAACACCUCCAAAAUGCAAAGAACAAUCACAGUAAACCACAACCAAACUGAAGUUUCACUAGCCACUACAAAUACUUAGCUGAUGAAAGAGAGCGAAAGGCAUUGAAGGAGGUGAACCAAGGUAGCAGAAUAAACUCAAACAUCAAGUAGCAAAGCCAACAAGCGCGACAUAGCCGGAGUUGCGUGGACAUGCCAUCGAAUCUGCGACACAAGGCUAACCUCAAAACCUGUAUCAAGCAAAGACAACUACUCCUUCCAGCCGAAACUCACUAGAAUCCUGAACAAGCAGAAAGAGACUCGGGCAAAUCAAGUCUAAAGCAUUAAGUCUGCAAUGACUUGGGAGAUGGCACGAAUAGCGAUGGAACCUGGUGACCAAAGGAGCAAGAGAAGUCGGCUCUUGAAAGGAGGCCAUACAAAUAACAACAAUCUUCAUGAAUAAUUCAUUCCCUUUGCAGACCUAUGAGCUGAAGAUCGGAACAACCAGGAUUCUGCAACCUAAUCACUAACCACACCAACCUAAACUCCAACAAACAACAGAGCUCACUGUACUCAACGAAGAGACAAUAAGACAGGGAGACCAACGACUCUAAUUCACAGAGCGGCAGCAGUGGCGAACAGCUUGAAGACUAGCAGCAAACGAAGGAAGGAGGAGAGCAGAAGCUUACCAACACAAAGGCGGAGUAACAAAACACCGCCAAACCUCUACCAAAGGAAGAUCCGCCGCACGCCAAAGGGAAGGAGAAGAGUGAUGAAAGAGACCACAAAUCUACAAACCACUUGCCAGAAAUGACCAUAGCACCACUUGAUAAUAAAAUCAAGAAGUCGAGCGAAGCUAAACAACACUCAAAAUCACCGAGGUUCACCGCGUGUACAGACGUCCUAAAAGUCACCGUCUUCAAGCAACCAUAUAAGGAGCGAGCACGCCGUGGCGGUGAAUUCGCCGAAAACGCUGAAAGGUCCCCAACAAGUCGACGCCUUUUCAAUCGAAGGAAGAGUUUCCAGAGAACGAAGCCACUUAGAUCUGUCACCAACGCUCGUCAAAUCACAGUUGUGAAGGUGCCCAACCGAUGAACGGAGAACCGAGAAGCCCUCUCACGGCCAUGGCGAGAGGCGCCAAUGACCGGAGAGGCAAGAACUGCGGCAGAUCUAGGUUUUACAAGCAGUGGUUGUCGGGGGGGG